GGGCUUUUACCUGAACUUUCAUGUAACAUCGUCUAUUUAUUAGCCCAUUGAAUCACUUGGAAUACUAACGAUACUCGAGUCUCCUGUCUGAAUAUAACAUGCCAAAGCUAUGUCCCAAACAUAGUCUUACAUGAGAUGUUUCUUGUACUGCCAAUGUCAUAUACCAGAUAUGGUCUUACAUGGGAGUUCUCAUAUAGGUGCCCAUGCCAUGUCCCAGACAUGGUCUUACGAGGGACCUCUCAUCUCGGUGCCAACGCCAUGUCCCAGACAUGGUCUUACAUGGGACCUCUCAUAAUCUCAAUGAUGCCAAUGCCAUGUCCCAAACAUGGUCUUACAUGGGAUCUCUUUACCCAAAUGUCAUGACAUUUGUAUCCAAUACAUUCCUCAUGUUUCAACGGGGUCUUUUAACACUAAUUCUCUAUCAUCUCAUACUUGAGUUAACAUUAGAUAUUUUCAUUAAAUAAAUACAUAAUUGCUGAAAAAUAACAGCAUUAAUAAUAAUUAUCAAAAUAUUUCAUUUAUUUACUAUAAACUUACAUCGGUACAAAAUAUGAUCAAAUCUAGCACUUUAGUCCUUAACCUUUUUCUUUCCCCGGUCUAACUCUGGAUUUUGUUCUUCUUGAUCUAUAAUAGAAAAUUUAGCUUAUUUAAUACUCACAUUCAUCAAAAUAGUCCUUAACUCGAACUUUGACAAAAUUACAUUUUUGCCCCUAAAAUUUUGCAUAUUUACACUUUUGUCCCAAAACUCAGAAAUUAAACUUCAUCCCUUAUUCUUAUGCUUUAUGACAUGCUGAACAUUGUUUCCUUCUAUGGAAACAUCAAAUUCCCACUCUAACACUUACUUAUGACCAUUAGGUUUUUUUACCAAUUAUGUCGUUUUACUCAUUUUCACUUAAAAUCACUUAGCAAAAGUUGUUUAACAUAAUUUCAAGCUUCAUAUUCUACCAUAAAACAUCAAAAUAAACACAUUUCACCUAUGGAUAUUUUUCCAAAUAUGAACUCCAGGUUAAAUUAUUGCUAGAAUAAGCUAAAUCAAGAUAUCAGGACUCUAAAAACGUAAAGAACAUUAAAAACGGGGCUAGAACAGACUUACAAUCGAGCUUGGAAGCUUGAAAAACCCUAGCCAUGGUUUCCCCUUGUGAAAUUCGGCUGUGGGGUUGAAGAUGGACAAAAAUUGGCUUUGAAUUUUGUUUUUAAUUCAUUUUAAUAACUAAAUGACCAAAAUUCCCUUAAUGAAAAACUUUGGAAACAUGCCUAACCAUGUCCAUUUUUGUCUACCAAUUUAACCAAUGGUCUAAUUACCAUAUAAGGACCUCCAAUUUAAAAUUUCAUAACAAUUGGACAGCUCUAACAUGUAGAACUCAACUUUUGCACUUUUUACAAUUUAGUCCUUUUGGCUAAAUUGAGUGCCCAAACGUCGAAAUUUUCGAACGAAAUUUUAACGAGAUCAUUUUGUGAAAUUGUAGACCAUAAAAAUAUAAUAAAAUAAUUUUUUUCCUCAUCAAAUUUGUGAUCCCGAAACCACUGUUCCGACUAGGUCCAAAAUCAAGAUGUUACAUUGAUUCUUAACGCGACUGUUUGAGACCUCCGCACACUGAGUCCAGCUACAGAAACAGAAAAUAAGAGUACGUGAAAAAGGGAAACUAAAAGGGGUGAGCUACACGAGCUCGGUGUGAGAUCGAAUCGACAGGAAAAUAAAAAUUAAAUGUCACAAUAAAAUAAAAAUUAUUUAUAACAAUGCCAAUCCGAUCUCCAAAUAAUCAUCACAACCAAAACAGAAUAAUCAUCACAACCAAAACACACACAUCAGUAUUGUACACAUCGACCUAUAUACCGUUAAUUUUGCAAUCAGAUAGACAAACAAAAUGAGGAACAAAAGUAUCAACAUGAAACCCACCCAUCUAGCCAAACACCUCUUUAUCCCCAUUUACACCACAAAUAAGCUAUAAGAAGCUCAACAAACCCUGCACACCACAUAGGACCUUGAAAGGCCCAUCCAACCCUGCACUCCACGCAUGUGGAACAAAGCCACGUAAAUAUCAGUAUGUAGCUGAGCUGCCAGAAGUAUCGUACUGUGCAGUAAACCGCUAUACAAACGUUUUGCAGUUGAAACUGCCAAAUUAGAUCAGACUUCCUUCGCUUCAUAUCCCAAAUCCGAAAUCAUAAUGCAAAUGUAGGAAUGCACACCAAACACUGUCAACUACACAGACACAGAAGCUCGUAAUUAGUCAAUCAAUUACAGAAUCGAUGCACACAGUUUCCAGACAGUCACACACAUCACUUAACCACUGAAGCAGAUACUCAUUUAUUAGGCAUUAUCACAUUAACGAGUCGCUUAACUAAUGCAACGAUUGCAUUUAACAGAUAUGUCCGAGUCAAAAUAGAGUCCCGACUACCCUUACUAAGACCUAGCCAAGGGUCGGAACACACAGAACCACAAACAGGUCAUAAAUCAACACAGUACAAAAAUUUGGCAAGGUAGGACCACAUAGUUGUAUGCCCCAGCCGUGUGGGGGUCUACGCGCCCUUGUAAAGGCCACACACACCCAUGUAGAGCCUACACAUGCCCGUGUGAGCAGCCCAUGCAACUCACUGUCCAAAAGUGCUAAAAAUUAAUAGCAAAGGAGACACGGUCGUAUAGAGAGGCCAUGUGAGGACACAUGCCCGUGUGGCCAGGCUGUGUGGUACCAAAAAUCAUCGAAUGCCCUAAAUUCUCAAUUGCACAUGCUCGUGUACCCAAGGGACAUGGUCGUGUGAAAAUUGACUAAUUUCCCCAAAUCAGCCACAAGGCCGUGCAACACCCAAAUUAGCCCAGAAACCCUAAUUUCCAAUUACACACGGUAAUGUGAACAACCCGUAUGGGGGCACACACCCGUGUGGCCACGAAACCACAUCAAAAUAAGCUAAAAAUUAUUGUUUUGGCAUCAAAACGGCCCCCAACACUUGUUAACUCAAAACUAAACCGAAAUUUACAGAAUAUCAUGCAAUCCAAUACCCAAAAUCAACAAUUUCAGAACACACACAGUCGAAACUAUCAAUUAAUACAAAAUUGAUUUAACAAAUUUAAAAUAGAGGAAAAGAGGUUCGGAACCCACACCUUAAUUCGCGAUAGUAACCACCAGAAUCAUUCGAUUCGCUCCUCCAAACCAACUUUGAGACCUCAAUUACAAGCACAACUAAACUAUGAAAAUUUAAUUAGUAACACAACGAAAUUGAAGCAAUCCCCCCAUUAAAAUAAAAGACAAAACUUACCCAAUUUCAAACCAAUCCAACAGAACACUCGAGCCCAACCAAUCAACGAUGACGAUGACAAAACUGAGACUAAUUUGAGGAACAGAAAAGAAAAAAAAUAAAAUAAAAUCUUGAACUUAAAAAAUAAAAGGAGAAGGUAGAAACGUCCAGAGAGGGAGAGGAAAAGAACGUGUUCCCUUUUUAUUUUUAUUUCUUAUGAAAUUUCUUAUAACCCCAUUAAAAUAAAAAUAAAAAUAAAUAAAUAAACAAAUAAAUAAAUACUAAAACUUAAAAGCAACCAAAACAAAACAAAUUCCUCAAUAUGCACAUAAGGAAUCGAACUCGGGACCCCAAACUAAACUAACCCACAACCAACCACCAGACAAACAGACCCAUUCUAACAUUAAGACACAACAACAAACCCAAUGGUUCGAUCUAGCCACUGACCUUACCUAUAAAUCUCAAAACAUCUAACCUAAAAAAUCGGGGUGUUGCACACCAUGUUACCGAAUCAGGUAGAACUUUUAAAUAAGAAAAAUAAUGGUUUAUGUGUUUCUACGCAGGUACAUCCGGUGAUGCGGUGCGAUACGAAUGGAGGAAGAAUGAAUAGUCCAGAAUAUUUACCCUACGAUUCUAGCACAGAGAACGAACAAAUAAACUAUAUGGGUAAUAAUUCUAGGCCUCAAAAUAAUCCUUACAGUAACAUCUAUAAUGCAGGUUGGAGGAACCAUCCCAAUGUCUCUUUGGUGGUCAAGGAAAUCAAAGAGCACAACCCCCUCUAGGCUCCCAACAACAACCUUACCAACAAGAUAAGAAGCCAAACCUUGAGGAGAUGUUGACGAAGUUUAUUUCAAUGUUCAAAACCUACUUUCAAAACACUAAAUAGGUCUCGAGAACUAAAUAGGUCAGCUUGCUAAGCUAAUCUCAGAAAUACCACAAUGUAGCUUACCUAGCAAUACCGAAACUAACCCAAGCGAGCAGCUUCAUGCAAUUACUGUUCAAGAUGAAGAAGGGUUAGCUGAAUCUGAAUCAGAACCAAGGCAAGAAACUGUAGUAAGUAACGGUAAGGUCGAGGUAAGCCAAAAUGAACAAAAACCAGUCGGUAAGGAAUAUAAACCUCUAGUGUCAAUUCCUAAUGCGGCGAAGAAAGACUACACGAACGAACAAUUUGGUAAAUUUCUUAAACUUCUAAAAAAAUUACAUAUUAACUUACCGUUUAUUGAAGCUCUUUCACAGAUACCCGAUUCCGUUAAAUUUUUAAAAGAGCUUUUGGCGAACAAGAGGAAGUUAGAUGAUUCGUCGCAUGUGGAGCUAAAUGCAGUUUGCUCAACUAUUUUGCAAAAUAAACUACCCAACAAAUUGAAAGAUCCAGAGAUUUUUACUAUUCCUUGUUUAAUUGGUAGUUUGAAUAUUAAUAAUGCUUUGGCUGAUUUAGGGACAAGUAUUAAUGUCAUGCACUAUAAAAUGUUUAAACAAUUAGGUCUUGGGAAACCCAAACAAACUAAGAUGAGUAUUCAAUUAGCAGAUAAAACCAUUAGAUUUCCUAGUGUAUUAUUGAAGAUGUUCUAGUAAAAUUUGAUACAUUCAUAUUGCCAGUUGAUUUUUUUGUUUUAGACAUGGAUGAGGGUAAUGAAGUACCUUUAAUUUUAGGAAAACCCUUUUUAGCAACUGCUAGAACUAUUAUUGGUAUUGGUACAGGUGAGUUAGUACUUCAUGUAGGUGACGAAACGAUUACUCUCCAAGCUUGUUAUUCUGUUAAAACAUCUAAUGAUCGAGAUAAUUUUACAAGUUCUGUUAAUAUGAGUAACCAUGUGGCUCAAACUUCUUUGCAGGAAAACCCUUUAGAAAAAUGUGAUUGAGCCACGUUCUAGUCCAUGCGAUAGAAACAAAACGACUCAUAGUGAACGAAUGUUGCAAAUCGAUGAACAAGAUGAAUGGCGAACACAUGUUAAGGAGAAACCAAAAAAGCACGAUGAAGAGUUAAGGAGACACCAUGAUAAGUAUGUGGAUGCAACGAAACAAUUUAAGGUUGGAGACAAUGCACUUCUAGAUAAAACGGAUCCUCGAAUUGCCACUUCGGAGCUUGAUACAAACGGAUCAAAUCCCUUUACGGUACUAAAUGUCUUCCCAUACGGUACAGUCAAGGUAACUCAUUCUGAAUUUGGCACAUUUAAGGUAAAUAGUACUCGAUUCAAACCCUAUGUUGAUAAUAGAAUUGAUAACGAGAAAGAGGAGUUUCAACUCUGCAAACCACCAUGACCGUACGAAUGCGAGGUAAGUCUAGCUUAAACUUUAAAUAAGCGCUUCUCGGGAGGCAACCCAAGUGCUAACACUGCUAAUUCUUUUAAUUUUAUUUCAUGUUAUUUUUAAAAAUAAUUAAUUUUCAAAAAUAAAAAAAAUGUUUUUGACCCACACAGCCUAGACACACGGGUGUGUCCCAGGUCGUGUGCACUAUAAGGGGUUCAACUGUGAGUUACACAGCCUGGCGAUAUGGCCGUGUGACCCACACGGCCUGGACACACGGGCAUGUCCUUGGCCGUGUGGAUACUGGGACCUAAAUUUUCAAAAACUCGACGGUUACACGGCCUAAAAUAACACACACAGCCUGACGACAUGGCGAUGUGACCCAUACGGCCUAGACACACAGGCAUGUCUUAGGCCGUGUGAAACCUAGAGCUAUUUUUUUCAAAGUUAGAGAGUUACAUGGGUAGGAUACACGGCCAUAAGAGAGACACGACCAAGCCACACAGGCGUGUGAGAUCUCAAAUGGGCAUGGGAGAAGCUAAGGAAAACACACAUGGCCGUAUGAAAACUAAGUUAAUUUUUAAUUACACACGGGCUAAAAAUACUCCACACGGCCGUGUCCCACGGCCCUAUGGCCUAAACCCUAGAAUUCCUUUCUCAAUUUGUAUUUUUCUUCUUCCCCAACCAAGUUACCCCUUUUAUUUUAUUUUAUUUUAUUUAUUAUUUUUGUUAUAUGAUUUAUUUUUAUUUUCCUAUUUUAUUUAUUUAUUUUAUUUAUUUAUUAUUCUUCUAUUUAAAUUUUAAAUUUAUUUUAAUUUUUCUGUUAUUUUUAUUAUUUUUAGUUUUUUUACUAUUAUUAUUACAAUUACCUUUAAGUUUAUUAGUAUCAUUGAGUUUAUUAUUUUUUUCUUUUUUUUCUUUUUUUUUCGUUUUAUUUUUUAUUAUUUUCUUUUUAAUUUUGUUUUAGUUGCUUUAUUUUUUUAUUUUCUUAAACUUGUUUUAAUUAUUAUUUUGAAAUAUAUUUUUAUGGUUGUUUCUAAUCGAGUUAUAACCACUUAAUCUUCACUAUUUGUGUUUAUUUUCUUAUUAUUUUGAAAUAUAUUUUUAUGGUUGUUUCUAAUCGAGUUAUAACCACUUAAUCUUCACUAUUUGUGUUUAUUUUCUUAUUAUUUUGAAAUAUAUUUUUAUGGUUGUUUCUAAUCAAGUUAUAACCACUUAAAAAUGUAGGCUUUUUAAUUUAACCCUUAGUGAACCCCGUUGAGCCUAACACACCGUUUCUUCAUUUACCCAUUAAUGUUUAUCCAAAACUCUUUUUUAUUUUAUUUGUUGAAAAUUUUCCCAUUUUAUUGACUCUAUUUUUGUCAAGAUUUGAUUUGGUUAGUUGCCUAACUAUGCUCUUUUGUUUAAUUUGCUGAAUUAUUUCUUAUUGUCAAAAAAAAAGAAAAAAAGAUACCCAAAAAAAAAAGAAAAUAUCAAAGAAAAAAAUAUUGAUUAUUAUUUAGUUCUAUGAUUGAGCUUGAAUAGUUAAAUUCAUAUUUUGAGAAGAAGCUCGUUUUCUUAUUCUUCAAUAGUUUCUAAGUUAUGCACUUGUUUUUAAUUCAGCAUUUGUUAUUUUUUCUAGUUUGGUAAUUUAUCAAUUCGAUCUCAAUUUUAACCAACUUUUUUAGGCUUUCUCCACACCCUUAACCUAAGCCCCAUUACAACCUCUUAAAAACCAUUUGAUUUGUGUAUCAUGUCAUUUUAUAGUGGUGGAGAUUUGUUUUUCAUGCAAGCCUAUGGUAAUGGCUUUUCCUGUUUGACUAUUGAGUGCUUAUUAUUGAACCUUAAACACUUUGAGUGAUUUGAGUGAAUUUUUAGUGAGGAUGUCGAUUCUUGUCGAUUUGAAUUAAAGGUAAUUGCUUGACCCGCGCGGUGACCCAACCUGGAGGGGAGGAUCCGCGCGUUGUGACGUCAGAAACUAAAAAAAUGUGCAAGAGAAAUAUAUGUAUGCAUGUAAAAAAAACUCAAAAUAUAUAUAUAUAAAUAUAUAUAUUAAAUAUGCAUAUGUGUAAAAUGCGUGAAUGUGAAUGUAUAGAAAAUAUAUAAUGAUAACUAUAAUGCAUAUUUUGAGAAGGGAAAAUACCUAUGUUUUCAUGCUUUAAAAAUGUUCGACUUAGAUUGUUUGAAUCUUUAGUGCUUUUUUAGUUGAAUUAUCAAUGUAUGGCUAUUUGUGAAUUAUGACAAAACAUCAUUGAUGAGAAUUAUAAGUUGAGAAAGAUUAAUUUUAAUUUUGAGUUGAAUAUUUUGCUUGAGGACAAGAAAAUGCUUAAGUAUGGGGAUAUUUGAUAAGCCACAAAAGUAACAUAUUUUUAAUCCCAUUCUUGAUACAUUUUAAAAUGAUUAAUUCUGUAAAUUAGUGAAUUUGAUGCUCCUAAUCCUAUAAAUUCAUAUAUUUAUACUUAAGAGAGCAUUUGGAAGCAAAAUGAGCAAAAAACGAGCCAAAAUCGAACAAAUAGAAUGGUUUCUAGGAUCCACAUGGGCUGGCCACACGCCCAUGUCCCAGCCCGUGUCGAUAUCGCACCUUGCUUCCCAAAUACGCGGAAAAAACCCAAUUUUUAGGCUUUCUGAGCAGUCUAAAGUCUAUAAAUACCAAUUAGAAGAAGACCUAAAGAGGCACUCAGAGAAGAUCGAAGAAAGCACUAGAAGAACGUCGUCGGAAUCAACUCGGAAGCGAAUCUCCCUCAAGAUCGAAGAUCUCCAUUUAAUUUCUUUCAAAUUUUUAUUCAGUUUCUUUAUGUCUGUUGUUAUCUUAACUUUGAGAUGUUUCUAUUCAGGAUUAUGAACUAAAUUUCCUAGAUACCUAGGGAGGAUGAAACCUAUGAUGAAUCUUAUUAUUUAAUUUUUAUUUUUACGCGAUAAAUACUUGAUUCUUGUUCUCAAUUAUGUAUUUUUUUCGUGUUUUAAUAUUUUUUAUGAUAUUAAUUCAUGUUUAAUGUGCUUAUUUCAGUGGAGAAAAAGUCUCUUUUUAAGAGUAGAUCUAACAUAAUUGAGUGGAGUUGCAUGCAAUCCUAGAAAUAGGGCGACAUAAAUCUACCGGAUUAGAGUCAAAUCUAUUAGGGGAAUCCAUAGAUCGAGUUAAUGCGAUGAUAAGGGUUUUAAUUAGAAAGAGAUUUCAAUUAAUCAACCUAGAGUCAGUUGUUCUUACUCUUGAAAUAGAUAUUAACAUAAUUUAGGGAUUUCUACAGAUCAAGACACAAGUGAAUAAAUCGUUUAAUUCAAAUUCAUAACAAUAGGUGAAGUCUAGGUGGAUUCUUUCCUGGGUAUUGUCUAUCUCAUUGGUUAUCUUAUAUUAUUUUCCUAUUUCAUUCUCUGUUGCAUUUUUAUUUAGAUUAGUUUAGUAAUUUUAGAUUAAAAACUAUCACUCCAAUUUGUCGGCUAAAUAAUAAAAAAUGGUAAUUACUAGUACUUUUAAUCCUCGUGGAUAUUCCCUACUCACCAUAGCUAUACUGUGGUUCAAUAGGUGCACUUGCCUUUGUACUAAUUAUAGUUAGUUUAGUGACCAUCAGUCACCGACCUUUUUCCUCUUUACACCCCCACACCCACCUACGAAAAACAACGACAAUUCGCACCGUUGUUCUUUUCUUCCCUUCUCAUCGCCAUUCACUUCUCCUCCACCAUCAACCACCAUUCAACAACCCUUUUUCACCACCACCAACAACUGCAUUUACCUAACAACAAAACAUCGCGGUCUCUCCUUUUCUCUCCACGUCGAUCGACCCUCUAUUCCUUCCCCAAACAUCACCUCUUCUACUUUUAUUUCUUUUUUCAACCAUAACCAUAGAACACCCAAAUGUCAAACCACCAUGAAACCACUAUUUAACACACCCACCACCAUCCAUUGAAAAAUCAACCCAACCCACAUCACUACUGCCGUCGACCACCACCUCCGUUCGGUAGUCGUCAACUAUCGUAAACUGUCAUCGUGAGCAAUAGUAAACAAAGUCAUUUGUUCCUCCAACCAUAGUUCAAAGUAGGAACCAAAAAGCCGAUGGGAUUUUAGCUUCGAUCAAUCGCAGAAGAAAUCAGUUUUUAGCACCUCCAGUCAUCGAUUUAGAAUAUGAUGACUCAGAACCUUCUCCACCCCUACGAGACAAACAGUCGCACCUAUUAGGAAUCUUCACUGACGAAGCCCAACUCUGAUCAAGAUAGAACACUUCCAAAGCAGUCCUGCUAUUUCUAAAAGGUCGAUUCCUAACUUGCAACCUAUUUUACCUUUACUAACAUACUAUACAGGUUGUUCGGUUGAGGUUGAAACUUCCAGCGACCAUGGCGAAGGUCCUUCGACUAGAAACGAGUAUGUUUCUCAACGUCAAACACAGUCUUCCACCACUCAAGCCCGUCAACCACCGAUAAAUAAGAUAGUGAUACCUCUACACAGCAGUACUAACGCUGCUAGAAAUUCGAGCCCACCACCCGGCUCGCCUGAAAAAAAUAUUUGACCAUCAUGAGACGGUCAACAUGAUAGGCGAGGUCGUACCUAUACUAUUCCCACCGAAAGAUGAUUAUGAUGGUCUCUAAAAUUUUGGACCUUGUAGCAUCAUGCAAGAUACGACAACAUUUGGCAACGUCCACUCCCGGUCUAUAAGCAAAUUAAUCUUUACACCAUUGAUAUGUUAAAUAUUUGUGAUGCUAUGAUGAGCUAUUUUGAUGCUAUUGGUUGGAGUCCAUUUGCAAAUAGUUCAUGUAGUGCAUAUUAUGAAUUCAUUUAUGAAUUCUACACAAUAUUUAGCUUUAAUAUUAAUGCGUUGCGAACUGUUGAAACCCCAAACGUUGUCUAUUUUCGGUUACAUGGUAAAGACUUUAUGAUGUUGAUUUCUGAUUUUAACAUUGCCAUGGGUUUCGUUGACCCUAACAACAUUCAAACCGAUUCCUACCAUACUUAUUUUUUAGAUAUUCUAAGUAAGUUUGAUGCUCAAGAUGUUUAUUGUGCUUUAACUUAUUUUAUAAAUCAACUUUAUAAUCCAAAGACCUUUAAGGACUUGUUGGUGCAUGAAUCCGCUUUGAGAUAUAUUCAUCGAUUUUUAGCCUUUAGUUUUUCAGGUCAAAACGAUUCAUCGUUUGUUUUAACAAAAAUUGAUUUUUUUAUGGUGUAUGCAUUCCGGAUUUAAAUUUAAUUUACGAUAUUGGUUUGCACGAAACUUUUAGGCUGUUUUACGCUCUAAUCGACCACUAAUACUUGGCCCUUAUAUUACAAACUUAACCUCUCAACUUUUUCCCUCUAAAGUCGAUUUCUUGUCUUUAACUUGUGCAUAUACUAUGGAUAGUCUAGAUGAAUAUUGUUUGGACUCUAUGGGUUUGCUUGUCGGUACCCCUAUUACGUAUUAUUUUGUUCCUCCAGGUACACAAAUUUCUCGGAGUAAUAAUGUCUUUCGCCAACGUCCAAAUUUCACUACUAGAGAGCAAGAGGAACAACAUCUUUCAUCUGUAGAGGCACAUUUAAGUUGGAUCGAAGCUUGACUUGAAACAAUGGAAACCCAAGUCUCCAUAAUCCUUGACAUCCUACAAAGUCAAUACUCCCAACAUCGACAACAUAGUUGAAACACAUAGGGAGUAUUCUUAACCUUUCUCUUUGCUUGUUGUUUGAGUUACUAUACUUUAUUGCAUAUAACACAUGCUUAAGGACAAGUAUAGAUUAAGUGGAGGGAUUGAAAUGGUAAGUAUGCAUGGUUGAUUGUCUUUUGUUGCAUGUUUCUCUUUUGAAUAUGUUCAAUCUUAUGCUGGAUUUAUUCGAUAAUUUUUUUGACAUUGAGCCUCUAAUUUCAUUACUUAGUCAAUUUGGACAAUUGGGUAACUUUUGAAUUAAAGUGUUCAAAUAUCUAGAUUAAUCGACAUGUGUGUUUUAAAGUUGAUAUAUGUAAUUAGAUUUUUCAUGAAAAUUGAUUGUUUGGUAAAAAUAUUGUAUUUGCUUGUAUAUAAAUAAAUGAAAAAAAUGAAAAAAAUAAUAAAUAAAUAAAGGCUCAAGUUAUUAGUAAAGGUUUUGAAAAAGUAAUCUAAUUCAGUAAUCAGGUUGAGGUGUUUAGGUUGUCAUCUCAUCUCGUGCAAAAAGGUUUGAGUGACGAACCGAAAACAUGCAACCAUUUCGCUAACCGAGCUACUAAAAAAAUGGGGACCAUUUGGAGAUGUGUUGGACUAAGUAACCAUGUUAGGGUGCUUAGGUUGUCAUCCUAGUUUGCGUAAAAAAGUUUGACUACGUCCCAAAAUUUUACUACAUGAUUAAUUGACAAGAAUACCUUGCAGAUCUUGGUUCAAACUCAAUUUACUGAAAUGAUUUAAUUUACAUAUUUCAAUUUUAUGGACACUUGUUGAUCAAACUAGGUAUUUUGAGCACUUAUUCAUUUUUUGCCUAUAUUGUUUGCAUUGAUCAUGGAUGCGGAAAAAAGGCUUGAUUUCUGAUAAGUUAUUAAUAAUUUUUAAUGUAUGAAAGUACAAUAUGCUUGAGGGCAAGCAUGAGAAAAGUAGGGGGAUUUGAUAGCUUGUCUAUUUUGCAUGAUUUACGUGUUCAACUCGACUUAUUCUCAAAUUAAUCCUUGCUAAUUGGUGCAUUUUGUGUUUAAAUAUUGUCAGGAACGAAAUUCGGGAACUUUAAAUCAAAGACAAGCAAACAAGGGGAUAAACUGAAGCAAGGGAAAGAGAAGAGGGACCGAAUUGAAAAUUUGGGACAUUUGAGGGCCUAGUCAGAUUUUAACCUUGUAAAAGCCAAAAUUAGUAAAUUAAAUCUAAAAUUAUUUUGUGUAGUUAGUGGUAGGUGGAAAAAGCCUAAAAUUAGUAUGUGGAUUUUGUAUAAAUAGGUAGGGUGGUGCACUUGAAAAAAAAUAGACCUGAUUUGAUAAGCAAUUGAAUAAAAAAAAGCAAUUUAAUUCUUUCUUAUUUUGAAUGAAAGUGUACAAGCAUUCUGCCAACUUUUUUUUCCAAUUCAACUUUUGGCAUAAUUGUUUCCCAAGCCCUUCCCCACCAUCUUUCUCCAUUAUCAUAAAAUCCACUUUCAUAAUCCACAAAGCAUGAUUAGUUUCAUGAUUCACUAAAUUCUAACUUAGGUUUAGUGUAACACCCCGAAAUUUAGGGUUACAAGUUUUGAGAUUUGCAGGUAAGGUCAGUGGCUAGAUCGGACAAUUGGGUUUGUUGCUGUGUUUUAUGUCAAAAUGGGCUUGCUGGUUUGGUGGCUUGUCGUAUGUUAAUUUGCCUCUAGGUUCUGGGUUCGAAUCCUCAUGGGUGUUUGAGGAAUUAAUUUCAUUUGAAUUUUGUUUUUUAAAGUUUUAUAUAUAUAUAUAUAUUUAUGUUAUUUAUUUUAUUGUAUUUUUAUUUUUGAAAAAAAAGAGAAGUUGUUCUAAAAUUAUUUUGCACGUUCUUUUUGGUUUCUCUCCCUCCCACGUUCUCUCCUUCUUCCUUGUUCACGUUCUUUUUCCUUCUUGUUUCUUUCUUCAAUUUUUGCUUUCUAAAUUUAGGGGUUUUGAAUCAAAAUUGGGAUUUGAGGAGUCGAUCAUUUUGGGAACUCUUAAAUCGCGUAUCAGGUGUGGGAUUCGUAACUCUUUUAGUUCUUUUUUUGUAAAUUGAGGGUUUGAUUUGGUGGUAUUCUAUAAUUUCAUUUGUGUUGGGAAUCUUUCCCCUUCAUUGUCAAAUUUUCGACCUGUUUUGUGGAAUUUGAAAUUUGUUUGUGUCUUAGGGAAUGGACCAUUUGAAAGGUCGAUUAAUAUGGUAAUGGCUGGAAAUUGGGUGUGUUUUUGGCAUACUUUUGGGUUGCUAAGGUUUGGGGUUUGUUUUGAUGUCACAAAAUCGAGUUUUUAGCCAAUUUCGAUGUGGUUUCGUGACCACACAGGUGGCCACACGGGCGUGUGCCCCCACAUGGGCGGUUCACACGGUGUGUGCAAUUGGGAAUUAGGGUUUUUGGGCUAAUUUGGGUGCCUCACGGCCUGACCACACAGUCAUGUCGUUGAUUUGGGGAAAUUAGUGAAUUUUCACACGACCAUAAUUCUUGGGUACACGAGCGUGUGCAAUUGGGAAUUUAGGGUUUUCGAUGAUUUUUGGUACCACAUGGGCUGGCCACACAGGCAGGUGUCCCCACACGUGCAUGUGAGCUCUCCACACAGUCGUGCCUCCUCUGCUCUUAAUUUUUAGCACUUUCAGACAAUAAGUUACACGGGCUGCUCACACGAGCGUGUGUGGCCUCCACACGGGUGUGUAUAGCCUCUACAUGGGCGUGUAGACCCCCACAAAGCCUGGGCACUUCCACACGGCCAGGGCACACGGCCAUGUGGCCUUAUGUCGUCAAAUUUUAUUUUGUGUCUGUUUUUGUUUUGAUUAUCAUUCUGUGUGUUCCGACCCUCAGUUAGGUCUUUGUAAAGGUGGUCAGGACUUUGUUUCGGCCUGAACUUGUGCGUUAUUUGCAAUCAUAGCUCUAAUUAAGCAUUUCGGCUCAGUGUUACUUGAUGUUAUGAUAUAUAUGAUUCUGAUUCUAGGCAAUUGAAGGUGUGCUUUUCUGAUUCCGUACUCUAUUUUUGUCUGUCUUCAAAUGGUGUGCAUUUGCAUUUGCAUUUGCAUUAAUCUUUUUGGGUUUGGUUGUGAAGAAAAAGGAGUUUGAUCUGUUCUGGCAGUUUCAACUGCAGCAUGUCUGUACAGCGGUUUACUGCAAUGCACUGUACGACAUAUACGACAGCUUUGCUACGUAGUAUUAUUAUUUGAGUGGCUUAGUCCACAUACAUGGUGUGUAGGGUUGGAUGGGUCUUUCGAGUUCCUAUGUGGUGUGUUUGGAUGGGUGAGCUUAAAAAGCUCUUAUGGGGUGUGAUAGGGGGACGAAGUGGUGUUUUGGCUGGAUGGGUGGGUUUUAAUAUUUGACUACAUUCAUACGCAUCUGGAUGUGAGUUCCUUGUCUGUUCGUUAUAAAAAUUAUGACUGAUCUUGUGUGCAUUUUGGUGUGCUUACUAUUACGUUUGUUUGGGAUGUUGGUUCUAAGUUUACCCUCUGUUUCUGUGUAUCUCUGUAAAUACAUUGUGUCGUUGAGCUGCUAUUUGGAUUUUUGUUCUAUAAGUUCGUUGUUUGUCACCUUAUGAACUCACACUGAGCUCGUGUAGCUCAUCCCUUUAGUGUUUCCCCUUGCAAGUACAUUUUUGUUUCUUGAUGCUGGACUCGGCAUGCCGGAGGUCUUGGAAGCAUCACAUUUUUAAAACUGGUUAAUAAAGUAUUUUCUGUAAAUCUGAGUUUUAUGUAAACGGUUUUGGACUGUAAGUUCUGUUUUAAAAACUGUGGUAUGAAAUUUUUGUGUUAAAUGCAGAAAGACAUUAUUUGGAUUAAACAACUGUAUUUUGAAAUAUCGGGAUUUGAUAACUAAGAAUUUUUACGUAACCUAAAUACUACUUGAUUUCUCACUUGUUGUUAAUGCUGUAAUGUUUUUCGGGUUGGUAAACUCAAAUUUCCCACGAUCAUUUCGGUGAUCAAUGUAACCUCUGGGAUUCGGUCUAAACUUCUAGGCUAGGUCUUGGGGCAUUACAUUUAGGCCGGUAUUCUUUCCGUUCAGGAAUCAUAAGAUAUGUAUUCGUACUAAAAAUCCUUCCAAACGGUAUUCACUAUCUUUUCGAAAUAUCAAGAUUGACAAAUUCAUCCCUUAAAGUUAACUCGAUUUCAAAUCAAAUAACGCGUUAGGUAGGAGUCGUGUUUGCAGACAGUUGGGAAAACAAGUCGAUCAUAUUGUAUUCGGAUCUCCGAGAACAAAUCAAGGGAGAUAGUGAUUGGGUUUAAACGUCGCACGUAAUUGAGGCCAUUAAUCCGAGUUGGGUUCUUCAAAACACAAAGUUGUCGAAAUCUUAAAUCUCGAAUGCAUGUAUCUUGGUUUGAUGAUUGGCAAAGGUUGAUUCGCAGGUCAUACCGGGGUCAACUACGAGAGGAAGAAUUGGUGGUUAGGAUGUUCUUAGCCACUAUAACCAGCUUAUUUUUUGGGGGAGAAAAUUAAUUUUUGAGGAUCAGUUCAGAGAUUAGAAUUCACCAUGUCUAGGGCUAAGGCUUAUUAUUUCUGUUAUCAAAAUUCAAAUUUUAUUUCUAAUUUAAUUUUUAAUUCUGAUUUACUCAAGUAUUUAUUAUUGAUGUCUCCAUUAUUUCAUUUCUAAACAUUUCAAAACUCCACUAAUUUAUUGUCUAUUUCUUUUUGGCAAGUCAUUGGGAGUCAUGGGCACGACUAUCGCCAAGAAAAAAAUUCUGUCCACGAGAAGAACUCAAAAGUUUAUCUUAAUCACCAAUCCCUAUGGGCUCAACCCUACUGCUCUUUACUAUUGUUUAGAGUACUUUUAUUGUAGGAAUUAUUUUCAUUUGGUGGUUUCCAAUCCCCAGCAACGACACCAAAAUUUGAUGGAAACCACCAAAUAAAAAUAAUUUUGGUAAAUAUCGGAAACCAUCAAAUUUUGGUGUCAUUCCUGGGGAUUGUAAACCACCAAAUAAAAAUAAUUCCUACAAUAUAAGUCCUCUAAACAGUAGUAGGGUUGAGUCCAAAAGGAUUGACGAUUAAGAUCAACUUUCAUGUUCUUCUCGUGGACAGAAAUUUUGUCAUGCAAUAGUCGUGCCCACGACUCCAAAUAACCUGCCAAAAAUAGAUAAAAUAAAUUAAUGGAGUUUUGAAACGUUUAGAAACGAAAUAAUGGAGACAAAAAUAAUAAAUACUUGAGUAAAUCGGAAUUAAAAAAUAAAUUAGAAAUAAAAUUUGAAUUUUGAUAACAUAAAUAAUAAGCCUUAGCCCUAUACACAGUGAAUUCCAAUCUUUGAACUGAUCCUCGAAAAUUAGUCUUCUCCUCCAAACAAUAAGUUGGUUAUAGCGACUAAGAACGUCCUAACCGCCAAUUCUUCCUCUCGUAGUUGACCCCGGUACGACCUGCAUACCAACCCUUGCCGAUUAUCUAACUGCGAUACAUGCGUUCGUGAUUCAAGGUUCUGGCAGCCUUGCGUUCUAAAGAACCCAACUCGGAUUAACGACCAUAGUCGCGCAAGACGUUUAAACCCGAUCACUAUCUCCCUUGAUUUGUUCUCGGAGAUCCGAAUACAGCACGGCCAACUCAUUUCCCUAACUAUCUGCAAACACGACUACAACCCAAAGCGCUUUUUGAGUUGAAACCGAGUUAACUUUAAAGGAUGAAUUUGUCAAUCUCGAAAUUUUGGAAAAAUAGUGAAUAUCGGUUGGAAUGAUUUUUAGUACGGAUACGUAUCUUACAAUUCCUGAAUGGAAAGAAUACCUGUCUAAAUCUAAAUUAGAAUUUAGUGAUUCAUGAAAUUAAUCAUGCUUUGUGGAUUAUGAAAGUGGAUUUUAUGAUAAUAGAGAAAGAUGGAAGGGGAAGGGGAAGGGCUUGGGAAACAAUUAUGCCAAAAGUUGAAUUGAAACAAAAGUUGGCAAAAUGCCUACACACUUUCAUGCAAAAGAAAGAAAUUGUUUUUUCUAUUCAAUUGCUUAAGCAAACCAGGUUGUUUUUUCUAUUCAAUUGCUUAAGCAAACCAGGUCUGUUUUUUUCAAGUGCAUCACCCUACCUAUUUAUACAAAAUCUAUAUACUAAUUUUAGGGUUUUUCCACCUAACACUACCUACACAAAAUAAUUUUAAAUUUAAUUUACUAAUUUUGCCUUUUACAAUGUUAAAAUCUGACUAGCCCCUCAAAGGUCCCAAAUUUAUAAUUCGGUCCCUCUUAUCUUUCCCAUGCUUCAAUUUAGCCCCUUGUUUGCAUGUCUUUGAUUUAAAGUGCUCGAAUUUCGUUCUUGACAGUAUUUAAACACAAAAUGCACCAAUUAGUAGGGAUUAAUUCGAGAAUAAGUCAAAUUGAACACGUAAAUUAUGUAAAAUGAACAAGCUAUCAAAAUCUGAUUUAGAAAAACAAAAUUAAAAUAUUUAUUGUGCCAUAUAUUUUUUAAAUUAUUUUUCUAAUAAACUUUAAUUAGAAAGGAAUGUUUUUUUUUCAGCUUAGUUGGUCAUGGGAGACUAAAUCCAGGAAGAGAUCUUGGGGUUCUCCCCAACUGAGAUAUAAUAAGGUUGUGGGCGAAUGACCAUAACCAGGGCACAGGAGAGAUGAUGGUAAUAAAGGAUAGGUUGGUGGAAGUAGCGAAGAGGAUGAACAAGGAUCAAUAGUAUAAAGAAGAGAAGCAAAAACUCUUUACAAACUCAACCAGAGAGCAAGUUACUUUAUAAACUAAACAACAUAACUUCUUUAUUGAUGUAUUGGAUUAUCUAAUUCACAUCAUUGUAAUGUUUCAGCGGUUCAACUUUUAUAUAAACUUUCAUGCUCCUAUUUUACAUCAAUUUUUUUCCUUUUAUAUCUAGAAAUCAUGACUUGAACUUUGCUAAUUUAGACCGGAAGAGUUUGAGUUGAAGAAGCCUGCUGCUUACCAUUGCCAUCGGCCUCUUCAUUUUCUCCUGUAAGUUCUUCCAACGAUUUUCCCUUAGAUUCAGGCACCAAAAGAGUGAAGAAUAUUCCAAGGCAGUUGAUUGAUCCAAGCACAAGCAAUGUAUUUUUAACCCCAAUACCAGGUGGGUAUCCCUGAUCAGUCUCCUCCGGAUUUGUGCUCUGUGCUGCAUACAAGAAUCCUAACGCCCCGACGAUGGCCCCGAGUUUUCCGGCAGCAGCUGAGAUCCCAUGGCAAGUCGACCUCAGUCUUGCUGGGAAAAUCUCAGCUGGCACGACAAAUGUGGUGGCAUUUGGUCCAAAAUUCGCAAAGAAAAAGGUCAAUGAAUACAUGAUGAGGAACCCAGCAUUGUUGGACAACCAGUGAUGGUAAGGUAUCGCAAGUGCAAACAUGAACACUGUCAUGAAAAAGAACCCCAUCAAUUGAAUUGUGAACCUGCCAAUAUAAUCGAUUAACGCCACCGUAAACCAGUAUCCAGGGAUCGUGCCACAAAGUGCGAUAAGCGAUUGCGACGCCGCGACUCGAUAAACCUCAUGAAUUGCGUUCAUGGUUUCGGCUUUUGGAAGCCAACCAAUGGCAGUGAAGAUGUCUUUUUGGAACAAAUUGUUACUGUAAUAGGCAAUGUCUAAUAAGAACCAACAUACGGAUGUUCCAAGUAAAUGUAGUCCAUGGCGUCGAGCGAAUUCCUUAGUAAAUAGACCAAAGGAGUUCGACGAUGAUGCCGUCUCUACCUUCUCUUCUUCAGCUUCAAGCUCCACUUGCAGAACCUUGGACAUGUCUGAAGCAGCCUGCUUUGCGUUCCUAGCAACAAGGGCGGUGUAACGGGCUGUUUCGGGCAUCUUCAUACGCCAGUAGUAUGUUAGAAGCGCAGGAACAGCGCCGAACAUGAGUAUAAUCCGCCAAAUAUAGUCGGCUUCAGGCGCAGUCGAAUCUUUUCGGUUAACCGAAUAUGGAGGGGCCUUAUAUGCAUGAUCGAAAGAAGCCGACACGAUAAGUGCAACGAUCCCACCUGUUAAAAUCCCAAAUCCUUGCAUUGCAAACACAGCAGCGAUAAAUGCUCCACGAGUUUUCUUGUUUGCAUAUUCGGACAUGAUGGUGGCUGACAAGGGAUAGUCACCACCGAUUCCGAAACCAAGCCAAAACCUGAAGAAACAAAGUGUUGUCAUAACACCAGCAGGAGACUUCCCAAAGGAAAGUCCAGAAGCAAUGGAACAGACCACCAUGAGCAUGAGGGUUAGUCCGUAAACCCGCUUCCGGCCUAAUUUAUCACCAAGCCAGCCAAAGAAAAGCUGACCAGCUAACGUGCCAACAAAGGCUGUCCCAUUAACAGCAGCUGCUACAUUAGGAGGCAAUGUUCCAGGCUUUGGAUGGUUUUCAUUUGUGUAGUAAAUACGACCAAGAAGUUUUGUGAUAAGAGAGAUGCCAAACAAGUCAUAAGCAUCAGUGAAAAAACCCAUUCCCGCAAUUACAAUGGCAGUGAAAUGGUACCAUUGUGUCUUUGCUGCAUCCAGAGCAUUAAGAACUCCAAGCUGGUUGUUAGCCAUGAUAAAUCUCCCUCAAAAUGGAUGAUUUGUACUGGAGUUUGUAAGAUGAUUUGGUGAGUGAAGAAUGAUGAGUAGUGAAGGUAUUUAACAUCUGAUCACUCAAAAGUCUAAGUCUCCCCAGAAUCUUAUCAAUGGCAUAUACCCUUCUUUACCUUAAAAUGUCAAUGCUUGCACAACAGUAGCCGUUGCUUAUUCUUCUAUCCAUCAAUAUAAUAUGCUUUUUUCUUACAUCAGACUCAAACUUUUCUGCCCAACACAACACGGCAACAUUCUUAAAUAAUGUUGCAAAAAAGUUGGACAUAUGGAUCAGUUCACACUGUUCUGUGUGUAUUCUUUAAGGACUAUUGAUUAAACUAUCUUUAUGUCAAUGUACCAGGGCAUAAUUAAAUCUAUUAAGAGCACGAGAAGUUUUAUAUAUAUAUAUAGUUGUAGACUAAAGACAAUAGCAUUAAACCAAAAGGAUAGGUUUGAAGUUUGAACAAUAAGAGCACCAAAACAAAUUUUAGAUUUAUGCCUCCACCAAAUCUUUUUAUAAAUGCAAUCUUGGAAUAUUUUUGUAAGUAAAAGUAGUAACACGGGUCAAGUUGCAUUUUUAUCUUCUUUUUACUUAAAAUAAAAUAAUUUAGUUUUUGUAUAUUAAAUCAAAGAAUUAAUUAAUUCAUGUAUAUCAGUAUAAGGUAUACGUGGUAUGUCACAUGUUACUGUUUGAUUAUUUUGUCAACCGCUAAUUUAAACAUGAUGAAAUUUUUAGUAGAAAUAACCAAUUUACAAUUUAAUCUAAUAUGCAGAAACUAGUUUACCCAUUUUUUGAACUCCUCUAUAAUACUUUUAAGACUUUUACUACUUAAAUUUACAAAAUUUUUGUUUGGUGUAUCUAGAAUAGGUUAUUGUUUCUAAAAGUAAAAAGUAAAGCUAAAGAAAGAAGUUUAGCAUCAAAAGUGUGGUUGAAUUAAAAAGUUUUAAUAGUAAUACUCAACUUGUAUAAAUCAGAUAUGAGAUGAGACAAGAAACUCUUAUCUUUUCACAAAUCAUGCUAACAACCUAGUUGAAUCUGGUUAACAAUUUUGAAAUUUGUUUCAUGAUGUCGUCACCUGGAGUGUGUCCUUGGAAAUCAUAAUCAUUCAUAUUUUAAAUUUUAAUAUGGGAUUAAUUAAUUCAUCUCAAUUGAUAUCGUUCUUAUAACCACAUGAAAUAUAUAAAUUUGAAUACAUUUAGUAUUAAAAAAAUUAUGAUAUGCUGCAAAAAAAAUAAUUUAGAUAUGUCAUGAACUUAAUAUACCAACAUAAUUUUUUAAAUGUACUAAUUAUAUGAGAUGAAUUGAAACAUGAUAUGAAUACAAAAUUAAAUAAAUAAUUAAAAAAUUAUAUUAACAUACAAACAUAAUAAAAUAUGCAUAAAUUAAACACACAAUUUAAUUGUAAAUUUAAGUAUACAUAUUUUUUUAUUAAAUUUAUUUUCAAUUUGUUGGGAAACAUUUAUUUUAAUACUUUUAGUAUUUUUGAUGUAUUAUAUUUUAAAAAAUAACAUGGAUUGGAUCAAGCCCAACUUUUAAAAUUUUUAUCCAGAUCGAGCUUGGACAAAAUAUUAGGCCUAUUUUUCGAGCCGAGCCAGGACCUAGCAAACAAGCCUAAAAUUUUGAUUAGGCCCAGCCCGGCCCGACCCAUGAGCAUCUCUACCUAUUACAUAAAGCUCCCCAAAUUCUUAAAUUUACCAUUUUAACUAAAAUACAAUUAUUAAUUUAUAUUACAUAAAUUUUAUUUUUUACACUCACGACCAUAUGUUAUAAUUAUUUUUUAACAAAAAAAUGCUAGAUAUUAUUAUUUUUAUCAAAAGAUAGAUACUAGAUGUUACAGUUGCGAUCUAGUCGGAACAGUGGUUUCGGGACCACAAAUUCGACAAAGAAAAUUUUAUUUUUUACUAUAUUUUUAUGGUCUAAAAUUUCACGGAAUGAUUUCAUAAAAAUUUCAUUCAAAAAUUUCAACGUUUGGGCACUCAAUUUAGCCAAAAGGACUAAAUUGUAAAAAGUGCAAAAGUUGAGUUCUAGAAGCUAGAGGUGUUAAAUUGCUAUGAAAUUUUAAAUUGGAGGUCCUUAAAUGGUAAUUAGACCAUUGGUUAACUUUUUGGACAAAAAUGGACAAGAUAUAAGUGAAAUAGGAUUUUUUUUUAAGUUGGGGGCAUUUUGGUCAUUGAGUAAUUAAAAGAAUUAAAAAGGCCAAAAUAGCCAAAAAUUUGACCAUCUUCAAGCUAAGGCCGAAUUUAGCAAGGGGAGAAGUCAUAUUUAGGGUUUUCAAGCUUCCAAGCUCCAUAGUAAGUGAUUCCAAGCCCCGUUUUUAAUGUUCUUUACGUUUUUGGAGUCCCGGUAACUUGUUUUUGCUAUUUCUAGCAAUAAUUUAACCUAGGGAUUAUAUUUGGAAAAAUACCCAUAGUUGAAAUGUGUUUAUUUUGAUGUUUUAUGGUAGAAUAUAAAGCUAGAAAUUAUGUUAAAAAACUUUUGCUAAGCGAUUUUAAGUGAAAACGAGUAAAACGACAUAAUUGGUAAAAAUACCUAAUGUUCAUAAGUAAGUGUUAGAGUGGGAAUUUGAUGUUUCCAUAGAAGGGAAAAAUGUUUAGUAUGUCAUAAAACAUAAGAAUAAGAGAUGAAGUUUAAUUUCCGAGCUUUGGGGCAAAAGUGUAAAUAUGCAAAAGUUUAGGGGCAAAAUUGUAUUUUUCCAAAGUUUGAGUUAAGGACUGUUUUGAUGAAUGUACAUGUUAAAUAAGUUAAAUGUGUUAUUAUAGUUCAAGAAAGAAGUGGAAUCGACCUUGAUCGGAGAAAAGAAAAGAUUAAAGACUAAAUUGCUAAAUUUCUAUAUUGUUGCACCAAACUAAGUUUGUAUGUGAAUUAAUGCAUUGUUUUAAUGUUAUUCAAUAUAUUGUUGAGAUUUGAGUGAAUAUAGAUUAAACAUUUGAUGUAAAUUAUAAAAAAAAUGUGGUUAAGUUAGAGAAAGGUGGUAAAAUGUUAAAAAAACAAGGUUUCCGAUUGAAGGGCAAUUUACCAAUAAAAGCACUUUUUUUCAAAAAUUACCGAAAUGGGCCCAUUAUUUAAUUAUUUGCCGGAAUGGUCCAUUUUCCGCGAAAUCGCGUCCACGUCAGCGCGAUGUCAGGGUACGCGUCAGGAAAUCGCGUCCACGUCAGCAACUCCCGCUGACGUGGACGCGAUUUCCUGGCGCCACGUAGCGCGUUCCGGGGGACGCGAUUUUGUCGUUUUUCCCACGUUAGCUUUUUUUGGCUUUUAUGGUUUAGGGUUCAGGCUUUUUAAGGUUUUUAGGUCUUGGAAGAAAUAAUUUCGAGUUGAUGUUUCUGAUCAAAUAGUAUAAAAUUGCUUCUAGCAGGAUGCUAUUUGGGAAGAAUUUGUGAAAUCGCGCCCUCGUGGACGCGCUUUUGCUACAGUAGGUCACGGAAGAAAUAAUUAUUUUUUUGACGUUUCUGAGCAAAAAGUAUAAAAUCGCUUCUAGCAGGAUGCUAUAUGAGAAGAAAUUGUGAAAUCGCGCCCUCGUGGACGCGCUUUUGCUACAGUAGGUCACAGAAGAAAUAAUUAUUUUUUUGACGUUUCUGAGCAAAUAGUAUAAAAUCGCUUCUAGUAGGAUGCUAUUUGAGAAGAAUUUGUGAAAUCGCGCCCUCGUGGACGCGCUUUUGCUACAGUAGCAUGUUUGGGUUGAGGCUAUAAAUUAGGCAGAAAAUGUUCUUAGAAUGCAUAAGUCAUAGCAGAAACAAUUUAGAGAGGCUAAGAAGGUUAGAGUUUCAAAUAUGAGUGAACGUAUUAGUGUUGUUAUUUACUACGAUGGUGAGGUUUGCCACACUGAGAAUGGUGUUGUUUUUUUGUCGGAGAAUACGGUGCGACUGGUUUUUAACCAGAACAUAGAUUUGACAGAACUUCGUAAAAGGAUUAGGCGUAAAAUUUUCGGAACGACACCAAUGAAAGUUCUGUCUAUCACGUAUUGAUUUUGUUGUUCUGUUGAUCCGGUGACAUAUGACUCGUUCGACAUAAAAGGUGCUCGUAGCUUGGAGGCAAUGGUGCAGACUCAUCUUGCUAGUGGAGCACCUUAUAUUAAGUUAUAUGUACAAUUUACAUCGCCAACUGAUGUACUUGCGACCGGUCUUCGAGAUGUAUACACCACCCCUGGCCGACACUCGGUCAGCGGGUUACAAAAUACGGAACAGCCCAUGUUCGGUAGCGGUGUCGAAUGCACAUCCCCUGCGAGACACUCUAUCGGUGGAUGGGACAUGUACGUCGGUGGCUCGAUGUUUGAUGCUGGAAAUACAUACUGGGGAGCGGCAUCAAGUUCUAGCGGGUGGCAAUCUACAUCCAAUUGGGGACGUUAUAAAAUGCCCAGAAGAAGGGAUGAUGCACUCCCUACGACGUCAACCGGUGAGGGGGCCUCAUACACUGCAGAUGAUUGUAGGUUAGAAGAUGACUCCGAUGUGGAUCCACCUCGAGAGCCCAGGCCAGAUGGUGCAGAAGUUGGCUUAUUUUCUGAACCGGAGCCUAUUCCAACAGAAGCUGAAGAUGCUGAAAGGAGUUUAGAUAAGGAAGAAAAUCCACGAUUCAGAGCAUAGUCACCUCCAGCCCACAUGCAUAAUGUCGAUCUGUCUGCAGAUGAUGCGUUAGAGUUUCCAGAUCUACCACACCGGUUGUGUGAUCAUACAAGUUCGGGGGUAGAUUUCGGUGAACUUGAAGUUGGUAAUCAGUUUACCGACAAGGAUAGUUUUAUUGGUGCUUUGAAACAACAUAGCAUCAAAAACGGUGUUAACUACCACGUCGUUAAAUCAAAAUCUGAUAAGUUUGAAGCGAAGUGUGCGGUGCAAGACGGCACAUGUUCAUGGAAAAUCUACGCCUCGUUAAGGAAAAGGACAGGGUUGUGGGAGAUAAAAAAGUACAAAGGUCCACAUACAUGUGCUGCAGGUACAAUAUUGACGGUAUCUGAAUAAUACUUUUAUUAUGCAAUGUUGCAUUAUUUAAUGUACUCCCUUUAUAGGUGUUUUACAAGAUCAUCCCAAAAUGGAUUCAGCUAUGUUAGCUAGCUUGAUACUACCCACGAUAAAAGCAGAUCCUAGGACUUCAGUGCCGGUGUUAAUUGCCAAUGUCCGUAGCCAAAUCGGGUACACGCCAUCUUACCGCAAGGCUUGGAUAGCUAAGCAAAAGGCGUUGGAGAAGAUGCAUAGUGGGUGGGACGCCUCAUAUAAUGAAAUAUGGUAGUGGUGUCAGGUGCUAGAGAGAUACGUCCCAGAUGCCAUCACAGACCUUGAAACGGAACAUGCGUACUACAACGGUCGAUUGCUACGUGGAUGCCAAGUGUUCAAACGCCUGUUUUGGACCUUUAAGCAAUGUCGAGACGCAUUUCCAUAUUGCAAGUCGUUGGUACAAAUUGACGGUACCUUCAUGUUCGGUAGGUAUACUCAUCGGCUAUUGCUUGCAGUGGCACAGGAUGGUGGUGGGAGAAUUCUUCCAAUUGCAUUUGCAAUAACACCGAGGGAGUCGUCUGAUGACUGGGAUUUCUUUCUCUCUAGGUUAAGGAGGCAUGUGUGCCCCCAACCUGAUAUCUGUGUUAUUUCAGAUCGGGGCAGCGGUAUACUAGCUGCAUUUGAUCGAGAGGGAAGCUUAUGGCAGCGCACACACCAUAGAUAUUACCUAAGACACGUUGCUUCGAACUACUACAGGCAAUAUCCAUCUAAGAGCAAACGACGACAAGUGACCAACAUGGGUAUUUAGUCUAUAUCUGUGUUGUUUCGUUUGUCAAUUUGAAUUAGUUUUAUUGGUAGAAGUGGUAUAAAUUAUUCGCUAUGAUCUUAUAUUGGCAGGGUAUGAAAUAAAUAAAGAUCGUUUUCACGAGAUGUUGGUAAUUUUAAGUUCAAUUAACGGAGAAGGGGCGGACUACCUUUGUAACAUACGUUUCGAACAGUGGGCACAAGCAUACGACGGCGACCUAAAUAUGGCCAUAUGACGUCGAACCUGGCUGAAUGCAUAAAUUCUGUUCUUAAAGGAAAGCGCCAUCUACCGAUAACAUCGGUUGUGCGAGAAACAUAUUUUUGUUUGGCGGCACUAUGUCCAAAGCGAGCAGCAAGUUAUGCAGGCCAGAUGCAUGCAGUAAGGCAGUUCAAGAAAUUAACAAGGCCAAGGCGAGGGCAAACACUAUGCACACAGUGUGUCACAAUCGAGACAAUUUAUGGUUUCGCGUGACAGAGUUUGACAGACCGCACCAAGGUGUUGUUGGCGGGCAAUAUCGUGUACACUUGCGAAAUAAGACUUGUGACUGUGGGAUGUUUGAUGCACUUCGUUAUCCAUGAGCUCAUGUUAUUGCAGCUUGUCAGAAACUCCGUCUGGAUCCGAUGAGUUAUGUGGACGAAGUGUAAAAAUUAGAAAACAUGUACAACGUCUGGAGACACGUUUUCCCACCGGUCUCAGAUGAACGUAAGUGGCCGCCCGUAUCUCUUGCUCCUUUUAAGCUAUUACCAGAUAGAGAAUUACAUCGCAAACCAAAGGGUCGACCUUGCUCGACUAGAAUACGUAACAAUAUGGAUAUCCGAGAAACAGCCAGUCAAACGAAGUUGUGCGGAUGGUGUAGGAAUCCAGGCCAUACAAGUCGAUCAUGCUCUAAUUGCAAUAGUUGAAUUUAAUUGUAAAAAAAUUAACUUUGUGCAAUUAUUAAUUGAUAAAUUGUAUUAACUCAAAAAAUUGUAUUAAUGGUUAGUAAAAUUAUCAAAUUAUAUAAAAUUAUUAAUUGUUAGUACUAGUCAAAACAUUUUUCCAAAUCUAAAAUUAUGUGAAUGUAAAAUUAUUAACUCUAAAAAUUGUAUUAAUGGUUAGUAAAAUUAUCAAAUUAUAUAAAAAUUAUUAAUUGUUAGUAGCCGUCAAAACAUUUUUCCAAAUCUAACAUUACGUGAAUGUAAAAUUAUUAACUUUGCUUAGGUUUUUUAAUUAAAUUAGGUUAGGGUUUUAAAGUUAAAGGUUAGGGUUUUUAAGUUAAGGGGUUAGNNNNNNNNNNNNNNNNNNNNNNNNNNNNNNNNNNNNNNNNNNNNNNNNNNNNNNNNNNNNNNNNNNNNNNNNNNNNNNNNNNNNNNNNNNNNNNNNNNNNNNNNNNNNNNNNNNNNNNNNNNNNNNNNNNNNNNNNNNNNNNNNNNNNNNNNNNNNNNNNNNNNNNNNNNNNNNNNNNNNNNNNNNNNNNNNNNNNNNNNNNNNNNNNNNNNNNNNNNNNNNUCAAAAUAACUCAAAAAAUUUAUAUUCUUUUACAUAAAAUAAUAUCAAAUAUUCAAAUAUUUGUACAAAUAAAUUUAAAUACGGCAAUCAAUGUCUAUGCCCGGGGGAUUCAGUGCCACAUGGAGGCCGUCGACGGUUACGCGCUGGAUUCCUCCUUUCUCUAGCUUCCGGUGGCAGUUGUUGUUCCUCCGCUGGGGAUUCCGGUUCUUCCGGUUCGGCAUCUGGUUGUCGGACUUGGGACGAUGAUCCACCUUCAAAGAAUAGUGUAUGCGGAGGUGUUUGCAUUAGGAACGGCAACGGUGUUUGAAACCCAUACGUUGGUGGGGAUUGGUAAAAAGGAGAGCUCCCGACGGCCCCUCUUGCGAUCCCUCGUACUUCGCUGGCCUAUACAUCGGCGGUCCGCUCGGCAUAACAAGAAAUGGAGUUGAACCGGGCAUUUGGCUCCAACCUGCUAUAGGACUCGGAAAAGGAUACAUAUAAGGGUUAGGGUACAUAUAAGGGCUAGGAAGCACACCUGGCAUCAUCUGAAAAGGCGGUUGCGUGGGUAUCAUCGGUUGAACUGCUGCGUCGGGUGACUCCAUCGGUGCUCUUGUUUGGCCUGGUGAUUGCAUGGCCGCUGAUGAUGAGCCGGGUGAAUAUCUGGGCCUCGUUGAGGGGCUGCAUUUUUCGUCUUGUCGUCUUGGAUUUAGAGGCCCGCGUUUUUCCCUUUCGACACGUAUUUGCCGCUGCCUCUCCUCUGGCGUCAGUAAAUAUGGCUUGCCAUGGAUCCUAAACCAUGGCAUGUAUUCUAGAACGUACGCUAACUUUGGAACGAUGAUUGGUUCCCGAGUAGGUAGAUAUUCAUACCGAUCUUCCCACAUUUCCAUGUACUAAGACCAGUAUCUCGUCUAAUCCGUAUUCAAUUACCGAAGGUCGACUUUGUGUUGAUCGUCAAACACCUCAGGAUCCACCGGAAUCGGUUGUCUACAUCCAAACUGUCGUAGCACUCUGUCUAUCUCGUACGGCUCCACGGUUGCGUAGUUGAUCAACACGACUUUCACAUGCCAAGCUUGUGGAUUUUGUAAAAACUCUUCCGGGAUUACUGCCCAAAUUGCCGAAUCCUCGUAUGGUGUCCAUUGAAACUAUAUGAACAUGAUAGAAAUAUUAGUUAAAUACAUAAUAGUAAAUACUAAAUAUCAAUCGACUAGCGAAUGUAUGGAAAAAUCUAUUUUAUUUAAAACUUACUUGUGCUUCCGACCGUUGGUCCAAUAGAAGCCGUGUAUCUUCAAGAAAGGAUGGUAAUCGAGCAUGACUUGCCGGAUGGUUCCACCUAAUUAAAUAAAUUUUUAGCAUACUUUUAUUUUUAAAAAUCUACAUAAUAAUUGUAAAAUCUAAUAUAAAAUUUACCUCGUUAUGAGUGGGAAUGUAUAUGGGUGGUCCACUCUAGGACGUAGAAAUGAAAAGCGAAACCGUGCCCACGACUGCAGUAGUGACAGGCAACCUCCGAUUUUUGCUCUUCUCGGUCGCGUCGCCCCGCACAUCUCCUGAUAUAAUGUUGCCAAGACAGCAGACCCCCAACUCAUUUCACCGCUGCUCUGAAAUCAACGAGUUUCAGCAGCCAUCUUAGAUGUACGCAGCUCCGUGACGUGUCGGGCAUCAGAUAACCUCCAAUUAAUUGAANNNNNNNNNNNNNNNNNNNNNNNNNNNNNNNNNNNNNNNNNNNNNNNNNNNNNNNNNNNNNNNNNNNNNNNNNNNNNNNNNNNNNNNNNNNNNNNNNNNNNNNNNNNNNNNNNNNNNNNNNNNNNNNNNNNNNNNNNNNNNNNNNNNNNNNNNNNNNNNNNNNNNNNNNNNNNNNNNNNNNNNNNNNNNNNNNNNNNNNNNNNNNNNNNNNNNNNNNNNNNNNNNNNNNNNNNNNNNNNNNNNNNNNNNNNNNNNNNNNNNNNNNNNNNNNNNNNNNNNNNNNNNNNNNNNNNNNNNNNNNNNNNNNNNNNNNNNNNNNNNNNNNNNNNNNNNNNNNNNNNNNNNNNNNNNNNNNNNNNNNNNNNNNNNNNNNNNNNNNNNNNNNNNNNNNNNNNNNNNNNNNNNNNNNNNNNNNNNNNNNNNNNNNACAGACUUUUAUAACAAAUAAAAAAUUAAUAAUUAUCUAAAAAUGCAUAAAUAAAAAAUUCUUAAAUAAUAUUUAAAAAUUAAAUUUAAUACUUACCAUUUUCAUUUGUUCCACCGAUAUGUGAUGCUCAUCAAGACGAGUCAAUUCUCCAGCCAUUGCUGAAAUCGUAUAAAUUUUUACGGUUAAAAAUUUAAAUUUUUUAAAAAUUUAUUUUAAAAAAUGGAGUUAAGAGAAACUUAAGAGGAACUUAAGAAAAACUUAAGAGAAUUUUUGAAGGAAAUUGAGAGGAAAUUUGAGAGAGGAUUAGUUUGUGAAAAGAAAAAGGGUGGAGGGUAUUUAUAGUUUUUUUUUUACCGUUGGGGGCGGCAACGGUCAAAUUUUCGACCGUUGGAGCACUGUUCACACGCGGGUCAAAUCGCGUCCACGUCAACGCGAGUUGCUGACGUGGCAGCAAAUCGCGUCCUUGAGGGCGAGAUUUGUUGCCACGUCAGCAACUCGCGCUGACCUGGAUGCGAUUUACUGACGCGUACCCUGACAUCGUGCUGACAUGGACGCGAUUUCGCGAAAAAUGGACCAUUACGAUAAAUAAUUAAAUAAUGGGCUCAUUUUGGUAAUUUUUUUAAAAAAGGGCUUUUAUUGGUAAAUUGCCCUCGAUUGAACACUCGGAAUAGACCGGAAUACAUUGGAUAAAAAGGGGUCGCUAAGUGCAGAUUCCCCGAGGGGUUGCUAAGUGCUGAUUCCCCGAAUUAUUGAUUCUAAAGGUGGUUGCUAAGUGUUGAUUCCACCGUAUAUUUGAUUGUAAAAGGGGUUGCUAUGUGCUGAUUCCCUGUAUCACUGAAUAUAAAUGUGGUUGCUAAGUGCUGAUUCCACCGUAUCUUUGAUUGUGAAAGGAGUUGCUAUGUGUUGAUUCCCCGUAUCACUAAAUUUAAGGUGGUUGCUAAGUGCUGAAUCCAUCGAGUAACGGAUAAUAUUCUGAGGGUUCAACAGGGAAAUUGGAAAAGUGAAUGUACAUAUGAAAUGGACAAGAUUAUGUGAGGAAUAUUGGGUUUGAUACUUAAUCGACCCAUGUGUAAGAUGGUAUGAAAUAUCAAAACUAUAAAAGAGUAAAUUUAGAAAUAAAACAGUUUUGAACAACAGUAGUUGUGCAACUUUGAAAAAUCACCAUAAAUGGUGGAAAUUGAAUUAGAGGCUGAAUAAGAUAUGAAAUUGAAUCUGAAUGAGUCUAUUUUCGCAUGAAAGAAACAGAGCAAGAAAAACAAUUAUAUAUUAUGAAAUAUUUGAAUUUUUGUGAGAUAGGGUUGAAUUGAUUUCGAAAUCCCCUGUUCCAAAUUUGGAAAAUCACCAAAUACUGUAUAAAAAUAGUUAUGGCUUGUAUUAUACAUGCUUGAACUUCUCAUUGAGUUUAUUUGCAAGAGGAACAAACAAGAACGUCGUUUGAAUUUUGCACAAAGAGUUAAGUAAAUUUUAGUGAAGAGAGGUCAGAGCUGUUGAGCAGUGAAACAGGGAAAGUUUAAAGAAUAAAAUAUACUAAUUAGCUAAUCCAAAAAUUCUGAAAAUUUAAUGGUAAGAAGAUAUGUGAGUUUAGCUUCGGGUAAAAUUAACGGAACUUAAUUUGGAGCUCUUUAGCUCCAGAUAAAAAUAAUUUAGUGACUGUAACUUGACUAGACAGCUUUAAAUUUUAAUAUAACUGGAUAGUGAAAUUAUGUAUAAUGUUAUUUAAGCAUGUUAUGUACAUAAAGGACGUGGGAUGGAGAGGAGGAGGAGGAGGACAAUAAAAUGUAUGAAUGAAUUGUGUAUAAAUGGUCAUAUGGCCGAUUAUAAUCGGUAAAUGUUAAAUUAAAUGGUAAAUACAUAUUGGUACUGAAGGAGCUAUUGCGGUGUUGAAAAGCAAAUGAUCAAAUGUUUAAGAAAUUUAGUCAUGAUAUAUAUAUGUGUGAUAAUAAUGAUGUAUGGAUGAUUAUAUUAUUGAGUUGCAUUGAUUAAUUCGGUUUAGGUGAUGGAAAUGUCAAGAACAUUUGUCUUUGAUAUGUGAUGGUCAUGUAAUGCCAUGAAAAUUUGUUUAAUUGUGUGGUUUAAAAUGUAUCUAUAUUUUGUUAUAUAACUUAUUUUGUAAUCUAUUCGACAAAUGAUAAAAAUUAAUUCGGUUACUAUGUGAGGUGAAUUAUGAUUUGUGAAGCAUAUCUAUAUUCAGCAAUAAUGGAUAAAAUACAUUUAUGUCAUGGGUGAAUGGUUAAACACUUGGGUUAGUGUAAAGUGUAUAUUUAGUAAGGUUUUUUGGAAAAGAAAUAGCAAGUUUUGGUUUAUAUCGAAUAGAGAAAAUUUGUACUAUCUUUGUGGCUAAUUUUGUUAGCUGUAUGGGAGAUGAAUGGUUAAUGUAUGUAUGUGACAAUUAGCUUACCAGAUAGUGAACUAUUGAUAUACUACAAUAGUUAAAAAUGAAAAUUUGACGAUAUGAGAAUAUGUAAUGAUACGGAUCAAUUCAAGUACUCAGGACGAAUUCAACAAGUAAGUGAAAAUUUAUAAAUUCAUACGACGAGGAAGUGAAAGAUUGUGAGUAUAUUUAGCCAAGUAAACCCUAAUUAACGACCCAAGAAUAACAAUUGGAAAGUUUUAAUUUGGAUAAAAUUUUAUAACUCAGAUUAAUAUGUCUAUAAGUGUAUUUAUUCUGGUAAUGCCUCAUACCCUAUUCCAGUGUUGAUACGGGUAAGAUGUGUUACAAUGUGACAUCACCAGAUUUGGCCCUAAUGUUUAGGUCGGGUUUGGGGUGUUACAUUUAGUGGUAUAAGAGCUACGAUUUAGUCGGUUCUCGGAUCAAACGUAGCAUAUGUGAGUCUAGCUAUACAUGCCAUGUUAUUACUCGUGAUGAUGUGAUAUCUCCGCGCUCUAACGAAAUUGUUUUGUUAAGACAGAGAUGAUUUUCAAUCGAGCUAUUUUCGAUAAUGCUAAAAAUGAUAUUGAGAUGAAUGAAAUAUGCUGAUGUUAUGUUGGAAUUUGGAAAGGUAAGAAUAAAAAUUCGUGAUAUGUACGUUUUCAUGUAUGAAAAGAGAUGAUCAUAAGUUUAAAAAAAAGUUUAUGUUGUGAUAAGCUCAUCCAAGUAUGUUGGUGAUUAUAUGGUGCUAUGUGCUCAACAUAUUUGAUUAAGUGAAUAUGAUAAGAGAAUUUACUUAAAUAGAUGGAAUGUCUGUUUAUGUACAUCUGCUUGAAUAAGUGAAAUUAGUACGUUCAUACGAUAGAAUCUUAUGUUUAAUUGUUAAAUUAAAGAUAAUAAGAUAUUUUGUUUUAUGUCUUUACUAUUAAACCAUGAAUAUUAUAAUAGCAUGAAAAUUGAAUUGGAAGAUUAAAUUAAGUAGAACGCAAGAAUGAGUACUUUUGUUCAGUGAUAUGUAAUGAAUCGAAAAAAAAGACCAUGGUUGGACCAUGGCAACAUGUGAUAUGUGAUUUCCGUAUAAGACCAUAUAUGGGAUAUGGCAUUGGUGUAAUAUGUGCUACUGUGUAAGACCAUAGCUGGGCUAUGGCAUCAAUAUGUAAAUAUGUGUAAGACCAUAGUUGGACUAUGGCAUAGAUAAAAUGAAGUACUCAAUUCUGUAAGACGUUCUCUAAUUGAAUAAAUGUCGAUAAGUAAAAUGGAAGCUAAGUAUUGGAAUUUAAUUAGAUAUUAAUAUUGAGCUCGAGUAAGUAAAUUCAUUGUGUGAAAUUGUGGGUGACAGAAAAUAUUCAUAAUACAUAGAUGUGUUAAUUUACUUGGAAUGAAUUACGUGGUUAUGAUGGUAUUACAUUGAUGAUGAAUGCAAAGUCAUAUAUAUAUAUAUAUAUAUAUAUAUAUAUAUAUAUAUGUAUUUAUGAGAGCAAGUUAAAAGCUUUAUGACCUCAACAUCACCCCCUCAUUAGUAUUGUUUUAUGAUGAAAAUUAUCUUGAUGAGACAGAUAUGUUUUUCAACUGAGUUAAUUCUGACAGCAUAGAAGUAAACACUUAAAUGUUUGAGUGAAAAUGUAUUGAUUAUGAGUUGAAACUCAUAAAGGUAUAGAUCAAAGAAUAUAACAUUUUGUUAUUGAUAAAUGUUAUAAUUAUACGAGCAUAUGAGUUAUGAUAUUUGGAUUAUUAUGCUAUAUAGAAAUUUCGAUUGUGAAUUAGUGAUUUGAGUUGGCAUAUGAAUUAUGUGUUGAGAACAAAAGUGAUUAAAAGCAAAUGUUUAUUAAAUGCUUUGAGAAUGUGAAAUUAGUAAUGACUUGGUUAUUUGUGAUAGUAUGUGUUAUGCGCAUUUAUGUGUAAGAUAAAUUUGAGGCUUUACGACACUUACCUCCCAUAUCAGUAAAAUGUUACAAUAAAAUUUGUGAGAUUUUGGUUGAAUAAGCUUACGAGUGCAGUGUUACAGAAAUUUGUGUACGGGGGAUUAAUAAUGUGGUCGGAAAAGUGAAUGAAUUAGCAAAUGAAGACAAUACAAAAAGAGAGAAAUAUUGGAUAGUUUUGAAAACUACUCAGAUUAUGUAAAGUUACUGUCACAAAAGAAGUUAAAUCCGAUUAAAUAAUUUAUUCAGAUAUGUUAUUUAAAGAAAAAAAUUAACCAGAAGUUUUUCUGGAUCGAUUUCUGUAAGUAAAGAGAUAAUGUGAAGAGAGGUCAGAGCUGUUGAGCAGUGAAACAGGGGAAAGUUUAAAGAAUAAAAUGAACUAAUUAGCUAAACCAAAAAUUCUGAAAAUUUUAUGGUAAAAAGAUAUGUGAGUCUAGUUUCGGGUAAAAUUAACGGAACUUAAUUUGGAGCUCUUUAGCUCCAGAUAAAAAUAAUUUAGUGAUUGUAACUUGACUAGACAGCUUUAAAUUUUAAUAUAACUGGAUAGUGAAAUUAUGUAUAAUGCUAUUUAAGCAUGUUAUGUACAUAAAGGACGUGGGAUGGAGAGGAGGAGGAGGAGGACAAUAAAAUGUAUGAAUGAAUUGUGUAUAAAUGGUCAUAUGGCCGAUUAUAAUCGGUAAAUGUUAAAUUGAAUGGUAAAUACGUAUUGGUACUGAAGGAGCUAUUGCGGUAUUGAAAAGCAAAUGAUCAAAUGUUUAAGAAAUUUAGUCAUGAUAUAUAUAUGUGUGAUAAUAAUGAUGUAUGGAUGAUUAUAUUAUUGAGUUGCAUUGAUUAAUUCGGUUUAGGUGAUGGAAAUGUCAAGAACAUUUGUCUUUGAUAUGUGAUGAUCAUGUAAUGCCAUGAAAAUUUGUUUAAUUGUGUGGUUUAAAAUGUAUCUAUAUUUUGUUAUAUAACUUAUUUUGUAAUCUAUUCGACAAAUGAUAAAAAUUAAUUCGGUUACUAUGUGAGGUGAAUUAUGAUUUGUGAAGCAUAUCUAUAUUCGGCAAUAAUGGAUAAAAUACAUUUAUGUCAUGGGUGAAUGGUUAAACACUUGGGUUAGUAUAAAGUGUAUAUUUAGUAAGGUUUGUUGGAAAAGAAAUAACAGGUUUUGGUUUAUAUCGAAUAGAGAAAAUCUGUACUAUCUUUGUGGCUAAUUUUGUUAGCUAUAUGGGAGAUGAAUGGUUAAUGUAUGUAUGUGAAAAUUAGCUUACCAGAUAGUAAACUAUUGAUAUACUACAAUAGUUAAAAAGGAAAAUUUGACAAUAUGAGAAUAUGUAAUGAUACGGAUCAAUUCAGGUACUCAGGACGAAUUCAACAAGUGAAAAUUUAUAAAUUCAUACGACGAGGAAGUGAAAGAUUGUGAGUAUAUUUAGCCAAGUAAACCCUAAUUAGCGACCCAAGAAUAACAAUUGGAAAGUUUUAAUUUGGAUAAAAUUUUAUAACUCUGAUUAAUAUGUCUAUAAGUGUAUUUAUUCUGGUAAUGCCUCGUGCCCUAUUCCAGCGUUGAUACGGGUAAGAGGUGUUACAAUGUGACAUCACCAGAUUCGGCCUGAAUGUUUAGGCCGGGUUUGGGGUGUUACACUAGAGGUGCUCAUGGGCCGGGCCGGGCUAGGCCCAGAAAAAAUUUCGGCUCACGUCCUAGGCCUGGCCCGGCCCGGCCCAAAAUAUGGGCCUGAAAUUUUGUCUAGGCCCGGCCUGGCCCAUUUUUUAAUAAACACCAAAAAUUUAUUUUAAAAAUAAUAAAAUAAAAAAAAGUAUUUUAAAAAUAUUUUAAAAUAAAAAAAUAAAAAAAUAUAUAUUUAUUAUAUUCGGGCCGGGCCGGGCCCGGGCCAAAAAAAUGGUGGCUGUGGCCCGGCCCGUUUUCUAAACUGGUCUCGUUUUUUUGCCCAAACUCAUAUUUCUGGCCUAUAUUUUUACCCGAACCCUCCCAUAUUUCGGGCGGGCAGUCGGGCCGGGCCGUCCGGCCCAUGAGCACCUCUAAUAGAUACUCUUUUUAUAUUAAUCGUUACAAAACGGGGAUAUUUUAUAUUUCAUAAAGUGGAGUGAUCCACUUACACAUAUGAAAAAUUAUAAUAAUUUUACACAUUUUUGUAUAUUUUUGUACGAUUAAUAUUUUAAUGAUUUGAUCAUCAUAUUUUAUAUUUUAUUUAUAUAGAUCAUGCAUGUCAAAUUUGACAUAAAUAAAAAGUUUCUAACUAUUUAUUUUAUUUAAAAAAAUUCAACUAUUCAAUAAAUAUUAAUAUAUAUAAUAUUUUAAAUCAAGAUGAUAGAGAUAUUAGACCAGUUCGAAAAUUCACAUGUAUGGCAAAUACAAUAAUAUUGAUUCAACUGUUGGGUUGUUAAAAUAUUAACCAUACAAACAUAUACAAAAACGAUGUAAAACUACUUUGCACUGAUAUAAUUGAAUCAUUCCCCGUUAUAAAUCUAGGUAUUUAUAACUACUGGCGAUUAUAGUGACUAAGCAUUUCAUUACCUCAUCAUGAGUGCUCUUCAAAUAGAUAAAUAACUAAUGAUUAAAUAUGUUUCAUUCUUAUAAAUGGAAACCGAAUCCGAAUGUGUAAUCGCAUUAUCAAUAUAUAAAAUAAAUAUCUAGAACAUUACACUUGAUGCUUACGUCAGAGCUAUUAUUUAGACGUAUAUUAUUCCUCUCUCGCAUCAGCAAGCAUGAUUUUUCUGAAUUUUGCAAUAGGGUCCAGAUGACUAUUUUUUAGGAGAAUAAUAUAUAAAGAAACAAAAGAGGGCCGUUUCGUUUUCCUCGAAAUUAUUUGUAUGUUUCUUUAAUGUCUUUGAAUAUUCAAGUCUACGUCCCUACGCUUUCUUAAUUUAAUAAUUAAUUUAUGGAUAAAUUAUCAAAAUAGUCACAUUUUCGUCACUUAUGUUUCAAAUGUUACGUUUUAGUCACUUGCGUUAUUGUGUUGUAACAUUUUAGUCAUUGAGCCGUUAAUUGCUGUUAACGGUGUAACGGUAAAUUGACAUGGCAUGUUAAAUCAUCAUUUUAAACGAAAAUUUUAGCUUAAAUUCUACAAUUGGUCCGUAUAUAUUUAUAUAUAUAUAUAUUAUUUUGAGCAAUUUAAUUAUUUUUCUUUUAUGUUCUUUUAACUUUCUUUUUUUCUUUAUUUUACAUUCUCUUCUGCUUCUUCCUGUGUUUUCCUCCUUUCUUCAUUUCUUUUAACGUAGUUUUUCUAUAUUUUUCAUUUGUUAAAACUAGUCCACAAGCUCGCCUCACUCGAAAAAAUAAAUUGUUCAAAAAAAUAAAAGUAUAGGGACUAGUUUUAACAAAUGAAAAACAUAAAAAAAAUUAUGUUAAAAGAAAUGGAGAAUGGAGGAAAACAGAGGGAGAAGCAGAAGAGAAUGGAAAAAUAAAGAAAAGAAAAAAGAAAGUUAAAAAAAUAUAAAAGAAAAAAAUUAAAUUGCUCAAAACGAAAAAAAUAUAGGAACCGAUUGUAUAAAUUAACCUAAAAUUUUUGUUUGAAAUGAUGGCUUAACGUGUCACGUCGGCUUACCGUUACACCGUUAACAGCAAUUAAUGGCUCAGUGACUAAAAUGUUACAACAUGAUAACGUAAGUGUAACCUGAGAUAAAUAAAAGCAAAGUAAAUAUUUUAGUAGUUUAUAGUAGAAUAGUUAGGCAAACAAAAUACGUUUAGUCUCAUGGUUUGAUUGAAAUAUAAAAUUAUACUCCCAAAAGUUAGUACAACUUCUUCCUUUUAGAUAUAACUCCUUUUAUAAUUAGACGCGUGUACUAUUAUUAUUAUUUUUUGUUGAGGAAAUUAUUAUUAUUAUUAUGUUUAUAGUUUUGUAUAAAAAUAUUUAUAAUAAUUAUUAUAGAUAAUUAAAAUAUAAAAAUUAUUCAAAAAUCCAAACCAUUAUUGAAGUAAUCGUACAUUUUUUUUGUUGUUUUGUCGCAUUUUCCAUCUACGACAUUUUUUUGGUUGUUCUUUGACUACGAAUACUUUUGACUAAGGUAUUGAUUAUGCAUAAAUUUAAAUCAUUUAAAUUGCAACGAAAAUGCAAUUUAAAAUCAAUUCUAUAUUUAUCAAAUUUUAUUUAAUUUUAAUAUAACAAUGUUUUAUUAUGUUUAAGUAAAAUUAAAUAAGAUGUUUUUUUAUGUAUAAAUUUGAAUAGUUUAUACUACAAUUAAAGCACAAGAAUAUAAAAUAUAAUUCAAUAUUUAUCAGAAUUUAUUUAUUCUGAAUUUUAUUUAGGUUUGUUAGAAAAGUUGUUGUUCAUUUUAUGUCUUGUUAUAAUGAAAUUUUUUUUCCUUGGGUCUUAAAUAGGUUUCGAUUCAGUUGAGUUCGGUCCAUUUGAGUAUGGCAUUUUUAGUAAAACAAAAGUAUGGGUUGACUAGGGCAUUAAGUCUACCAACCAAAUUACUUGAGGUGAUUUGAUAAACAUGAAAGUCUUAUUAUAUCUUGGUGAUUGAAGUACUAUUUUUAAGAGAUAAAUAUCAUAUUUAUUCACUUAUGAGCUGAAGUAAAAGAGGAUAUUUUGUUGUUUUUCGAGCCUAGAAAAUAGACGCCAUUCUCCCUUGGGAAAUCAUCGAUUUUGAGAUAUGAUUUACCACCGAAAGUUUGAAGCAUCUUGAUGUUUAUAUAUUUCUUCUUUCGAGUCAUUGUUGUAACACUUGGUCGAAUUAUUGUUGAAUGACUAUUGAGUGGUGUGGGCAUUAAUUCUUUAUGUACUUACUUGAAGAUGCAGUUGUGAGCUUUAGUUGAAAGAAAAAGAAGCGUACUCUUGAAAUGUUUGGUGGUUGAAUAAAGAUUUAUCUUAAGCAAGACUUCAUAGAUAUAGGAUUAUUGCAUCUGAAUUACGUAAAGAAAAAUCAGUUGUGUCAAUUCUUCUCUGUUCUUAUUUUUCUUUCUCUACCUGUUUUCGUUCUAAUUUUCGUUACAAUAAACACUAAGCAAAAUUGAUAUAUUUAGAUUUAGUUAAAAAUUAAAUGCUUGUUCUAGAAAAUAGAAAUUCAUUUUUUCUUGUUUUAAAUUUAUUAAAUUAUAUUUAUUUUUGUUAAAUAUAUUCAACUAUCUUACCUAUUUAAAAUUUGAAUUAAUUAAUAAUGGUAUAAUAAAAUAUGUAUAAUUUUUUAAAUUUAAAAAUAAAAAUACUUUAAAUAGACGUAGAAUUUAUAUUACAAAAUUCAAAUUUAAUUUUAAAUAAAUACUAAUUUCUUAAAAAAAACCCCAUUAAUCAGCAAAAAACGAAACCAAAAAUAAAUUAAAUAAUGGUGUUUUUUUUUUAAAAGUGUAAAAAUGAAAUAUUCAAAAAAGCCAAAUGGUAACUCAUUUUUAUAAAUUAACAUAAGGUAUUUAUAAAGGAAGAGUCCUAUAUAUAAUAGAAUUCAAUAACGAAGAGUGGAAUAUAGGGUUGUUCAUGGGCCGAGUGACUUGGUCCAGCUCGAAGGCUUAUUUGAAAAAUGAGUUUGAACAAAAAAAAAAUAAGACUUGUUUAGAAAAUGGGUUAAGCUUCAGUAAAGUUUUUUUGAACACAUAGCAUCAUACAUUAGAAAAUUGGUUAACAAAUUUGAGUUGGUUGUUGUCCAAAGUAGCAGCUAGAAUCAAAGCUCAAUGAGUUUUGCUGCCAAAAUUUGUCAACUUAAACAUAAAAAGUUUCUGAGUAGGCAAUGCCAAACACUAAUGGGCACUGGUCUUUGACACUACUCAAAAAUUACCUCAACAGUCUUCCUCUUUGACAAAUUUUUAAACAAAACCUUAAUAAGAGAACAUACUCACAAAAGAUACAAAUGCUCCCUUAAGUAACUCUCCCUUAAUCCAUCAUAUUCGACUAUUAACAUAAUAAAAAAAUCAAUUAUUAAUGCAUAAGUAAAGGGGAUCGCAUUAAUAACCAAAGUACUAAGAAUUCUAUUAUGGUAGGCAGAUAAGAACAGUGGUUCACAAUAUAACAAUCGAAGUAAAUGUAAUAAGAGUUCAAAGUUUCAAAAUUACAACUCCAAAAUACUUCAAAAUAAAACAGAAAGAAGAGAACUCAAAAGCAAUAAUAACAUCAAUAUUGGUGGCAAGCAAUAGUGGCAGCUCAAAAUAGACACUACUACCCCUUUUUAUUUAAGAAGUUUUCCAGCGUAUCACUCGAGUUGCUUGACCAGAAGAUCAUUCCUCAAGGCUUUGGCACGAUGGUCAUUGGCCUAAAUUGUUGAAUAGCCCUUUCCUGUGAGGCAAUCUUAGCAUCAAGGUGUUGCAACAUUCUUUGUUCAAAGGCUAAAAGUUGGUCAGGAGUGUCUACAUCAGUGCCAACUAGAAUAGGCACUACAUAAAAAGGUUGAGCUUGCUUCAAGAUUGGCAGCAGUGUGUUUCCCUUCAAGCCGCUUGUAUGAGAACUUUAACGCUGCAGGUUUCCUUUUAUAUUUUUUAGUAGUAAGCAGAAGUUUAGAAGUUUGCUUAUGCAAAAUCUGAAAAUUAAGUGAAGGAAAAGGGAGACAUAUCCUAGGGUAAAAUCCAAUUAUAAUAAUUUGAAGUAAAAAUGAGAUCAAGCUCCAAUUUGGAAAGAGUUUGAUUUCACUUUUAUUUUAAUCUUAAAAUCGACAAGUCCAAUUUACCGACUCAAUUUAGAAAGAAUUUAAGCUUACCCCGUAAUCCUGAAAAUGCACCUCUAACCUUAAUUCUAAAACCAAACUAUACUUUAACUCGAUUAUAUAAUUAGUUUAAAAGUUAAUUUUAAAGCCCUUUAAUUCAAGAAAAUCAAGGCCCAAUGAGCUCGAAAUUGACUGCCCGGAUAUAUUUAAGUGUCUACACUCAUGUUUCUCUUUAUUUAAUCAAGAUUGAUCUCAAAAGUUUCUGAAGGGAUCCAAUCAAUUCAUUAAUACACAUAGUACCAAUGCCUUUAGCUUCCUUAAUGGCUGUAACUUUGAUGUUGAAUCUUUUAAGCAGCGAUUAAAGAACCUUCCUGACCAGCUUCCAAUUCGAAUACUCAUUUCCAUGGACAAAAUCUUGAUUGGAUAAGUCGCGGAGUUUGGUAUAAAACUCUCCAAUUGUUUUAUUUUCCUUCAUUCUUAGAAUUUCAAAUUUUGUGGUGAGUGUUUGCAACUUUGAUUGUUUCAUAGUAUUUGUACCUUUUUAAGCAAUUUGAAGGAUAUCUCUAACUUCUUUGCAAUAGUGUAUUUUGAGAUGUGUUUGAACUCUUAACUAUCUACUCCACAAAAGAUUGCCUUGAGCCCCUUAAAAUUGGCAUUGGCAAGCCUUUCCUCCUCUAUAGUCCAUAUAACUUCUGAUUGUGGAGUCUUCACACCAGAGUCUUCAAUAUAAGGGUGUUCCCAACUAGUAAGAACAGAUCUCCAAGCUCUUUCAUUUGUAGCUUUGAUAAAAGCAGUUAUUUUGGCCUUUCAAUAGGCAUUGUUUGCACCAUCGAGCAUAGGGAGCAAGACACCGAUGCACCCUCCAUUGCAAGAAAAUACCAAUACCAAGAAUUCCACUAGAUUUGCCAAGUGGCAAACUUUGAUACCAAUUAGAAAUUAUAAAUCGAUACUUGCAAACAAAUUCGAGUAGUGGCAGAAGAAGUGCUAUAAACUAAUGCCAACUACUUCAGGCACUGAGCAUGAACAAGGUAGAAAAACAAAGAACACAUCAUAUGUUUAUGCAUUUUGAUUUCCCUACGUUUGCAAGGCCUUGCUCAAAGAGAUACUCCACUAUCUUAGCAACUUGUAUAACAACUGGUUACAACCUUUAACACUCAUUAGAUUAUACUCCUCAUUUUUGUACCUAAGAUCUAGACAACACUCCUCUAAGUUCCCUUAAAAACUUAGGACAAUAAUCAAGUAACACACUUGAUUUUACACUUAACGUACUCACUUAAAACGUUUCUCAAUGAACAAGAAUAAGUGCUCUCAGGUUAGUACAAUACCUAUACAAGUCUCCUCAAUUUAUAAGGAAUUGAGAUUUGUUAACAUAUUAGAUCAAUUACGAUCAAUCUCCUCAUAAAACGAACAAGAUAAUAAGCAUAAAGAAUACCUUCAAUUAGCUCAAGAUAAAUCCUAAAACUCCAGGAUAUACUUUCAAGCUUUGCCUGAUUCGGUUCAUUCCACCAAAUUUGGGAAAUAGAUUGUCGUGAUUCAAAUCCAAACUAAUCUCCAAUAUAUGUUGAUAUGUGUAGUUUGGAUAUCCAAGAUGGGCUAGUUGUCGUCCAAAGUGACAACUAGAAUCAAAGCCAAAGGAUUUUUGUUGCCAAAAUUUAUUAACUUAAACAUGGUAAGUUUCUAAACAGGUAGUGCUUGACACCAGUGGGCAAUGGUCCUUGGCAUCACUCAAAAACUGUCUCAAUAAUAUUAACUUUUGGUAUUUUUCUAAUAUUAGUUUAAUAAUAUAAUCAACAAUAAAGGGUGUAUUGAUCAGUUCAAAAGUUUUUUCCAAAAUCGUACUUAUAUAUAUAAUAGAUAUAGAUAACCAUGAGACAAAAUCAAUAGUUUUAUGUUGGAAUAGUUGGUUAACUAAAACACGAAAUUAUAAUUUUUAGCUUAAAGAAGAUCUUUAUUUUCUUUUAUAUAUAUAUAUAUAUAUAUAUAUAUAUAUAUAUAUAUAAUUUUUCGAGUAAAAUAAUUGUUAAAAGCAAAGAGCUUGGAGGAACCCAAUGUAACAUUGCCCUCUUUUAGUUUUAGAGUUUAAAAAAGAGAGAGAGAGAGAGAGAAAAUCAAUUUUGAAUAUGCUUGGUAGCAAGAAAAGUAUGGAAAACAAAACUAUGAAAGAAGAUCAUUUUUCAUCUCAUAAAUAUAACGAAGGGUAAAUUACAAGAAUAAUCACCCAACUAUUCACUCCGUUUUAUUUUGGUCACUCAACUUUAAAACUUUUCAAUUUAGUCACUAAAUUUUUCAAAAUAAAUAUCUUAAUCAUUCUCCUAUUAAUUGUCGUUAACUCAGAAACAAAAAUCUACCGUGGACUUUUUUAUCAGUCUAAUAAUGAAUUUAGCCUUAAAUCUUUACACAUUGUAUCAAUUUGAUCCUAAAAAAAUAAAUUUAGCCCUCAAUGUUUAUAAGUUUUGUCAUUUCUAGUAUAUGUUUUUUAUUUAUAAAUUUUUAUAAUUUAGAGAUUUGUAAAUAUUAUUUAUAAUUUUUUUAGAAAUAAUGGAUAUUAACGUUGAUGUUCCUAUUUGAUAAUGGUCGAUUACACUACCAUAUUUGUUGCAUUUUCUUGUGUCUUGCCUCCUUAUGUCAGUCUUUGUGAACAUAAAUCACAAUUCUAUUAUGAUAAAAGUAGAUGCACUUAAGUCCUUACAAUUACACUUAAUCACAUAACAGCCCUUGCCAUCAAAUUUUGUUAUGUUUUGAACAAAUAGAAACUAGAACAAUCAAGAGUAGUUUAAGAACUAGCAAUUCCAUAAUGCAAUAAUACGAUUAAUAUAUGAAACAAAUCAUAACUGUAGUAAAAUAUUUCUUACCAAAUCAAUCGGUCAGAUUUUUCCUCCUCAAAUAGUUUUAAUUUUUUUUUAAAUUAGAACAAAAAUGAUAAAUUUUAUAAAUAUUGAAGUUGAAUUUGUUGAAUUUUUUACAUGUGGGAUCAAAUUGAUAAAAUGUAUAAACAUUGGAGGGCUCAAUUUAUUAUUUGGCCAAUAAAAAAAAGCUCAUGUUAGAUUUCCGUUAUUAAGUUAACGACAACUAACUGACGAGAACAUGAUUAAAAUAUUUAAUUUAGAAAAGUUAAGUGAUAAAAUUUAAAAAAAAAAUUAACUGACCAAAAUAAAAUCAAAUACAUAAUUGAAUGACUAUUCUUGUAAUUUACUCUAAAAACAAACCAUUCUAAUUUAAAAUCAAAAGAGAGAAAAUAUGAAAGAUGCAAGUGUGGGUUUUUCUUAAAAGAAAAAAAAUCAUUUUCUCUCUUCACAUUUUUAACUCUAUUAUGCAUUUAAUAGAAAGAAAUUAAGGUGUGCAUGGUUUAGAAAAAUAGAUGCUAUUUUCAAAUACUAAACAAAAUAUGUUUUGUUGAAAAUAAAAAUUAAAAUAUAUGAAAAUUUAAAAAAAUUUUGUUGAUUUCCUUAAAAAUACUUUUAAAAAAUUUGUAACAAGUGAUUUUAAAUUUUAAAUUUAGUUGAUAAAAGUCUAUGUAAACUUUUUUUUUAAUUAGUUUUUAAAGAUAUUGACCUUGAUAUUAUUUUAGUUUUGUGCGCAAAUUCGUGAUUUUAUUUUAUCCUUUUUUUUUGUGAUUUUGGUUUUAAUAAACAGAUGUGAUUUUAGUUUUAGUUUUAGUUUUUAGUUUUUAGUUUUUAGUAAUGUUAUGAUAUAUAUAUAUAUAUAUAUAUAUGAUAUUUUCUAAUAUAAGAGUAUCGCUAGAUCUAUUAGGAACCGUUCUUAAAGGUCCUUAUCAUGAUAGUAUAUAAUAAUGGUGAUAAAUCUAAGGUGACGAGGAGGAGGAUAGACAAUUUGAGACUUGUCCUUUUUGUGUAUCAUAGAUGCAGUAAGUCUCUUAAGGCUUUUGGUAGUUGUUUCUUGGUUGAUCGGUGUUCAUCAUCAUAUUGAUUUGAUUAUGGCGGGAUUAUUAUGCAAAUUUCAGCGGCUUGAUCAAAUUGUUGCAUCUCUAGUCUGUUUCUAAAAUUCUUACAGUGUUGUAAUUACUGUCAUUUUAUCUUUAUCUUUUUUUAGAUUAUUCUACAGGCAUGACAUUUGUGCAUUAGUUUGUAAUAAUAUAUUUAUCAUUUCAUGAUUUUUAUUAAUAAUAGUAUUUUCUUAAAAAAAAACUAAAAUCUCAUUAAGUUCAUAAAAAUAUAAUAAUUAUUUAUUUAUCAUAUUUAUAUUAUAAGAAAAUAUAUAUCAAACAUAUUUCCAUUUUUUAUUUUGAAAAUAAUCUUUCAUAUUUCUAUUUCUUCUAAAUUUUUCAUUUUUUCUUAUUUCCAUUUCCUUUAAAUUUGUAAGGCAUUAGACUUAGUGAGUUCAAGAGCUAAAAAGAAAGAUUUUGUGAAGAGUGUUUUAAUAAACAAUUUUGAGAAUAAUUUGAUUGAAAUGUAAAAGUAUUACCACAAAUAUCAUACAAGGUAGUUGAUUGUUUGUCAAAGGCGGCAUUAAGGAGUUUAAAUCAAUUAGUUUUCUUCAAAUAACCAUGAAUUUAUGUUAUACGAUUGCUCGAAAAAGAUGCUAAUAAGUCUCUAGAGGAAGAAUUCACUGUUUCUGCUCACUUCUAAUUUUUAGGAGUAUAUUUUUAUUUAUAAAAAGAAAACUUAUUCGUUUUACACAUAAGUAUUUAUGAAGUUAAAUUUUAUUUUAUAUUAAAGAACGUCAAAAUAAACUAUAUUAUAUUUUUUUUUAUUUCAAGGUUAACUUUUCUUUUUAAAAAUUUUUUCACUUAAUAUUUUAAGCCUAUGAUGAUGUAAUAUGCAAGGGCGUAGCCAGGGGUUGGUAGGGCUCGACCCCCUAAAAUGAAAAAAUUUUCAUUUAGGUCUCUUUAAAAUUUAUGAAAUUUUAAAUUAAUAAAAGUAAAAUUAUACUUUGGCCCCUAAAAAUAAUAAAAAUUUGAUUUAAUCCUUUAAAAACUAUAAAUAUAUAGGUAUUAAAAUAGUAAAAUUACAUUUUUACUAUCGUAAAAAUAUACAAUUUAAUUUCGACCCCCUAAGAAAUUUUCUGACUUCACCCCUAAUAAUAUGAUAUAUAUAUAUCUAUAUAUAUAUAUAUAUAUAUAUAUAUUAAUGUUUUUACUAUUUGACAAAUAUUAUAUUUUUUUGUCUUCUUUAAUGUAAAUAUAUUAUCUAAUAAUACAAAAAUGUCAAUUUGUAUAUACCACGUCAUCUUAUACUUUUUAAAAAAUAAGUCACGUAAAUUAUUUAACAAAAUAAUCUUAAAACUAAACAUAAUAUAUGUUUUUUAGAAAAAAAAAUCGAAUUUAUAAUAAAUAGAUAAAAUGCAAUCAUUCUAAAUUGAAAUGAUGAGAGGAGAGAAAUGAGAAAGAAAUGUAUGCUAGUUCAAAUUAUGUAUUUUUAAAUGUUUUAUUUUCUUUCAUUUCAUUUUUCAACUCUGCCAAUCAAUGAAUGAAAAAAUAAUAUUUUUUUUCUUUUUUCCUACCAAACACACUUAUCAAAAGAAAAAUUUUGGUUUUUAUCCUUCUAGCUUUCUACCCUUUCAAUUUUAUUUCAACUUUGAUUGAUAGGGUGGAAAGAAAAUUGAAAAGAUGGAAAAUAUAAACUUUUUUCCAUUAGUGUGCUUAGUAGGAGAUUAGAAAAAUAGAAAGAAAAAGUAAUUUUCUAUCCAUUGUUUAGUAGAGUUGAAAACAAAAAACGUUUGAAAAAUGCAUAAUUUUUUUCGAUAAAAACAGCAGCCAACUAAUGGCGAUUACAAUUCAGAGAAAUUCCUAAGUAGCAGAAAGGGACAAUGCAUCCAAGUCUCCAUAUAGCAGCGCGAGAGCUGAGUUUGAGGGUUCUUCAAAUCUCUAUAAACUAUUAAGGUUAUGAUCAGCUAGUUUAGCCAUGUGGUCAGCAAUUUUGUUGUGGUCUUUAGGAAUAUGUUGAAUUCGCACACUCCACUUGCGUUUUAGGAUUUGAUCAAUUAGUCACAGCUCUAUCAUUCUAUUAACAACAAUCCCUACAACAUUAGGAUCUGAUCAAAAUACAUAAUUUUGAACUAAUAUACACAAAUCUCUUUCAUUUCCUCUCUUCUCAUUAUUCAAAAUUAGAAAAAUUAAUCAUUAUGCAUUCCUUCCUUUAUUUUCUUUUUACUUUUUCUUUAUCCCUCAACUUUUUCACUUCUGAAAAAUAAAAUCUUGAAAGUACAAAUUAUGAGAAAAUAAUCUUUAACAUCAAAUAAAAUUAUAGAAGUUAAAUAAUAAUAAAAACAUUUCAAGGAUAUCCGCCUGGCUUACUUACCAAACAUAUUUUAGAGGACAAAAUUUGAGAUAUUGAGCAAACUUUUUUUUUUCUGUUCUGACAAUUGUAAUAAUGAAAUUAAUGAUUUCAACUUUGGUAUGUUUUUUAAGGACAAAAUUUUAAUCGUUAUAUACAUUAAAAAAACGAAAACAUUCUUAUGCAUAUGCUUUAUAAUUUUAACAUGUGAAUGACUUUUUAAAUUUUAUUAUAUAUUACAUCAUGUAUGAUUAUUCCUCUAAAAAUAUCAUUAUAUUAUAUAGAAAAUUUAAUCAAUUAUAAUCAAGAGGUUGGCUCUCUAAAAUUCAAAAUUAGAAAUUCUAACCUAUCAAAUUACAAGCUAAUAUGAAGACAAUUAUGCUUUGGUUCUCUAAAAAAGAUAAUAAUAGAAAUUAAUCCUUUAGAAAAUGAUAUACUAAUAGAUCAAUACAUGUUAAAAUUUAUAUUUGACAUCUCAAAAAUUUAUAAUUCUCUUUUGGCCCCCUAAAAUAAUUUUUGAAUUCACCCCUGAUUAUAAUAAUGUAAAAUUGAUAAUUAAGAAUCAAAUCUUAUGUAUGCAUAUAUGUAUAUGUAUUGGUGCCAUGAGUUGAAGCGACACCAUGACACCAGCUUAGUUGACAAAAAACCAAAAUGUCAAUAAUAAGUGAUAUAGAUUUUAAUAUUAAAUUUAAAUUGAACUCCAUGUGAUAGCCCGAUAGUCAAUGGUAUUCACCAUCCUAGGUCUGUCUUGGGUUCAAGUUGCACUAGUCACGUUUGUUGUUCAGGUGUCCUGUUAAUGUAAUUCAAUAAACAAAUUAAAUUUAAUAUUUUUCAUAAAGAUAAAUAAUAUUAUCAUAAGAAUAAAUAUUAAUUAAUUUUUAUAGUUCUUUUCUUCCUAUAUAAUUUUGAAAAAAAUUUAAAAUUAAAAAAUCAAAAACAAAAAUAUAAAAUAUAAAAUUGCAAUUAGGCAACGCUUUUUUUUUAGAAAUUAAAUUUAAACUAAACAAACAAACCUAGAAAAUAAUAUUUGAUAUGAAUGAAACUCUAAAAUUUGAAUCUGUAAAAAAAGAUUAAAAGCUCUUUAAAACGUAUUAAAGGAUUUGAAGUAAAACACAACCACCACACAAUUAAGCCAACAAGAAAAACUUAAGGUGUAUAUAUUCUUUGUAUAUGCCUCAAGUUCUUUCUUUCACUUAUUAAGAUAAUGUAUAUGUGUACAUAUAUAAUGGUUCAAUUUCAAUCUUUUAAUUUAUUUAUCACAUUAUAUGUAUAAAUUAUAUAAAUAAGUAAUAAAUUUUAUUAUGAAAUAAUUUAAUAUAUUUUUAUUAUAUAUAAAGAAAAGGUACGAGAGCAUAUCUGAAAACUUUUAGUUCUGAGAUAGUUUUUUGAAUUCAAAAUAUUUACUUUUUUUUAGUUAUAUUUAAUGUGGGUUCUUUUUAAAAUUAAGUUUUAAAUAUAGUUUUAUUGACAACAGAAACUCGAUGAACCUUGAAUGCAGUUUCCCUCACAUUUUACUCCAUGCAAAGUAUAAUACUCAAAUGGCCUAGGUGACCCAAAAACUCAACAUUGCAUAUUUUUGUAUAUGUAUUAACUCAAAUGCUAAACUACCCUCUUUAGUACUCUUAACAUCUUAAAACAUAUGAUCAUAUGCAUAUUUACAUCUAGACUCUUGUUUUACUAGCUUUGAUCAUGAAUAUGCAAUUAAGUAUACAUAUUGAUAUUUUCAAAACGCAACAUUCCUACCAUUUAUACCAAAAUAGACCCUAAUACCAAUCACGAUUUUAGGUACAUACCAGUUGUCAUAAACAAAACAAAACUUAUACAAAUGUGUUGAGUGGAGAAAUUGACAUUGUCUAUAAAAAAUUAUUAUAAAAUUGAACCCAAUCAAACAAUUAAUCAAUUGUGAAGAAGCAUAAAAUAAAAACAAAAUCCAAAAAAGGAAAAUCAAAGAGAGGUAUAGAGAAAAGUAAAAUAAAUAAAAAAAUUGCUACUGCCCAUGAUAAAUUAUUACAAGGUGCAGGAUGUUGGAAAAUAUGGGCAUCACACAUAUAAUAAGGGUAAUUACAUGUUAUUAUUUACUAUAAUGCUAUGUUAGCCCAAAUUAAAAUUGAUCUAAUUUGUUUAAGGUUAAUGGGGCUUUAAUUAUUAAAUAAAGUAUGGGUCGAAUAUGUUUAGAUACUCUAGUAACUAAUUUCUAAUUGAUGAUGGACUGAUUAGAAAUUAGGGCUAAUGUGUCAAAGUUAUAUAUAUUUGGGUUGUGGUCUCCAAAUUAUACACAAGGUAACUUUUCUAAUAUCCCCGUAUUUGUCGCCGAAACAAGAUUACGGAGCAUUAUCGAAGUUUACGGAUCAAACAGAUAGAAAUUUCAAAUGUUUCAUAACAUAUCAAUAUUCAUAAUAAAACUAAUCAAAAUCAUAUAUAUUCUCCUUUAUACAAGUCCUCAAGGCCCUAAAUACCCAUUAGAAACAAGUAGGGACUAAAUUGGAAACUCAGAGAACUUUCGAAAAACAUAGAAAAAUUUCAAAGCUGCAGGGGUCACACGGUUGUGUGGUCAAGCCAUGUGACUCACACGGUCGAGAGACACGCCCGUGUCUCAGACCGUGUAACUCUCUGACUUGGUCACACGGCCAAGUCACACACCCAUGUGCUAGGCCGUGUGGACAAGAAAAUGACCGCUUCCAAGCCAUUUUUUUCACCCUUUCAAGCAUAAACCUACAAGAAAUUUGUACAUGUAUACAAGGCCUUUAAACAUACUCAAAUUAUGCAAAGAAUGACUAAUCUCCAUACCAAAUGUUUAUACAACCAAUAUNNNNNNNNNNNNNNNNNNNNNNNNNNNNNNNNNNNNNNNNNNNNNNNNNNNNNNNNNNNNNNNNNNNNNNNNNNNNNNNNNNNNNNNNNNNNNNNNNNNNAUACAUACAUGAGCAUAUUUGUUCAAACGUUAACCAUACAUAUCUAAUUAAUCUCAAUAUUAUUUCCAUGUUAUAUAAAAAAUAAUCUCACUACAUUUGACCACAUUUUACCAACUGACUUGUUUCCAUACCAAUACAUAACACAAUUAACACAUACCAAUCUUACCAUAUUAGGCCUACCAUAUUUCAAUCAUGCACAUAUGUUCAAGACUUUUCCAAAACAUACCAUGUCUUGGCCAUAUUGAAAUCGAUACAAUAUAUACCAACUUUGGUUAUUUCUAAACGUGCAUCAAAUUGACCAUAACCAACAAGAUAUCAAUAGUACCUUAAGUACCUCAAAUUCAAGGCAACAUUUUAUGUUAUAAUUAUCAACCAAAAUGACAUAUAUAUAUCAAACUCAUCAAUUAAACAUUAGACAUAAUCCACUUAUACAUGCCAUUAUAACCUUAACCAAGAUAUCAAAAUCUACCGUUAUAAUUGCUAAAUAGUGUGAUAGAUCUCCGAUGAGCUUCCGACCCGAUCGAGCUUCUGAUAAUCUGUAAAGUAAGGGAUAAACAACUACGUAAGCAAUGAAUGCUUAGUAAGCUCGUACAAACUUUAAACAUAAUAUUCCAAUCCAAUAAUAAACUUUAUAUGAUAAAUAUGAAGCUAUACCAAUGCCUCAAGAUUAUCAACUACAUAACCACUAAGUCAUAAAUGAGUAAGUCUAUCAACAUCAUAUAUCUGUUCAUUCCUAACAUAAUAAGAUUUUAUAAAACGUUUUACACCAUCAUUAACAUUUUCAUAAAACUACGAAUAACUUCCUUUACUUACUUUCCAUUCCAUUUACUAAACAUAAACUUAAAUAACAACAUCAAUUAACUAAUUAAUAUAUUUAUUCAUAACAUAGGUAAGUUCAACCAUAACAUACGUAAUUUCUCAUACAUAAGUACAUUAUUCAACUCAUCAAUCCCUUUUUCAUCAUAUCACAUUUCAAUUAUGAACUUACCGUUUCAUUUGUAUAAUACCAGACAUAAGCAUAUACAUCAAUCAUAAUCUCAAGCUUGACAUAAGUCUAAUCAUCAUCAUCAAUACACAAGUUAGUGCAUUUAUGUAUAUAUCUCAUUUUCAUGUUUCAAAUCACUAUCUCAUUUUCAAUUCUCAUACAAUAUCAUCCAAUAUCAAUCAUAGUAUCGUUUUAUUUAAUUACCCCUAUUAACACGACUCGGACUCGGACUCGAACGGAUGCACGAUCCAACCAACACACCAGUUUGGCACCCAGUGCCUCAUCGGAUAAAUCCGAAGUAAUAUGCGCCCAGAGCUAUAUACAUUUGACACCCAGUGUCUCAUCGGUUACACCGAAGUAAAUUGACACCUAGUGCCUCAUCGACUCGAAGUCGAAGAAAUCCCUGAACUUUUCCUGUCCUAUGGCAUGCCAUCUAUAUCUGACUUAGCCCGAUACAAUUAAUAGGGUUUAAUUUCACUUCCAAAUACAACCAAUAUCCAAUUAUCAUAUUUGCACAUUAUCACAUUUACACAUAUAUAUAUUCCUUUCAAUUCAAAAAAUCAACACAUUCAUAAUUUAUAUAUCAAUUCAAUCCAUUUCAGUCAACUAUCAAAUGUCAACCUUUUUAAUUCAUACAUAUUAGCACAUCAUUUCAACAUCAUUUUGUACUAUACUCAAAUUGCACAUGCUAACAUCUUUUAUUUGAUUAACAAUGUCCCAAUUCACACAAUUGCUAUAUAAAUAGCUAUUCACAUAUCAAACCACAAUUGUUUAUACAUUGGCAUUAACCAUUCAAUACUCCAUUCAUGAGUACAAAACUCAUGUAUCUCAUUUAGUCACAACAUAUCUCAUUUUCAUUUAUGUUCGAGUCAAUAUUCAAUAAUUAACAAAUCUUUCAAAUUCAUUAAACAAUUUACUUUAUCGAGAUUUUUCAUACGAAGAAUGACUUACGGAUAUGAGUACAUUGUCAGUCCAACCAAACACACUAGAUGCUCACAAGAGUCAAUCCCUCCAACACACCAAAUCACGACUGUACUCUAUUCCGCGUUCAAUCCAAUUUGAGUAAUCAAAUUCAAUAUUAUAUAUCUAAUUGCCAUUAAUUAUCAAUAAUUAAAAAAAUAUAUGCAAGUUGUACCAUAUUAAUCUACUCAAAAAUUCAUAUUUAUGUUAAAUUCUAACCAUACAAACUUACCUGGCUAAAUUGCAGAAAUGUCAAGUACAAGGGCAUUUUGGUAAAUAUUCCAUUCUCCUCGAUUUUCCACUCGACCUUGAUCUAAAUUAAUAAUUUCAUUCAAUUUAUUAAUUCAGACAAUAAAAUAAUUUAUGUUAUGAAAUUUAGUAUUUUUUAAAUUUUUAAAAAUUUGCCCCUAACAUUUUACUUUUAUUCAAUUUAGUCCCUGAGUUUAACCAAUUUUAAUGCAAACUCAUGCUAGCCGAAUAUUCAUGGCAUUCAUUACAGCCCAUUUUUGCAAUAAUUUCACAACAACCCCUGUAUUUUUACUAUUUCAACAAUUUAGUCCCUACUCAAAAAAUUCAUCAAAAUUACUUAGCAAAAUACUUUUAAAUAUCAACCAACAUCUCAAAUUCAUCAUUUAAUACCUAAAAUUAUAUAGAUUCAUCAAUGGCAACUUUCACAGUCUUUAACAGUUUCAAAAUUGAAAAUACGGGCUAGUUAAACCUAAUUGUAACGAUCUCAAAAACAUAAAAAUUAUUAAAAAUAGGGCUAAAUUGAACUUACAUGCACCAUCAAAAGAAUGGUCGAAACGUGAAACUUCCAUGGUUUUUUUUUUUCAUUCAUAAAGAAGAAGUCACCCAAAUAAAUACAAACAUUUUGGUUUUAAUUUAAUUUAAUUUAAUUAUCAAAUUACCAUUUUGCUAUUGAUUAAAUAAAUAAAUAAAACACCAAAGUCAUGUCCAUAUUUUUCCAUCACAUAAAUAUAUGGCAUAAUUACCAUCAAAGGAAGGUUUAAUUUCACAACUGAUCCUUCAAUUUAAUUAAAUUCUAACUAAUUAAACUUAUUUACAAUUUAAUCCCAAACUAAUUAGGACUAAAAGAAUAAUUAAUUCAAAAGCUAGUGGAUUCAAUCAUAACACCACCACUUGAAAACUUUGACCAUGGUUUAAUUACAAUUUAAGCCCCUUUUCCUUUAUUCAAUUAACCAUUUAAUCACUCAAAUUAAAUAGUGAUUAAUUUUUACAUCUUUUACAAUGUAGUCCUUUUUAAUUAAUUAACUAUCGAAACGUUAAAAUUUUUGAACGAAACUUUAAUACCACCUUAAUGACACUCUGUAAAUAUUUAUAAAAAUAUUUACGGCUCGGUUUAUAGAAACUAGGUCCCAAUACCUCAUUUUCUAAAACCACUUGAACUUAAUUAAUCAUUCGAAUAGUAUAAAUUAUCAUAUCAAAACUCUUUUAAAAACCAUAUUUGACUCGUAAAUAUUAAAUAAUAAUAUUUAUGAACUUACUUGUGGGAUUUGGUGGCCCCGAAACCACGGUUUCUGACACCACUGAAAAAUGACUUGUUACAGAGAGUCACUUUCUCAAGAUUACUUGCGUGCUAAUUUGGAAGAUCAAAUUCCCAAGAUCCGAAAAAUUUCAAGGAAUUCAUGGAUUCAGGUACGCUUCCGCAUCUAGUUCUGUUAUCGUUUUGUUCUUGAUGAUUUGACAUGAUAGAUCCUGAUUUAUGAUUUAUUAAGUUUUAUAUCAUAUCUUGAUUUACAAUUCUCACACAGUAAGUUUUAAAAAAGAGAGAAGAAUAAGAAGGGAGAAGAGAAUGAACAAAGAAGUUUUUCAUUCACAUAAUUGCAUAAUCGUUUCCAUUUUCCUUCUCUACUUAAAAGGCAAAGAAGUAGAGUUACAUAGUUGGUUAUGGAAGUUGUUAUUAAACAGUUGUAACUGCCAACAAGAAAACUCGUUGUUUCAAUUAAAUAUAAGACUAGACCUGAUCGUGGGUCAAGCCACCUGGCCUUGCCCGAAAAUUAGGAGGGUUUAGACCAAAAUAUAAGCCCGAAAAAUAAGUUUGGAUAAAAAUUAGGCCCGUUUUCUAAUAGGGGUCGGGUCAGGUUGGGCUUGGGUUUAACUAAUAUUUUUCGAGCUGGGCUUGGUUAAAUUUUUAAGCCCAUAUUUCGAGCCAAGUCGGGUCUAAUCCUAAAAUAUGGGCCUAAAAUUUUGUUGACUCUCAGCCCAUGAUCACCUCUACAUGAAACUAACUAAAACACAUCAUUUUAUUUACUAACAUUUUCCUAAAACACAGCGUAGCAGCAACUAACUUAACAAACCGAUUCCUCCCAUAAGAAGUACUCCCUCCUUAAAAGAUCCUUAUCCUCAAGGAUCGAAUGUAGGAAAUCUUUGUUGUAGCUCCUGUAGAGGUUCCCAUGCAGAAUCCUCAGGAAAUGUGUUUGUCCAUUCCACCGAUACCUGGGUGACAGUUUUAUUUCCUUUCUUGACCAUACGCCGAUCUACUAUGCAAAUAGGUUCUUUCAGCAUAGCACCAUCAGUACUAACUACCAGUAGAGUAGAUUAAACAAGUGUCUUUCCCACAUGUUUUUAAAGUUGGGAAACAUGAAGUGGAGUGAAUACGGGAACUCAGUUGUAGAUGAAGCCUAUACACCACCUUUCUUACUCUAGCCUCGACAGUAAAGGGCCUAAAGAACUUGGGAGACAGUUUCUGCUUCAAGACUUUCCUCAUAGUGUGUUGCCUGUAAGGUUGUAACUUGAGACAAACAUAAUCACCCACUUGAAACUCUCGAUCACAUUCUCUUACGAUCUGUUGUUUGUUUCAUCCUGUUCUGAGCUCUUUUAAAAUGAAACUUGAGUAGCUACCUUGUUGUUUCUCUUUGCUAGAGACUCCUAUCAACAGUGUCUGCAGGUGACAGUCCAGCCAAAUAAGGUAAAAUUUCAAAUUUUAUUAUGUACGCUUUAAUAAUGUUGUUUAUUGAGUUGAUGUUACUAAUUAAUUCGACGCCAACUUAGAAUUAAUGACAACAUCAUAAUAAACAAUUGUAUUCAUUUAAUAUUCUUAAUAUGAUGUGUUUAUAUGUUUAAAGUUUAAUUUAUUCAAUGUUCGAUUUUUUUUUUUAAUUUUAAGAUUGUUCAUAAUUUAUGUGUUAUUAUUAAGUAAUUUCGAAUCAUAUAUUUGACAUUUCAUUAAUUAUUAUAUGUUAUUUUUAAAUACAUAUUUGUGUUCUAAAUAUGUGGUUAUUUCUAGUAUGUUUAUUUUUUGUAUAGAAUAUUAGGACACUCUCUAAUUUAUCCUGCCAGUAUCUACAAUUUUGGUUUCUGCACAUUUCGCUAUUUAAAUAUUGUUUUCUCAAAUUUAAUAUAUCUAUAAAUAUAAUUGUAAAAAGCCUUAUCACGUGGUUUCGUGGUGUAGUUGGUUAUCACGUCAGUCUAACACACUGAAGGUCUCCGGUUCGAGUCCGGGCGAAGCCAUUCAUACAAAAUAUAUUUCUGGUUUUGUACAUUUAACUAUUUACAUAUUGUUUCUCAAAACUAAUAAAUUCAUAGAAAAUAAUGUAAAAGACUCUUCAACAUGGUUUCGUGGUGUAGUUGGUUAUCACGUCAGUCUAACACACUGAAGGUCUCCGGUUCGAGUCCGGGCGAAGCCAUUCAUGCAGAAUAUAUAUUUCUGGUUUUGAACAUUUAACUAUCUACAUAUUGUUCUCAAAACUAAUAAAUUCAUAAAAAAUAAUGUUGACGACUCUCCUCAUGGUUUCGUGAUGUAGUUGGUUAUCACGUCAGUCUAACCGGUUCGAGUCCGGGGAAGCCAUUUACUCACAACAUAUUUUGUUUCAUUUUUAAACAAAAAUUUUUGGUUUCUGCACAUUUUACUAUUUACAUAUUGUUUCUCAAAAUUAUAAAAAUAUAUAGUAAUGUAGAAGAAUCUUCAACGUGGUUUCGUGGUGUAGUUGGUUAUCACGUCAGUCUAACACACUGAAGGUCUCCGGUUCGAGUCCGGGCGAAGCCAUCCACACCGGAUAUAUUUUGUUUCACAAAAGAAAAAAUUGACGCUGUUGCCGUAGAUUGAACCCUGGUCACCAGCGUGACAGGCUAUUAUAUAUCCCACUAUACUACAACGACAUUAACAUCUUAUGUUAUUUGAAAAUUAUACAAGUUAUUGAAAUCUAAUCUAUAGUAUUUCCUGGCUUACAAUCGAUAUCAACUCCCGUUGUCAAUUCUAUAUUUUGAAAAUAGGUUCUAACCAUCUGUUUAUUCAUGUCGUAUUUGUACAUUUUCUUAUUUUGUGACCAAGAAUGAGUUUAAAGUUUGGGUAAGCAAAACCUAAUUCGAUUCGAAAAAUUUAAUAAAAAAUUUAAAAUUUUUAAUUAAAUAGUUUGAGUUAUUUGACUUAAUCAAGCUAUUUGGAUCAACUUGAAUAAAAAAUGAAGUUUUUCGAUUUAACUCAAAUAUGAAUUACACAAUCCGAAUUAUCUGAAACUCCAAAUAAAAAAAAGACAAAACUACGUCGUUUUGAUAAAUGUUUACUUUUUCUAAAGUUAAAAGUCAAAACUAUCAAAUUAAAAGGAAAAAACUACAUCGUUUUCAUAAAUGUUUACUCAUUAAGUUUAAAUUCAAAACCAUUAUGUUGUUUAUGCAGUUAAAUAAUCUUGUACUUUGUCUAUUAGUUAAAUAAUCGGUCCAUGUAAAUGCAACAUUGAGUAUAAAUAAUAAGAUUUGUUAACUUGACUCGACUUGACUUGUAAUUUUUUACUCGAUUUGAUUCGAUUCGAAAAAAAUUCAAAUUGAGUUCGGUUGCUAAAAUAUGAUUCGUCAGCUCGACUAACUCAAAUUUUUUUGACUCAAUUUGACUCGACUCGAUCGAAUACUCACCCCUGGUUAAAGUAUCUAAGAAUGGGAGAAAACGGAGAAAGGGGAAAUUGAACAAAAUGUAUUAAUACAAUAGAUCAAAUCUUGCCAGCUGUCAAUAGAGAAGCUUAAAACUUGCCACAUUCGAGGGAGUUUCCACCUCCUCAUGAGAAGGUCGAUGUGUCUCCACCGCCUUAAGAGAGGCCGAUGUGUAUAGGAAAGGAUUUUUCGGCCCCCACUUAAGCCUAGUUAAGGAAUGCUUUUCAAAAGUACUUUUUAAGAAAAAAACAUUUUUCGAGAUAAGUUAAAAUUUUCAAUUUAUGAAAAAUUUGCUUUUGGACCAAUUUUUAGCUUAGGAGAAGCACUUUUUUUUCUUCUUAAAAAACAGUUUAUUUAGAAUAUUUUUGUCUCAAAAGUGCUUUUUAGAAGUAACACUAAACACACCAUUCAAAGACAAUAAAACACUUAAACGGUGGUAAUGGAUAAAAAGAAAAUAACCUAUCCAUGUUUGAAAGAAUAAAAUCACAUUUAUUACCUCACCCAUUAUAGUAGAAAAAUACUUAAAAAAAUUUUAUUUAUAUAUUUUAAUUUUAUUAUGAGUAUUUUAUUAUAUUUAUUUUAUAUUUAUACUAUUAUUUAAAUUUCUAACUGAGUUGGUCUCAUGAGUAUUAAGAACUAAUUUUGUUAUAAAAAUUACUAAAAUAUUUUUUCGUAUUUAAAAUAAAUUAUAUCAUUAAAGAUUGCUUUAAUCUUUUUAAUUUAAAGAAUAAAACUUAUGGAUAUGAAAUUUGAACCAAAGAAAAUUACAUUAAUAAAUUUUUAAAUUUAAUUUUUUAAUAAAUUUUAAUUUUAUUACGUACACUUUAAUAAUAUUGUUUAUUAGUUAGUAUUACAAAUUAACUUGACAUCAAUUUAAGAUUAAUGAUAAUACUAUAAUAAAUAAUUAUAUUUAUUUAUUAUGAUGUAUUUAUAUGUUUAAAGUUUUAUUUAUGUUUUUGUUAUUAUUAAUUAAUUUUUUAUUGGUAAAAUUUUUAUAGAAUUCUAAGAACCUCUCUAGAGGUGCUCAUGGGCCGGGCGGCCCGCCCGAAAUAUGGGAGGGUUUGGGUAAAAAUAUAGGCCCGAAAUAUGGGCUUGGGCAAAAAAAUGAGGCCCGAUUAAAAAACGGGCCGGGCCUCGGGCACCACUUUUUUUGCCCGGGCCCGGCCCGAAUAUAAUAAAUAUUUUUAUUUUUAAUUUUAAAAUAAUUUUAAAAUACUUUUAAAAUACUUUUUAAAAUUUUUAAAUUUUUAUUUUAAAAUACUUUUAAUUUUUAAUUUAAAAUAUUUUAAAAUAUAUUUUUUAAUUUUGUUUUAAUUUAAAAUAAAUUUUUGGUAUUUAUUUAAAAAACGGGCCGGGCCGAAAUUUUUUCUGGGCCCAGCCCGGCCCAUGAGCACAAACAAAAAGAAAACUUUUACGCCAUUACCAGGGAUCGAACCCGGGUCGCCCGCGUGACAGGCAGGAACACUUACCACUAUACUACAACAACCUUGACGUUUGCAUGAGCGAAUUUAAAAUAUAUGUAUAGUAUUUGUUGGCUUACAAUCGAUAUCAACUCUCGUUAUCAAUUCUACCUUUCAAAAUUAGUUUCUAUAUUUGUACAUUUUCUUAUUUUGUGACCACCUGACACGACUAUAGUUGAUAAAGCUACCGAAUGAGGUUGAGGUGAGCGAGAAUUCAACGGUUAACUGAGAGGAAGCUUAUUUCGAAGGCAUGGCUGCAGCAACUAAGCAUGGAGUUUAUUAUUCAAUGUAAUCAGGAAUAUUGUUUAGAGACAUAAAAGCUAGGAGAAGCCCUUUUUUUAAUGUCUGGUGAAAUUAUAUAUGAUUCUCGAUGUUUAGUUUAAAGAAAAAAAAAACUUUAUAAUUCAUGUAGUAAUUGAAGUUGUUCUCAACAACAUAUUUAAUCUAAAAUCGUGAUUUCUUCAGAUUGUUUAUGGUGAAUUGUAUAGUUUAAUCAAUAAAGAGAACUCAAUAAAUUUAUCAAAUAAAAUCCGUGAUUAACACAAAUUCAAUCGAAAAAAAUACAAUAAUGUCUUUUCUUUUUUAAAAUAAAUAAUGAUAUUUAAAAAUAUUUUAUAUCAAUUAUAAUUAAAAAAACCCUUAAAUUUACCAAAAUUGUUUUUAUUUAUUCAUACAUUUGAAUUUCGUUUUACUAUAUACAAUAUAUUUUCUCCAUCAAUUACAUAUUUAUAUUAUUAUUUGAAUUUUUAAUUGAAUCAAUUUCACGAAUUAGAAAACCAACUAGAUUAUAAAAUUUAUUAAAAUAAAUUAUAUUAUUCAAUAACACUUUAAUUUUUUUAAUUUAAAAAUAAUAAUAAAACUUAUGAUAUAAGCAAAUUACAUUGAUAAAAUUUCAAAUUUACCUUCAACCAAACCUUAUUUUAAUUUUAACUUUUAAAAUUAUUAUGUACACUUCAAUAAUAUUAAUUACAAAUUAACUCCAUACUAUCAUGAUUUAAUAUAAUAUAGUCAUAGGUUUAAAGUUUGAUUUACUUAGAGUUCAAUUUAUUCUUAAAUGAAUACCAAGAUCCUCUCAACUCUUUAUCCCGCUAAUAUCUAAAAUUUUGGUUUCUGUACAUUUUAUUUUUUAGAUAUUUUUUCUCAAAUCUUGUCGAUGUGGUUUUGUGGCGAAGUUUGUUAUGACGUCAGUCUAACACACUGAAGGCUUACGGUUCGAGUCCGGGCGAAGCCAUUUCUUCUAAUUUGCAUUUUGUUUAUUUUUCUUUAUUAAAAAAAAAAGAUUCCGGUUCGGGUGACCUGCGUGACAGGCGGAAAUACUAACCAUCUAUAAUAUUUGUUGGCUUAUAAUAUUUCGAUUCGGUUCCGGUUCGAAGAUGUGAAGAGUCAUUUGUUGAGUAGAGACAAACUCGAGAAUGAGUUUAGUUUGGAUAGCAAGGCAGAUAGGCAAGCUUCCGUUUUGGUAGCAUCAAAGAAACAAGACAAAAAGUGUCGCUAUUGUAAAAAGUUAGGUCACGUCAAAGCAGAUUGUUAUAAACUGUGAAAUAAAAUAGCUGCUGAGAGUAACAAGAAAGAUGUAGCUAGUGCUAAUUUGAUCGAUGAAAGCGAUGAUGAUUUCUUAUUAGUGUUAACGAGCGAUAACUCAAAGCUCACGUCCGAGUGGAUCCUAUAUUCGGGAUGUUCUUUCCACAUGUGUUCCAAUAGAGAAUGGUUCUCCACAUACAGUUCGGUUGAAGGUGGAGUUGUGCGCAUGGGAAGCGAUUCAUCUAGUAAGGUAAUUGAUAUUAGUACUGUUAAAAUUAAGAUACACGAUGAGACGAUUAGGGCACUCUCAGAUGUCAGGUAUGUACCUGAUUUACGAAAGAAUCUCAUCUCAUUGAGUAUUUUAGACUUGAAAGGAUGCAGAAUCAACAUCGAGUCGAGCGACAUUAAAGUAUCUCGUGGAGCUUUCAUUUUGUUAAAAGGUAAAAGUACUGACAGUCUUUAUAUUCUGGAAGGUUCUAUAGUGUUAGAGUUGUGUGACCCAAAUUGUAAGAGAUUGCUUACAAGUCAAGUUAAACAAAAUAUAUUUUCUUUCUAGAAGAUUUAGUAUUUAUUAGUAUAAUAUAUUUAGCAUUUAUUAGCAUAGCUUAUUUGACCUACUAAUUUAGCCUAUAAAUAUGUUUUUUACAACCUUAGAAAAUACACCCAUUAGAUUAGAACUCAUAACACAUUUGGAAGGGGUUUUCCACGUUAAAUUUGUGUGUUCAAUUUCUCAAUUUCUUCUGCUAUUUUUACUUGUUUGUUGGUUAAUCGGGUCGAUUCCUAACAAAAGCAAAUAUCAGCUCAUUGAUAUUCUAAUAUUUAAUUAAUAUUAAGCGACAUUACAUGAAUGGAUCGUAAUGUGGAAAGACAACUUAUAUUAGCAAAUAAUCUAAACACGUCCUUAGUCCAAUCGAAAUUGAGCAAAUCAAUUAAAAGACUAAUAUGACAUAUAUUAAGUCCAAUUGAUGAGGUACCUUGUAUUGAUUAUCAGCGCGGAUGAUUCCCAAAAGAUAAAUAUAUAGAUGUGAUUAACUGGAUUUACAGGAUAUUGGAUAGGACCCAAGUAAAAUAGAUCCUAAAUUAGUUUAUACAUAUAUUCACUUGUGACAUUUAUAGUGUAGUAUACCUUAAAUCUUGAUUGGAUGAUGAACUACGUAUACGUGACUUAUAUGAUUUGAUGUAAGUGAAAGCUAAAGUUCAAAUAGAUUUCUAAUAUGCGAUAACCAUUUUGCACACGAUCAAGAUCCAUUUUGUGAAAGAAACGGAAUAAAAAUCGUUUUCCUCCCAUAUUUGCAAUUUGGACCCCUCUCACUGGGUGCUAAAGAUUACCUAUAGUACUUCUCAUUGCGGGGAAGCGAAUCACACUUGCAGUAAGGAAACACCCCACCAAGCAAAGAUCAUAAUCUCCUUCAUAGGUUCAGCCUCGUUUUAGAUCUGUAAGAUAUUUUCCUCCUCAUCAUCCAAAGUAAGAUUCGUCAAAUCAGUUUCCAUACAUACCAAAAUCAAAACAAAAAGAAAUUAACAACCCCUCCUAAACUCCAUCGCUGCAAAAACCAAAUUAGAACAAAAGUCAAACCCUAAAAAUGAAACUUGCUAGAAAAGCAGACCAAGAUGUGCUAGAGUAGCAGACUCGAUCCUUAUCUUUUAAAAGCACAUAAAAGAUNNNNNNNNNNNNNNNNNNNNNNNNNNNNNNNNNNNNNNNNNNNNNNNNNNNNNNNNNNNNNNNNNNNNNNNNNNNNNNNNNNNNNNNNNNNNNNNNNNNNNNNNNNNNNNNNNNNNNNNNNNNNNNNNNNNNNNNNNNNNNNNNNNNNNNNNNNNNNNNNNNNNNNNNNNNNNNNNNNNNNNNNNNNNNNNNNNNNNNNNNNNNNNNNNNNNNNNNNNNNNNNNNNNNNNNNNNNNNNNNNNNNNNNNNNNNNNNNNNNNNNNNNNNNNNNNNNNNNNNNNNNNNNNNNNNNNNNNNNNNNNNNNNNNNNNNNNNNNNNNNNNNNNNNNNNNNNNNNNNNNNNNNNNNNNNNNNNNNNNNNNNNNNNNNNNNNNNNNNNNNNNNNNNNNNNNNNNNNNNNNNNNNNNNNNNNNNNNCGUUUUUUUUUAAUUAUUUCUAACUUCGAACUUUCUUAAUUCCCAUCCAGAUAAGAAGUUUCAUAAACUGGUCUAUUUUUAUAGUAUGUCUCUUUAAAACGAAAGUGGAGUUCACCCUUUAUUUUUUUUUUCUUUUCAAUCACUUGUAGCUUUUCUGUUUCAUCGAUUUUGCUCGGAUCCACCUCUUCCUCCGAAAAAAGAGAAAAAGAAGUAUUUUCUUCGGUCCCCUGUUUUUGGUUAGCCCCUCCCCCUUCGGAAAUAGUUUCUAUUUCUAUGUUUCUUUCUUCCUCACUUUCCCCCACUUCUUCCGUUUCAGAAAUUCCUUUCAGUUAGUUAGAAUGGGUGACGGUAUUCUUCCUAAGUAGUAAACACAUGUAAUAAAUAAUAGAAUACUAAAGAUCACAUGUAAUAAAUAACAGAAUACUAAAGAUUUGAGCCAUAGAAUUUCUAAAUUCUGAUACAAGAUACUUAUUGUUACAGUAUUCUGUUAUUUUAUUUGUAACAAGUAGAUUUCAUUUUACACAUGUCAUAUUUUAUGACAAAUUAACCAACCAACAAAACUACUUGUUACAAAUAACAUAUUGUUGCUACAUCGAAACAUAUAGAUUUUGACUAAUCUGGCUAACAUUGAACUUGGUAAAAUGAAAUGGUUGAAUAAUUGAAUAAUUGAAUAAUGAGAUUAUUCAGGAAUACACAUUGAAUGCUAAGAUUAUGCAUUGAAUUUCUGGUAGGAGGUCUAUGAUCAAAAAAGUCUUUGUGAUUGUUCCAGAAGAAAUGAAACAAAAGAUACAGUAGAGUUAGGACGGUUAUUGUAUGAGGUUUACCCAAUGUUGAAUGCAGAGGUACAUAGUAGAUUGAUAUGAACAUCAUGAGCUGGCCUGCAAUAAACCCAGUUGUUGCUGAUACUCUCUUCUCAGUUCCUUCUUCUCCUUCUUCCAUAACCCGAGCUCGUAGAAGGAAGAUAUAAGAGGGACCUAUGGAUAGUGUGGUCAGAAAUCCAUAAUAGAGUCUGAUCAUAACGACCGAAUUGAUCAUCGUCAUGUAUAAGGAUAUUCUGAUGGACUAAAUAUCUUUCAUAAGGAAUCGUAGAAAGAUGCGACGAUUUUUUCCAGGAAAACCCCAACGAAAAAUACAUAUUAUUCCCUCAUUUCUAUGAAAUCAAUCAUAACCACUGCCUACAUUCUAAAAAAUAGUGUACCACAAAUAUGAACUAAUAAAGAGGCCUGCGAUCCCAUAGAAAGACAUCACGAUCCCAUAGACAGAAAUAAAGAUAUCAAAUUCCUACCAAGAUAACUAGAAGUUCCAACUAAAUAAAACCCCUAUAGAAACCAAAAAAAAAGGAUAAAGGACCCAAGCAAGAAAUUGCUUGUUUUUCGAGAUCCCACUAUAAAUUCUAUCCAUAUAGAUUUUGAUCGCCAACUAAUACAUGCUAGAUCCAGUUGCAUUUUAUUCGAAUUGAGAGAAUAACCAAAAAAAAUUUGACUUACUUUUUUUUUUGUUUCCGAAGUAACUCUCAUCAANNNNNNNNNNNNNNNNNNNNNNNNNNNNNNNNNNNNNNNNNNNNNNNNNNNNNNNNNNNNNNNNNNNNNNNNNNNNNNNNNNNNNNNNNNNNNNNNNNNNNNNNNNNNNNNNNNNNNNNNNNNNNNNNNNNNNNNNNNNNNNNNNNNNNNNNNNNNNNNNNNNNNNNNNNNNNNNNNNNNNNNNNNNNNNNNNNNNNNNNNNNNNNNNNNNNNNNNNNNNNNNNNNNNNNNNNNNNNNNNNNNNNNNNNNNNNNNNNNNNNNNNNNNNNNNNNNNNNNNNNNNNNNNNNNNNNNNNNNNNNNNNNNNNNNNNNNNNNNNNNNNNNNNNNNNNNNNNNNNNNNNNNNNNNNNNNNNNNNNNNNNNNNNNNNNNNNNNNNNNNNNNNNNNNNNNNNNNNNNNNNNNNNNNNNNNNNNNNNNNNNNNNNNNNNNNNNNNNNNNNNNNNNNNNNNNNNNNNNNNNNNNNNNNNNNNNNNNNNNNNNNNNNNNNNNNNNNNNNNNNNNNNNNNNNNNNNNNNNNNNNNNNNNNNNNNNNNUUCUAUUGUUCUUGUCUUCUAAGUAAAAAGGGCUUUUUCAAGCCUUUCUUUUGUGUGUUGUAACAUAGUAAUUAUCUUUUCUCAAUUAGGAGACGUGACUGAGUGGACUAAAGUGUCGGAUUGCUAAUUCGUUGUGCGAGUUAUUCGUACCGAGGGUUUGAAUCCCUCUAUUUUCGUUUCGGUUUUUGGUAGUGGAAUAGAUCAAAUCCUAAUACCAUUUUUAAAAAUGAAGCAAGGAACUCUCCCUUUUUUAUUCUUCGCAUCCAGGAUUAGGUCCCGGAUCAUUAGAUAGGAAUCCGAAGAUGAAGAGAGAAAUAAAGAAUAUUACUACGGUGUAAACAAAGAGUUUAAGAGUAAGCAUUACACAAUCUCCAAAAGCAUUUUUUGGAAAAAGAAGAGAAUAGAUUCCCCGUUUUUAUACCACAUACCCUAUUUUGUUUUGAUUUUGACACCAAGAAAUAAAGUGAUUUCUAGAAUUUAUAGAAAUCAAAAAGAAUUUUCAAAAAUUUACUUGUAAUAAGAGUUGAGCUUUUCAUUUACAAAAAAAAAUCUUUCAUACCAACAAUUAUAUAUUGUGGCAGACUCUAAUCUAAAUAGGGUUCUUCGACAAAAAGGGUCAGAAUGAGGAAAUGGGAUGAUCCAGAUUUAUCAGGACUAUCCAAGAAUUUCAAUCUUAGAAUUGAGGGUUCGUUCAUAGUGUAAGACUUACCUGAACUUUUCAAUUGUUAGAUUUUUUUCUUGAAUCACUCAUGAAUUUUUCUAGGACAGUAUUAAGGAUCUCAUUGAAAACUUACAACAGCUUAGCAAACAAAGGCUAAGAGAAAAAAGAGAACAGGUAUUACUGGUGUAAAAUCUACGAUUGGAUUCAAAAAAGCAUAGGCCUCGGGAAAUUUGGCGAAUAAAAAACUACUCGUAAAAAGGGUAGAAUUAAAACAGAUACAUAUCAAGUUAAAGAUAUUAAUCAUAACAAAAUUUUGUUCUUGGAGAUAAUUUUGAUUGAUUUUGUUUAUUCAAUUUCAAUAUUAUGAGUCCUAAUUAGAAUAGGAAUUUUUAUGGUAUCAAUUUAGGGUCUAUGAUUUUUAAAAAGCUAUUCUUUAUAUAGAAUGAUUCCCAUUUCAGUCGAUUUCUUCAUUCAAUUCAAUGAUUGACCAAAAUAAACUUUUUCAUAAAUAAUAAAAUAAAUUGCAUGAACUUAGCUCAAUCAAAUACUGAUAUUGAUGUUUUAUUUAUAUGCAAUGAUUUGGUCUAAUGAAUUCGUCCAUUUAGAUUGUAUCCAUGUAAGAUAAUGCUAAAUAAAAAAUAAAAGGAAGAGACGAAUUUACAUUACAAAAAACGAUAUAAAAAUGAUUAGGAAAAAAAAGGGGGGUAAAAUUAGGUAUAUGGAAUCUAAUGGCUAUAAGACAGCUUUUGUCUAUCCUUUGAGGAAUAAUUCUAAAAUCUGAUUGAAUCUAAGACAUGAAUAGUUGGUUUACGUUAUGUAAGAAACACAUGUAUAUGGGAUAUUAGAUAUUGACUAGUUAUAUACAAACUCAAAAUAUAUCUAAUCCAACCUACUACUGUGGAUUUAGAUAGGUAUUCCAAUAGAAGAAUAAAAGUUCCUCUGUUUCGUCUUUGACUCUGAAUUGAACGAAUAAAGAGAUAAAAUAAAGACAAACGAAGAAUUCAAAGCAAAGAAUGGGUUGGAAAAAAGAAAGGGAAGAACAAAGUAUGUGCGGAUUCAAAAAAAUCUAGCGAAUAUGACCUAAAAGAAAGAUGUCGAAAUAGUUCUGACGAUUCAAUAAUCUUCUCACUUCCAUUCAGAGUUCUUAGUUACUUCGGUAGGUUGAAUCUUAGCGAUGGAAUAAUAUAAUUAAGUCAAAAUUCAUUGGAUGAGUGUAUCAUGAACCAUUUCUUUAUUUUGGUGCGAGGAACUUAUCAUGAAUCCACUGAUUUCUGCCACUUCCGUUAUUACUGCUGGGUUGGCUGUCGGGCUUGCUUCUAUUAGACUUGGAGUUGGUCAAGGUACUGUUGUGGGCCAAGCUAUAGAAGGUAUUGUGAGACAACCCGAGGCGGAGGGAAAAAUAUAAUGUACUUUAUUUCUUAGUUUGGCUUUUAUGGAAGCUUUAACAAUUUAUGGGCUGGUUGUAGCAUUGACACUCUUAUUUGCAAAUCCCUUUGUUUAAUCCUAUAAACAUGAGAAUUUUGUAUUUUUUUUCUUAUUUUAUGGCUUGGGACUUACUCCUCGCUUUUUUGAAUUCUAUUAAGAUUUCACCCCUACAAUUAAUUAUUCGUUGGGACAAUAAUCCAUGGGAAGGAUUAAUUUAAGGACAGUCAAGUGAAAUCCAUUCCACGAAAUAAUUUGAUCUAUGGACAGCAUUGUUGUGGUAAAGGUCGUAAUGCCAGAAAAAUCAUUACCGCAAGGCAUAGAGGGGGAGGUCAUAAGUGUUUAUACCGUAAAAUUGAUUUUCGACGAAAUGAAAAAGACAUAUAUGGUAGAAUCCUAACCAUAGAAUACGACCCUAAUCAAAAUGCAAACAUUUGUCUCAUAUAGUAUGGGGAUGGUGAGAAGAGAUAUAUUUUACAUCCCAGAGGGGCUAUAAUUGGAGAUACCAUUGUUUCUGGUACAAAAGUUCCUAUAAAAAUGGGAAAUGCCUUACCUUUGAGUACGGUUUGAACUAUUGAUUUACGUAAUUGGAAGGAACCAAUUAGGUUUACGAUGAAACCUAAAACUCAAUCACUGAUCCAAUUUGAGUACCUCUAUAGGAUAGACCUCAAUAGAAAACUGAAGAGUAAUGACAGCAAGUGAUUAAGUUCAGUAGUUCCUUAUAUAAAAUUAUUGACUCUAGAGAUAUAGUAAUAUGGAGAAGACAAAAUUGUUUUAAGCACCGACAGAACCAGAAGCGCCCCUUGUUUUAAAGAGAGGAGGACGGGUUAUUCACAUUUCAUUUAAUGGUCAGAAACGAAUUGGAAGCUAAGUAGUGGUAAUUCAAAAGAUUCCCCGGGGAAAAAAUAGAGAUGUCUCCUACGUUACCCAUAAUAUGUAGAAGUAUCGACAUAAUUUCAUAGAGUCAUUCGGUCUGAAUGCUACAUGAAGAACAUAAACCAGAUGACGGAACGAGAAGACCUAGGAUGUAGAAGAUCAUAACAUGAGUGGUUCGACAAAUUUGGAUUCCUAUAUAUCUACUCGUGUAGUACUUUAUUUUACAAUAUAUAUAAGAAUUAUACGAUAAGAAUUAUACGAAUCCAUAUGUAUACAUAUCAUCAUCUACAUCCAGAAAGUCGUAUGUUUUGGAAGAAGCUUGUACAAUUUGGGAAGGGGUUUUGAUUGAUCGAUCAAAAAGAAGAAUCUACUUCAACCAAUAUGCCCUUAGGCACGACCAUACAUAACAUAGAAAUCACACUUGGAAGGGGUGGACAAUUAGCUAGAGCAGCGGGUGCUGUUACGAAACUGAUUGCAAAUGAGGGAAAAUCAGCCACAUUAAAAUUACCUUCUGGGAGGUCCGUUUGAUAUCCAAAAACUGCUUAGCGACAAUCGGACCGGUGGGGAAUGUUGGGGUGAACUUGAAAAUUUUGGGUAGAGCCGGAUCUAAAUGUUAGCUAGGUAAGCGUCCUGUAGUAAGAGUAGUAGUUAUGAACCCUGUAGACCAUCCCCAUAGGGGUGGUGAAGGGAGGGCUCCAAUUGGUAAAAAAAACCCGCAACCCCUUGGGGUUAUCCUGCACUUGGAAGAAGAAGUAGAAAAAAGAAUAAAUAUAGUGAUAAUUUGAUUCUUCGUCGACAGAGUAAAUAGGAGAGAUUAUUUCUUUCUUCGUCUUUACAAAAACAAAAACAAAAAUAUAUAUUUAUUUUUAAAGUAAAAAAAUGACGCGUUCACUAAAAAAAAUCCUUUUGUAGCAAAUAAUUUUUUUUUAAAAAAUCGAAAGGCUUAAUAAAAAAGCAAAAAAAGAAAUAAUAGUAACUUGGUCCAGAGCAUCUACCAUUAUAUGUAACAGCCCGAUUUUAGGCCUAGUCGGAAUAGUGGUUUCGGGACCACAAAUUCGACGAGGAAAAAUUUAUUUUUUCUUAUAUUUUUAUGGUUUACAAUUUCACGGAAUGAUUUCGUAAAAAUUUCAUUCAAAAAUUUUGACGUUUGGGCACUCAAUUUAGACAAAAGGACUAAAUUGUAAAAAGUGCAAAAUUUGAGUUCUACAUGUUAGAUGUGUCCAAUUGUUAUGAAAUUUUAAAUUGGAGGUCCUUAAAUGGUAAUUAGACCAUUGGUUAACUUGUUGGACAAAAAUGGACAAGAGAUAAGUGAAAUAGGAUAUUUUUAAGUUGGGGGCAUUUUGGUCAUUUAGUAAUUAAAAGAAUUAAAAAUGCCAAAAUAGCCAAAAAAUUGUCCAUCUUCUCCAUGAUGAACGAAAAUAGCAAGGGGGAAGCCAUGGUUAGGGUUUUCAAGCUUCCAAGCUCCAUAGUAAGUGAUUCUAAGCCCCAUUUUUAAUGUUCUUUACGUUUUUGAAGUCUUGGUAGCUUAAUUUAGCUUAUUCUAGCAAUAAUUUAACCUAAGGUUUAUAUUUGGAAAAAUACCCAUAGGUGAAAUGUGUUUAUUUUGAUGUUUUAUGGUAGAAUAUGAAGCUUUAAAUUGUGUUAAAUAAUUUUUGCUAAGCGAUUUUCAGUGAAAACAAGUGAAACGACAUAAUCAGUAAAAAUUAUUAGUGUUCAUAAGUGCAUGUUAGAGGAAGAAUUUGAUGUUUCUAUAGAAGGGAAAAAUGUUCAACAUGUUAUAAAACAUAAGAAAAAGGAAUAAAGUUUAAUUUCUGAGCCUAGGGACAAAAUCAUAAUUUUGUGAAACUUUAGAGACAAAAAUGUAAUUUUGCAAAAAUGUGAUUUUUGGACUAGAUUGAAUAAUGUGAAUGUUAUAUAAGCUAAAUAUGUUAUUAUAAAUCGAGAAAGACGAGAAAUUAACAUUGAUUGGUAUAUAAAAAACUGAGAAAAAGUGAAAAUUCCCAGUUGAACCUUCGGAAUGAAAGAGAUACGAGUGAAGUUGCUAGGUCACGUGUGUAGUACUAUGUGCAGACUACUACGUGUACUGGAUAGGUCACAUGUAUAGUACUAUGUGCAGGCUACUAUGCAUACUGAAUAGCUUCGAUCACGUGUGUAGUACUAUGUGCAGGCUACUACGUGUAUCAGAUGAAAAUGGUCACGUGUGUAGUACUAUGUGCAGGCUACUACGUGUACUGGAAUGAUAGGUCGCAUGUGCAAUACUAUGUGCAGGCUACUAUGCGUACUAGAUAGCUUCGAUCACGUGUGUAGUACUAUGUGCAGGCUACUACGUGUAUCGGAUGAAAAUGGUCACAUGUGUAGUACUAUGUGCAGGCUACUAUGUGAACCGAGUAUCAUUUAUUAUAAGGUGGUCGCUAUGAGAGUUUUGUUUUUGUAUAGAAUAUAAAAAAAAUUCAAUUUCUACCGAUUCCACCUUGUAUCUGUUAUUAUUCCGAAGUGUUCACCGGGAAAUUGUAUACGCUUUAGGUCAACAUAUAUGUAUGUCUGCUUACAAAGCACGAAGAAUAAUUUGAUCAGAUUCGUGGACGUUCCUACGAAGAAACACUUAUGAUACUAGAACUCAUGCCUUACAGCAUGUUAUCCCAUUUUAAAAUUGAUUUAUUCUGUAGCAGUAAAUGCUCAUCACAAUAGGGGUUUCAAUGAAGCGAGUUUAAUCAUUAGUAAGUCGCAGUAAAUGAGAGAACUACUUUGAAAAGACUAAACCUCGAGCUCGAUGACAAAAUUAUCUGAUAAAAAGACCCACUUGUAAUAUAACUAUUGCAUUGAAAGAUCUUGAAUUUUAAUCACGAUUUAUGCUCAGUAAAUCAUUCAUUUUAAUCGCCACUCUAUUCGAUAUAGAAAUAAAUUAGAUAAAUUCAAUCUAUUAUAUAAAUAUUUAUUAGAAAUAAAUAGAUAUUAUAAAAAGAAACUAGAUUAUAUUAAUAAUACAAAGUAUAAGAUCAGUGAUUGGUUUAACAUAAACAUAAAAAAAGGAAUUUUAAUUUUUUUAAAAAUACAUACUUUUAAUGGACAUGGACCAUAUUGACAAAAAAACUAUAAAUGUGAGGCCAAAAUAAGUUUUAAAAGUUUAAAAAUUAAUAGACCUGUGAACUUAUACAAAAUAGUUAAAAAUUCAUUUGAACUGGAAAUUGAAUUAAUUUUUAUAAUUUUUUUUUAUUUUUGAUAAUUUAUUUUCUUUGAAUUGGUUGGACCGAUCACUUUCAAAAUCAAUUGGUUAGACUAAUUCGAAAUUGAAUCAACUGUCGGUUCAACUAUUUUUUAGCUCGAUUCAACUAGUUUGUACUAGUUUGUAGGUUAACCAACUUUUUAUCUUUCACCGAACUGAUACUCCAACCAAUUCCCAACUCAACUGGCCAACUUGAUUCGGUUUAGAUAACAUUAAAUUUUGAAUUUUUGUUUAUAUUUUUGAAAUAUUUUUAUUUUUUAUUUUUAAAAUUUUAAAAGUUUUUAUUUUUUUCCAAAAGUUUUAUUUUAAAAAAAUAUAUUUUUAAUUUUAAAAAGUUAUAAUUUUUAAAAUUUUUUAUUUAAAAUAUGAAAAAAAUAAUUUCAAAUUUUUUUUAUGUAUUUUUAAAACAAAAUUAACAAAAGAUUAUAAAUAUUAAGAGUUAAAAAAGUAUUUUAAUAUUGUUAAGUUUAAUAAAAAAAUUAAAGAAAGAACUACAAUUUUAAAAUAAAAAAAAAACAUAAACUUAAUAUCUCAAAAUUAAAAUUAAAACUUGAAAGGUUAGAAAACCUUUUGACAUAUUUUUUUCUGAAAAUGAUUAUUCAUUUUUGGCAUCCGGUAUCAAACCCGGGUCGAAUGACUAAAGGUUUUUUUUUUUGAAGUAUUAUCUUUUUUUUUUCUUUGGGCUGUAUCUGCUUCAUACAAAACUGAGUUAUCUUUCGUUUCUUCCCCUUGCAAAAUCCCCAGCCUACCCAACACAGAAAAAAGACCAAAAGAUUUUUUAUGGCCGUUGUUUCAAGUGCUCAUUCAACUAUCUUCUCUAAAACCUCCCUUUUUCACCACAUAAAUGGUUUCAAACGCUUCUCUUUUUGCUUACCCUUUUCUUCCUCUGCCGUUGCUUCUCUUUCUUCUAAGAAAAAAUGGAGACAACCCGUGGCUUCCUCCAUGUUAGAGCUUGGUGGAAUCAAAAUUGCCAAAGAUGGUACCCAAAUGCUACUUUUUAUGUACUUUUUUCUUUUAUGUUUUUCUGCACUGUUAUUGAACUGGGUCGUUUCAAUAUUUGCUGAUAUUGAAUUUUAACUAGGCGAGCUUCUCUAUUCUUGCAUUUUCUUUCUCUAAUACCGGUAAAUGUUUAUGGGUAAUGGGUAGUUUUCUCUUAGUUUAAUCUGAUUUGAAGUUUCCAAAAUAUGCCCUUUGUGUGUUCAAGUUGUAUUUUGAUAGGGAAUUUAAAUUCAUGGAGUUUUGGUGCAAUAUGUUUUGUCAUGGAAGUUAGGUAUAAGCUUUUUAGGUGGAAUACACCCUUUUUGGUGUAAUGUUAAAUGAUUGAAAAUUUUCUGCAAUGGGAACCAACUUUUCUGGUUUGGAUAUGCUUUGAAAAUUUUUAAUUGGUGAAUUUUGAUUCAUGAUUUUAUGUGUUUUCAUAGUUUAUGAAUGAUUUAGUAUUUUAUUGGAUGGUGGGAAUUGUAGAUGUGGUGAGGGAUGACCCGACAAACAAUGUUCCGGACACAAUAUUUUCGAAACUGGGCUUGCAGCUACACAGAAGGAAUAACCAUCCUCUUGGGAUUCUAAAGAAUGGAAUAUAUGAAUAUUUUGAUACUAAUUUCCCAAAUAUGUUCCAUAAGUUUGAUGAUCUCUGCCCAGUUGUUUCAGUAAAACAGGUACAAUGUGGUCCACUGCUCUGUGAAUUCUCUUUUCCUCUUUUAUGUUUCAUAUGAUUGGAUCGAAAAGGAAUAGCUUUUGAGUUUAGAUAUUUCUGAAAAUUCAAUCCUAUGCUCUGCUUUGGAAUUCCUGGGAAAUUUGUAUCUCUAUGGAUUUGAUCAGAUUACAGUUGUUUGUAUGCUUCUGUAUUACCUUAUUGAUAUCAUAUGUUACCAUGUACGCUUGAACCUCUGUGUAUGUGUUUGGCUGUGGAUUAGCGAGUGAGAGAAUAAUUUUGGAUUGCAUAUUUUUAGGUUAUGGGCCUUUUUUCUCCAUAUGUAUCAUCUAUGGCCAUAUUAAGCAUGUUUGUUUGAAAAAUACGUGGCUCUCUAGUCAACUUCUUAAAUUGAGCAUGUGAGUUUUUCAGUAUUAUUAAAUCUCUCCAAUGCAAAAAGGUUCUGUAUUGCUGUUUUUGAGCUCUGCAAGAAGUAUGACCGAGCAGUAAUGUUCUUGUUUUUGGUUUUGUAGUAAUUGAUUUCUGAAGUGAUGGAAUGAUGAAUACAGGAAUUUGCAUGCAUACAUGCAACACUGAUUUCCUUAAAAACUGAACUUAAAAUGUUUCAAAAUUUUUCAUGCCUAUCUAAGCUCAUAUAUACUCAGCAGAAUUGUUUAAAGUUGUACUUUACAGAUUCUAGAACUCUAUGUUUUUUCUUGGGGGGAUAAAUUUGAUUUUAUUACCCAAAAUAAGCAGAACUAUGCUACAAGAAAACAACUGCUGAUAGAAUAGCUGCAAAUAGGAUUACAACUCUAUACAAUCAGUUAUUUGCAUCCAGUAUACCCCAAUCUAUCCAAAGUUGAAGAUUUACACUAUCAGUUCUAUCGAUACUCCUCCCUAACAAUCUUAGCCAUACAAUUUCUUUGAUGCUUCGCAGUAAUUCUUGUUUACUUACCUGCUUCUCUUCAAAUUACCUUCUAUUCUUUUCCUUCCAGAUCAUGUAUAUAUAUGCACUACAAGCGAGCUUCAAAACAAGGGUAAUCAGUGACUUUCCCUUCAACCUCCUGACAGCCCAUUGUAACUCUUGGUGCCAAGACAUGGCACCUCUAUGUAUCUGGUAUAAUUUCAGAACAUCGCCACACUUUCCUUGAGUACCCACACUCAAAGAACAAGUGAUUAUGAGAUUCCAUCCCUCCCUCGCAUAAUUUGCAGCAUCCCUCUACAUUAAAUCCCCAUGAAAUACGCCUAUAUUUUGUAGGCAACUUGUCCCUUACAGCCAUCCAAGCAAUAAGAGAUGGCAUAGGAAUAUGCAGGGAAAGCCAAAUAAGUCUACUUCAAGUAAAUCUGUCCUUUAUCCUUAUUUAAUUCCAGAUUGUGGUCACGGACAAUUUGUUGUUUACUGCAGCAGGUGAUUUAAGGAUUGAAGCAGCAUCUACUCGCAACUUUAAUAACUUUUUCCGGUUCUAGCUGUUUCCAAUAUUUAAAGAUACCUUCCAAAUAGAUUCAUUCUUUAGGAAAGUUAUUGUGCUCUAUGUUUUGUCCAGCAUUAUGUGCUCAAAGUUGGAUGAUGAUGGGUAAGCAGUUAUUGUGCUCCCCUGAAAUGAAGAUACAAUUUGUCAUCUGUUUGAUAAUUAAUUUUAUUGUCUUAGUUAUGUUACAAUAUAUGUUGGAUAAUUUUAUCAAAUUUGGAUUCUUGGACAAUGGUUUUUAAGAACAUUUAUUUGUUUAUGACAGUAAAUAAUUAUUUUUUUCCAGAAUUUUGAUGAUGUCCUGGUGCCUGCCGAUCAUGUAAGCCGGAGUUAUAAUGAUACAUAUUAUGUUGACUCUCAAACUGUGCUGAGGUGUCAUACAAGUGCUCAUCAAGCAGAGCUGUUGAGAAGGGGACACACUCAUUUCCUUGUAACUGGCGAUGUUUACCGUAGAGAUUCUAUAGAUUCCACCCAUUACCCUGUGUUUCAUCAGGUUUCGUUUUGUUGAAAGCAUCUUCAAUUUUGUCUAGCUUUUUAGAAUUCUCUUCUCGUAGGUAUUCUGCUAAGUCUACAUGUGAUGCUCAACCAUUUAUUGGGCCCUACCAUGGCAUCCUUUGUGGGUCGACAUGAUGAAGUGCUUUGAUUUGACAUGUAACAUUUGUCUAAUAUGGUUAUGUUGAUAAUUCAGGGUCAACUAUUUUUCUCCCCUUUGCAUUGCAGAUGGAAGGGGUUCGUGUUUUUACUCCAGCUAAUUGGGAGGCAUCAGGUUUGGAUCCAACAUCAUAUGCAGCUGAGGACUUAAAGAAAAGUCUAGAAGGCCUAGCUCGUCACUUAUUUGGUAAAUUUUAGAUUCAAAGCUUAAUUGAGGGAUUACAAGUUUGCAAAAAGAUUAUGCAUAUCUGCUACAAUGAGUUUACUAUUUGGCUUCGGAAAAAAUCAUAUUCCAUAUUGAAUCAAGAUCUUUUUUUACAUCAUAAAUGCAAUAUUGGUUUUGACAAGAAGUGGGAACUUUUGUGAAAAUAAAUCAUAGCAUAUUUGCGUCUUUUUUCUUUUAGUUACGAUGGAGAUGUAUAUAUUAGCGUUGUGCAAUGUAUAACUUAUUUUAUGGAGAGAAGUAUCUAACUAGCUGCUAUAAAUUGUGAUCACUUUUAUGGAAUUAGUCAUCAAAGGUUUGCAUUGUAAAGACUGCAAAACACCAAGCCUCAAUCUGUUAACAUUCCAGGUGCUGUGGAGAUGCGUUGGAUUGAUGCCUAUUUUCCAUUUACCAAUCCUUCCUAUGAACUUGAGAUCUAUUUUCAGGUAUUUUCUUUGUUUUUUAUAAAAAUAGUUUUAGUGUUUUCUUUAAGCUUGAGUUUUUGGUUGAGGGUUUUUAGUAGCUUUUUUCUUUUUUUCCUGCUUCAUUUAUUAGUGGGUGAACCCUAUGCUUAUUGUUGCAAUCUUCAAUUUGAUUAAGCUAAAUUAUGAUAUGGAUAUUUCCAAUACCUUUAACUACAUGUUUGUAAUCUGGUUUGUAGUCCUCACUUCUACUUUGAUUGUUGUUCUAUCUGAAUUAUUUUAAGUUAAUUUGGUAACUUUAGCUCUGAGUAUAACUUACCGGCAAACUACAACAACUUUCAGGGGAAAUGGAUGGAGGUUUUGGGUUGUGGGGUGAUGGAGCAAGAAAUAUUGAAAAGUAAUGGUAGAUCAAACAGUGUUGCUUGGGCCUUUGGACUUGGAUUGGAGCGGCUAGCAAUGGUUUUAUUUGACAUUCCAGAUAUCCGGCUUUUUUGGUCAACUGAUGAGCGAUUCACCUCGCAGGUAGCUUCUGAAUGUAGCUCCAUGAUUUGAAAGCUGAAUUCUUGGAAUCCUAAUUUAGUUUCUACACCUAAGUCUGGCUAAACUAUUUGAACGCAGUUUUCCGAAGGCCAAAUGGGAGUGAAGUUUAAACCCUUUUCGAAGGUAUAAGUUAAGCAAAUGGUUUCUUUUAACUGUUUAAUAACUAUUACAAAAGCAUGACUGGACACCUCAAUUGUUUUUGCAGUAUCCUCCCUGUUACAAAGACAUGAGUUUUUGGAUCAAUGAUUCAUUUACAGAGAACAACUUAUGUGAAGUUAUAAGAGGAAUAGCUGGGGAUCUUGUUGAAGAGGUAUGCAAUUUAAAUUUUGGCCAGAUAUCUUUUGAGGACAUGAAACAUGUUCAUCUAUAUCAUUAUGUGUUUAAGCUUCUUAACUGAAUGUUCUACAGAGUAUAAAUAUUAUCAGCUUAUAAGUAUUAUAAAUUAUCGAAAUAAUGGAAAAGGUGUCAAUUGAGGGGUAAGCAUGUUUGAUUGGCUUCCAUCAUCUCAUCCUUUAUAGACAUCAAAACACAAAUAACUGAUUUAAUGGAGCUUAUGUACGUAAUUUCUGAUUUCUAGUUUUCAUUCUUAAUAUGACAUGUAGGUAGGCAGUUGCCAAAAGAUUUUUUCGCCUAUAUCCUGUCUCAGAGUCUAUGAUAGCAAUUAUAAGUAUUUAAAAUCCCUUGCAUAUCAAAGGCAGUUGCGGGUACUAGUGUGUCUAUGAAGAUGUCUUAUUGAUUCACUAAGCGUAUUUUAAAUUUAAUACGGAAAGGUAUUAAUGCAAUGAUGACCUAAAGUCUUUCAACAAUCAUAAAUACGAAGCAUUUGAGGGUCUUACUUGAUAGGUGUUUGAUAGAUAAUUUUUUGUUUCAUCACAUUCAGGUGAGCUUGAUAGAUAACUUUACCAACAAGAAAGGAAUGACAAGCCAUUGUUAUCGGAUUGCAUAUCGAUCCAUGGAGCGUUCACUCACAGAUGAGGAGAUUAACGACCUGCAGGUACCGCUAUGCCUUACUUAUGUCGUAAUUAUGAUUGAUGUUACUAUAGUUUUAAUUUUGAAGUGUUGUUUGAUGGUAAAAUAUGUGGGUUUUUCAAUUGUGAAUGCAGUGGCAGGUGCGAGAACAGGUGCAGAACAAGUUAAAUGUUGUUCUAAGAUGAGUAGCCUAAACUUGUUUUUUGUCCAUUGGAGUUAUAGGCGUUGCAUCUUAAAUUACCAUACUAUAUAGGUUUCAGUUAUUUGCAAGCUUUUAUGUUGGUUAAUUCAUGGGUAAUAGGUUUAAUACAUUUUUUUCCUUGUCUAAUGUGGUACUUGUAUUUGGUAAAAGCUAUACAUUUUUAUGCGUUCUUAAAUUUUUAGCGUUUAAUUCAAGUUUUAGAGUUGAUUAGAUGAAAAUUCAUAAAUUACUAAUAAAAUUAACAAUUAUAUGAAAUACUAAAUGAUAUAUUAAGCUUGAAAAAUAGGCUAAAAUUAUGUAAUUUUACCCUAUGUGUUCGUUGAUAAUUAGUUUCGUUCCAUCAUCUAAAAAUAUUGUAUGUAAUGCAUACAUUAAUCUGUUAUUAUCAUCAAAUUUAGCUUCACCACAUGACUAGUUUUAUUUAAUUAUUUUAGAAUAUUAAUUUUGGUUUAUAGAAUUUACAAGUAGUUAAUAUAUAAUUUUGAGGUAAAAUAAUCUAUCCAUUUAUGCUGUUUUAUUUUAGGUCUAAAUUAAUUUUAGUGUUACUUAUUUUAUACAUUUAUAUUGCUCAGGGCGUAAAAAACUUCUUUGCUAAAACAUCAAUUAAGCUAUUAUGCGAAGAAGGCUUUCAAUUUAUCUCUCAAAUGUUAGAACUUUAUCAAUUAGACUUUAUGGUUAAUGGUUUUUGGCAUUGAUUGUUAAAUUAAUAAUGUUACUCUUAAAGGUUGAUUUAAUUUUUAUUACAUUUACAUUCAAAAAAUAAAAAAUAAAAAAUUUAAGUUCGAAAUGAAAUGAACAAAUGGUUAUCUAAGUUUAUUUAAAUUUGGUCAAUUAUUUGUUCAAAUUCUUUCUAGAUACUUAUUAAAGAUUAUAAAUGUGAAGUAAAGAUUAAAAAAUAAAAAUAUUAAGAAUUAUUUUUAAAGAAAUUGUCUAAAAUGGAUUUAGAUGACGAUUCUCAUGUUCAAGAUGUAAAGUUUUAAAUUAUAAAAAAAUAUAAUUUUUUUUUAAAAACAUUAUUAAAAAUUAUAAAAUUAGUAUGAAUAUCUUAUUAAGUGGAUGCCCAUCAUGAUCAAGAUAAAGUUUUGAUGUAUUUUAAAUUCUAAUAAUUAUUAAAAUUAGAUCUCUACUUCUUUUAUACUUCUUAUGUUUAUAAAUAUAGACUCUGAUGAAAUAUUAUAAUCAUUCUAUUUAUCAAUAAAAUACAUUCUCUAUUGCUUCCCAUAUUUUCUUUGUUCUUUAGUUUCUUUAUCGCUCUUUAUUUAUAACACGCUAUCUGCACGAUAUUGCUCAAAGUGAUAGUUCUUUUUAUCUUUGAUAUCCUCCAUGAUUUUCAAUAUUUUUGAUGGCAAGAAGUUUCUUUUAUUUAAUGUUUCAUAUCUGAUUAUUAUUUUUCAUUCUUCUUUCAUUAUAAAUUAUCAUUGUAUUGAUUAACUUAUUUUACUUUUUGUUCUGAAGGAUGGUGAAAGAUUUGAUAUUGUUAUCUACAUGAAAUCGAGAAAUAAGAUACACUCUCAAAGUUUGCUUUUUGAUAUUUGCUUGAGGAUGAUCUUUUUCUCUUCAUUACAAAGGAUGUUUAUAAUCACUAUUUCUUAUUCAUGGUAACGUAAGUCAAUCUAAUCAACUUCUUUUGAAAUUUGAUUUGAUUUCUAUUAAAAAGUUCAAUAUAUAUAAUUCACUAUCCGUAUCUCUAUGAAUUUAUAAAACCCUUCACAAAUUUAGUUAUUAGGAUUUUUAUGUGGAGAUAAAUAUUUUUUAAUAGAAUUUAUUGAUUUAAUUUUGAUUAAGAAUAUGAUUAUUACGGAAUGCGAGUAAAAAUACUUAUCAUGAUCUUUGAGAUAUUUGCCCUGUUUGUGAUAAUUUCAUAUCAUUGUAAAAUUUGAAGUGAAAUUAUGUCAUAAGAGGUGGAAGUUAGAAAAUGUUUAUGUUUAAACCUUUAUAGUUCUAAAGUUAUUUUAAUUUGACAUUAUAAUAUUUUAUAUUUUUUUGUGUUAUGAUAUAUAAAAUAUAUAUAUUAUCUAACCAUAAUGAUUUAUUAGUAACAUGAAUUUAUUAUUUGUUAUGUUUAAUAUAUGUUUUAUUUAUACCUAUUCAUUUUAUAUAAAUAAAUAAAAUUUUAGAAGAUCAGUAAAUUUUUUUUAUCAUUCAUGUAAAAAAAAAAAAGCUCUUUAAGAGCUAAUAUUUUACCUCCUUGUGAUGCGAAAUUUUGUAAAAUAGAAUAUUGUUUUUCAGAUCAAGAAGAUAUAUGUUGAAUAAAACCGUCAUGUGUUUUACAUUAAAACCAUAUAUAGAAAUAACAUGAGAUACUCAUGUAUUUGUAUUAUAUAUAUUUCCCGAAAGAAUACAUUGUACUAUAUAAUUGAAAUAUCUAAUGUGCUCUUGCAGUAGCAAUAUUGUGAAAGUGACUUUAAAAGUAUUUUCGAACGAUCUCAUACAUUCUAGUGGCUAAGCAAAAUAAUAAGUUACUAAUGAAAAAACUAUGAAAUUCUUCUCACUAGUUUUGCUUCAUUCCCCGAAGUGAAUGUAACAGUACAUAACAAUUAUGAAAAAUAAAAAUAUAGAGAUCAUGAUUGUUGUUGUAAUUGCGAAUAUGGUUGGAGAUGUACUAAUAACCAUUAUCAAGGUCGUUAUAAUAGUAGUGGUACUUCUAACCACUAGAAAAAGAAUAAUAAUGAAAAACAAGAAAAUUGUAGUCAAAAUAUUUGAAGAUUUUGACAUAUCCUGAAGUGAAUAUUGCAAAUAAUUGUUUACAAAUUAUAUUUAUUUUAUUGAGUUAAUAACAUUAUGUACUUCACAUUGAUGUAGACAUUUCUAAAAAUAAAUGUCACAAUAUUGCUUAUAUGUGAAUACAAAAUAAAAAGAAUGUCUAUAAAGUUAUUAAUUGUCAAAAUUUAUAUUUACAUUAUUAGUACAAUUGAAAAACAUGAUUAAGUAAACCAGAAGUUUACUGAUACAAAUACAUUUACUAUUUAGCGUGAUCAGUUAGACCAUCAUGGAUUAUAUAUGAUUAUAUAUGAUGCGAAAAUUAAUUUAGAAUUUAUAUAGACAUUUAUUAAAGAACCAGAAGAUUUUUUAAUUUUAAGAAUUCUCAUGUGUUGCUUGUUCUCAAUGAUAAUUGUUUAUUACAAACUCACUGGUUAAAGUUGAGAUUUAAUGUUUUGCAUUUCUGCAAUGAAUAUGGGCCUAUUCAUCCGCCAUGUGGAUGAUUUUGACAUUAUAUGGUUUUGGUAGAUGCAUCUACAAAACAAUCACAUGCAUUAUCAACUCGCAACCUGUCGUUUGCGAGAUUGUUUGUUUAAAUGAUUAAUUUCAUAUUAUGCAAUUAAAACAAUUCACCUUGCUUAUGUUGGUGAGUUUAUGUCCUAAGCUUUCAAUAGUUAUUGUAUGUCAAUAAGAUAAAAGUUGAACAUCCUAUAGCUCAUGUUCACACAUAAAGCGAUAUAGUUGAAUCAUUUAUCAAAUGCCACAAACUAAUAGCUAAACCAUUACUUAUGAGAACAAAACUUCCUAUUUCAACAUGAGAUUGUAUUGAUUAAAUGUUGUACGCAUCAAGCCAAUAAAUUAUAAAUAUUUUCCAUUACAAUUGAUUUUUGGUCAAGAGUCAAAUAUUUCCCACCUUACAAUUUUAGGGUGUGCGAUAUAUGUUCCAAUUACUCCACCACAACGCAUAAAGAUGGGUCAUUAUAAGAGAUUGAGAAUGUAUAUGAGUCUCCUUAUAAUAUUUUUGAGCUUCUAGAUUUAGUUAUGACAUGAGUUGUCAGUUUUCCCAACAUUAGGGGGAGAGAAUAAAAAGCUAGAUUAAUAAAGUACUCAAAAUUAAUUAUCAAUGUCUAAGAUCCUCGUACAAAGCAAUGUGAAUCAGAAGUUCAAAAGAUAAUUCAUUUUAUAAAUCAACUGCCAGAUUCAUUAAAUCCCACAUGCCAACUAAAAAUGCUCCAAUACAAAUUGAUGUCUUAAUAGGGCAAACUGUUAGUGCAAAAGAAAGUAAUCCAUGCCUGAAAGUGUGGAAGACCGAUCAGUUCCAAAGAUAAAAAUCCUUGUAAAAGAAAAGGAUCAAACAUUCAAGAUGGUUAUAUAGUGGAGGUAAGGGUUCUUGAAGAGACUCAUGACGUAACUAAUUAUAAAACUCAAGAAGAGAUUCAGGUACCUAAAAGUGAAAAUGAAAAUGAUGAAAAUAAAGAGAUCUAGAUAAGUUAUGUCAAUAUGAGAAAAAUAUGGAACCAAAAAAAAAAAAAUGUAGUUGUUGACAACAAUUUUGCUUAUAAUAUUGCUAUUGAAAUAACAAAAGAAAAUAAGGAUCCUGAGCCUAAAUCUAAUGUAAAAAUAAAAAAGAUUGGCCAAUAUGGAAAGAUGCAAUUCAAGCAGAAUUGAAUUCACUUUCUAAACGUGAAGUUUUUUGGACUUGUAGCCCAAACACCUAAAGGUAUAAAGUCAGUAGGAUAUAAAUGGGUAUUUGUGCAAAAAUGAAAUGAAAAAAAAUGAAGUCGUAAGAUAUAAAGAACGACUUGUAGCACAAGGAUUUUCGCAAAGGCCCGGCAUUGAUUAUGAAGAGACAUAUUCUCCUGUGGUGGAUGCAAUCACAUUUAGAUAUCAUAUUAGUCUGGCAGUAUGUGAAAAACUUGACAUACAUCUAAUGGAUGUUGUUACAACCUAUUUAUAUGGUACACUUGAUAGUGAAAUUUAUAUGAAAAUCAUUGAAGGAUUUAAAAUCCCAUAAGGAUAUAGAGUUUCUCGGGAAAAUUGCUCAAUCAGAUUAAAGAAAAGUUUAUAUGGAUUAAAACAAUCUAGACGUAUGUCGUGCAAUUGUCUUAGUGAAUACUUGUUAAAAGAAGGUUACAAAAAGAUCCAAUUUGUCCACGUGUCUUUAUAAAAAAAGGUUUUUAUUAGAUUUUGUGAUAAUUUUUGUUUAUGUUGAUGAUCUAAAUAUUAUUGGAACUCCUAAAGAGUUUCAAAAUAUAGUAAAUUAUUUAAAGAAAGAAUUUGAGAUGAAAGAUCCUGAAAAAACAAAGUUUUGUCUUGGCUUACAAAUCGAGCAUUUAAAAAAUGGAAUUAAUGUUCAUCAAUCAACUUAUACGAAAAAGACAUUAAAUAAAUUUUACAUGGAUAAAGCACACGAUGUGAAUAAAGAUCAAUUUCGUCCUUGCGAGAAUGAUGAAGAGUUUCUUGGUCCUAAAGUACCAUAUCUAAGUGCCAUAGGGGCAUUGAUGCAUCUUGCAAACAACACAAGACCUAAUAUAGCUUUCGCUGUAAACUUGCUAGCAAGAUUUAGUUCUUCUCCAACACGUAGACAUUGGAAUGAAAUUAAACAUGUAUUUAGAUAUCUCAGAGGGACUAUUGAUAUGGGGUUAUUUUAUUCAAAUAAUUCAAAAUCCCUAUUAGUCGGCUACGCUGAUGCUGAAUACUUAUCAGAUCUACAUAAAGGUCGAUCUCAAAUAAAAUAUUUAUUUACAUGUAGAAUAUGGGGUUUGUAUUUGUAUUAAUUUUUCUCUGUUUUUUUAUUCGUGUUCGUAAGGUAGAAGCCAAAAUACAGGAAUCGGAGCCCCUUUUUAUAUCCAAAAAUAUCCUCUUUUUUUUUCUAUUUUUCUAUUUUCUCUUAUUUUUUACACUGUUAUUAGAUUCUUCUCGUUCAUUCAUUUUGUAGGUACAAAGCCGUUGGCCAGCUGGCGUACAGAGGCGUACGUGGGGAGGUGGCUGGAGGUGCGGCGGCUGAAAGCUGUUUAGCUAGGGUUUUUUUUGUUUUUUGUUUUUGAAAAUGUAAUUGGUUUGAGCUUGUAUUGGGCUAGGGUCUUGGGUUUUUUAGUUUGUAAAUGGACUGUUUGGUUCUUGGACUUUUUAUUGGGUUAGUUUUAUUUGGUAUUUUUUUUGUUUGGUUUAUUUUUAGUGGGUCAGGCGAAUCGGGCCUGUUACAAGGAUGAAGAGGUAUCGGUCAGAUUGGGAGAGGACAAAGUAGACUUCGGAGAAAAUUUCAACUUGUGCUUGGUUGGAAGGGUUUUGAUAGAAAGUUUGGUGCACUUUCUGUCUAUGAAGAACACACUCACAAAUUUGUGGCAUCCGUUAGGAGGUACCUCAAUCACUGAUAUUGGUGAAAAAAUGGUGUUUUUUUUUUGUUUGUUUCUAUAGCCAGAUCAAUCUAAGAAGAGUAAUGAAUGAUAUGCCAUGGUUUUUUAGUAGACAUCUCAUUUUCUUUCGUAAGAUGGAAAAAAUGGGAGGAUCCACUAUAGGUCCCGUUGUUUUAUACCCCAUUAUGGGUUCAAAUUUAUAACCUACCAAUAGGAUUUAUUUCAGAAGGCAUGGCACAACAGUUUGGAAAUUUUAUUGGACAGUUUGUGAAGUAUGACGCAUCAAUAACUACAAGAGGUGUAAAAAUGUUUAUAAAGGUUAGCGUAAUUUGGAUGUUUAUUUUCCAUUAAAAAGGAAAAAGAAAAUUAUCAUUAAUCAAAGUAGCUCUACUUAUGCUCAAUUUCAAUAUGAAAAGCUUCUACUAUUCUAUUUUAUUUUUGGGAGGAUGAGGCAUGUUUAAGGUUUUUGCCCGUUAAGGCUAACGCUGGGAGAUCAAGAGGUGGAGUUUGGUUGGGAAAGUUCAUUAAAGGCAGAGCCAAAAAGGAUAAUGCUACAAGUCCGUGGUUAAGGGAGGAGCCAAAAGAAGGGAUCAAAGUUGGGGGAAGAUCGAAUAGGGAUCGUUGAGGUGGCUAUAUUGUAGAAGUUAGAAUUAUGGUUGUUAAUGAAGCAAAUAAGGGAAGAAUAUCAUGUAUUCAAGGACAGCCCAAGUCAAUAUCCGUACAAUUUAGAACAAGAUUUUUAAUGCACUUAGCUCUGAAAGAGGAUCCAUCAAAGGUAAGAAGGUAGUUUAAGAGGAGCAGGAUAGACCAAUGGAAUUUAGGGAAGGGAAGAAAUGACAAAGAACCCUAUGUGAAGACCAAACUGUGGUAAUCAUUUGUGAAGAUCAAGCAAUGGAAGGAAGUUCUGAAAUCUUGCUGACUACUAGAAUGCAAUCUAGUUAGUCGUAAUGAAAACUUUAAGUUGGAACGUUCGCGGGUUGGGGCACCCGCGGACAGUUCGUUAUCUCAAGAACAUGUUGAGACAGGUUUGGACCCAAUGUUUGCUUCUGAUUGAAACAAAAGUAAGCAUAAAAGGAUGGAGACAGUAAGGAAGAAUUUUGGUUUCAAGUAUGGAAUUGAUGUUGGUGCAGAUGGAUCGAAAGGAGGCUUAUCUUUAGGUUGGAAAGAGGAGGUAGAUGCAAUUUACAAAGUUUUUCUUCUUUAUAUAUUUAUGUAAUAGUGAAAGAAGAGAGAGAAGUGUCAGCAUGGAGGUUCACCGAAUUUUAUGGUGCACUGGUUGAGGGGUUGCGAAAAGAAUCAUUGAAUUUGUUAAGAUGUUUAGGAAGAGGAUGUGAUAUCCCUUGAGUAAUUAUGGGUGAUUUUAAUGAGAUCAUGUUCUCUUUCGAGAAAAAAAGGAGGGAGGAUGAGAGAGGAGAGGCAGAUGAGUGCCUUUCGAGAGGUGCUUAAGGAGUGUGAUUUAAGUGAUUUAGGUUUUUCAGGACAAUGGUUUACGUGGGAAAGGGUAAAGCUUCCAGACAGUAAUAUUAGAGAAAGGUUGGAUAGGGGGUGGCCAAUACUGAAUGGUGGGAAUUAUUCCCAGACUAUUCAGUUGAACACCUUCAUCACAUUAUUUCAGAUCACUGUCCACUCUUGUUGAACACGAUUGGGCGAAGAGGGGGACAAACGCUAGCAAGAACAUUUUGGUUUCAAUUUAAUGCAGAUUGGGCAUUGGAAGAAGACUUUAAGGAGCAAGUAGUAGUGAGUUAGGGAUCAGAUGGAAGGGAUGUGCCAGAAAAGUUAUCAUCGCUCGAAUCUAAAUUGAGUAGAUGGGCUAGUGCAAAUAAAGUUAAAAGAGAAGGAAAAAAAGCAAGAUUUAUAGGCCAGGUUAAGAAAGCUAGGUGAAAAAGAACCCAUUGAUGAGAUUUUAGCCAAAAUUAUGGAUGUAAAGCUUGCAUUAAAUCUAGGGGCAGGCAAAGAAGAAAUUUUUUGGGAACAAUAGGCAAGGGUGAUCUGGCUCAAGUUGGGAGACGAAAUACGUCCUUUUUCCAUGUAGUUGCAAAUAGUCGUAAAAGAAAAAAAAAGGAUUUGCGGACUCAAUGAUGAAAAUGGAAGAUGGGUAGAAGAGGAUAGGGAGCUUGUCGAAGUAGCGUAAAAAUACUGUCAAGAACUAUUUCAUUCAACGAUAAGAGGUAAUUGCAAUAGGAUUUUAGACGGUAUCAAGCCAUGCAUUACAGCAUGAAUGAAUGAGGAAUUAAUAGCUAAUUUACAAACUGAUAAUAAGGGCAAAAAAUGAGGGUUUUAUCAGAGGGGUAAAAAUAGGAAGGAUUGCUUUGGCAAUUACACAUUUAUUUCUUUUGCAAAUGAUAGUAUCUUAUUUGGUGAAGUGAUAGAAGUAGGGGCAAGAACAGUAAAUAAGGUAGUUUUAAACUAUGAAAAGUCGUCAGGCUAGUUAGUUAAUUAUGACAAGUCAUUAAUUUAUUUUAGCAAUAACACAAGUGUCGGUAAUAGAGAACAAGUAGCAAGAGUUUUUGGGGUUAGGAUUGCUAAUAACCCAAAAAAGUAUAUUGGGCUACUGACAAUGGUUGAGAGACGUAAGAGGCAUGCUUUUGUUGGGAUUAAAGAACGCAUGGUGAGGAAAGAAAGCUGGAAAACACUGCUAAAUAUCGAGCAUUAGCGGUGCUUUAUGGAAAACGCCGCUAAAAAAAGCAUUAGCGGCGUUUUCCAAAAAGCGCCGUAAAAAACCUAUGCCCAACGACGCUGUUUUCUGAGCUUUCGGGGUUUUAGCGGCGUUUUUUGAGAAAGCGCCGCUAAUGCUCAGGGCUUUACCGACGUUUUUGGGAAAGCGCCGCUAAUGAUCAGGCCUUUAGCGGCAUUUUUGAAAAAGCGCCGCUAAUGAUCAGGGCUUUAGCGGCGUUUUUGGAAAAGCGCUGCUAAUGAUCAGGGAUUUAGUGGCGUUUUUGGGAAAGCGCAGCUAAUGAUCAGGGAUUUAGCGGCGUUUUUGAGGAAGCACCGCUAAUACUCAGGGCUUUAGCGGCGUUUUUGAAGUAGCGCCGCUAAUUCUAUAUUUUUAGUGGCGUUUUUAAAAAAGCGCCGCUAAUGCUUAGGGAUUUAAUAUAAUCUAAAAUAUUUGUUAAAAAUGGAAAACUUAAAAUACUGUAAGUUCUUUUAAACAGAAUAUAUGGCAUAACCUUAUAUAUGGAAUAAAAGGCGGCAUCACGGGUUAAACUAAUUCAAUUAUUAUUUAAAAAUUUAUAUAAAUAAAAUAGACAUAUGAUUUAUUUAUCCUUCUAACGUUACAAAAAAUCAUUACAAUCCUUUAUUUAAUUUUUAUCUUUUCAACCCUUAAAUUUAUAUUAUUUAUUAAAUCAGCUCAAAAUAGAUGGGAAAAAUUAUUCUUUAUUAACUUUACUAAACAUUGAAGCCAAAGGCCCUGAAAUGAAAACAAUUUUCACCUAAGCGUUUUUAUAACUUAUACACUUUUAAAUUAAUAAUGGUAAAAUUACAUGUUAAUCUCAUAAAAAUGAUAAAAAAUUUAUUUAAUCCUUAUAAAAAUAUAAUUAAAAUGGUAAAAUUACAUUUUUAACUAUCCUAAAAUAAACAAUUUAAAUCCAUCUCCUCCAAAAAAAUAAAAAUAAAAGAAAAACAUUACCGUUAAUCCAGUUCAUAGGAGGCUGAAAGUGAUACCCGAUUCGAUGAAGUUGUUUUACAGUAAGUGCAGUUUUAGAUUGUAAAUGAGGAUGGACCUUAUGAAAUGCUUCAACGACGCCAUUCUUACUUAUUAUCUCACAAAACACCCAAUUAUUAAAUAAACUAACAAAAUAUUUUCUGUAAACUCCAUUAAAAUUUCGAAAGCCAAAUGUUGAAACAGGAUGGUGAUUCAUUUAUAUAGGACUGAAAUUUAACAAUUUCAAUAUAUAUAUUUUAAAAUGUUUAGAUAAGAUAGAUUUUUAUUUGAAUUUACCAGUAAUUUAUAAUAUCAACAUUAAAUCUACAAUUCUUGAUUUUUCUUUUUUUUAAAUAAUUAAAAUUUUAUUCUUAUAGUAUUUAAAUAAUUAGGGAUUAUGAAUUAAGGUUUAUGGUUUAGGGGUUAGGGGUUAGGGGUUUAGGGUUUAUGUUUUAUAAUUUAGGGUUUAGGAGAUAGGGGUUAGGGGUUUAGGGUUUAGAUUAAUUAGUAUUUUUUAAUUUAUAUAUUAAAUAAUUUCUUAUAUAAUUGUAAAAGAUAUAAUAUUAAUUUUAAUAUAUUAAAAUUAUGAUUAUAGUUUAAAUUAUUUAAGAGAUAAUAGAUAAACUUUAUAUAUAAUAAAUGGUUUAAGAUUUAACGUUUACUUGAGAUUUGUUAAAUGACACGUAGAGAAUAUUUAAAAGUAAAAACAUAGAAAAAUAUAUGUUAAAAAUGGGAAAAAAUUAAAAUAAUAUUAUUUAAAAUAAUUUUAAAGUGUUUUGGGUAUAUGACCGAUUAGGUUUUUUAAUUUAUAUAUUAAACAAUUUAUUAUAUAAUUGUAAAAGAGAUAAUAUGAAUUUUAAUUUAUUAAAAUUAUCAUUAAUAUAGUUUUUUAAUGUUUUUUUUCUCUUUGCUUUAAAAUUUUUUGUUUUUGUUUUUGUUUUCUUACAUAAAAAAUUAUAUAAAAUUUUAAAAUUUAUCUAAUUCUUUUUAAUAUUACUUAAAAUUUCAAAAUUUAUUUAUUUAAAAUUGAUAUGAAUUAUAUAAUAAUUAAAUAUAAAAUUGUGAAAAAAAUUAAUCAUUAGCGGGUUUAUGAGAAAAACGCGCAAAAGGUAAGCAAUAGCGGCGUUUGGACGAAAAACGCCGCAAAUAUGUAUUAAAUUUUUUCAAAACGUGCCGUUUCACUACAUAAAUUUAAUUUUUUAGUGGCGUUUUUUUCUAAAAGCGCCGCAAAAUCCAUAAUCAAUUGUAAAGAAAAGGGGGGAAAGAUGAGGGGGGAAGAUAUUUCAACAAAAAUAAUUAAAAUUAAAUCAACCAAAGAAAUCCCUAGAAGCCUAAAGAAAAGGGGGCGAAGAUGGGGCCGACGCCGAUGGAAUUCGUGAGGGACGCAGACGACCAAGGUUCAGCCAUGGAAGUCGACGGUGUUGACACACCGGAGAUCUUCGGCGAAGGCGUCAUCGCUUCCGACAACAAGCUCGCCUAUGCAGAUUUCUUCAACAACUUCGAAGACGAUUUUGAUGACUCCGAUAUUGACUAAAAAAAUAAAGAAGAAUCGUUUGUACGUCUCUUCUUUUCUCUGUCUGUCUUUCUUUCUCUUCUUUGGCUUAGCCAUGUCUCUGCUUUCUCUAUACUUUCCUUAGCAAAGAAGAGAAAGCAAAGAAAUCAAAGUAAACAAAUGAAAACCCACCAAAAAAUUCAAAUCUNNNNNNNNNNNNNNNNNNNNNNNNNNNNNNNNNNNNNNNNNNNNNNNNNNNNNNNNNNNNNNNNNNNNNNNNNNNNNNNNNNNNNNNNNNNNNNNNNNNNNNNNNNNNNNNAAAUAAUUUUGAUUUGUGGAAAAAAGAUGCCUUCUUUUCUGCAGCAGAAGAGGUUCAAGAAUCUGCUGAUAUGUAUGUUAUUUUUUUAAUUUUUAAAUUUUAUGUCCUUUUUUUAAAUUUACUGGGGUUUGGUUGGUGACAUGGGUUUUAUUUGUGCUUCUUAGAUGUUUGUUUAAUUUCAUAUAAUUGACUGUUCAAUUAUUUAGUUUUUUUUUGGGGCGGGUUUAAAGGUUCCUUUUUUGUUGUUGGGUUUCUACUAAAUGUGCUAUAUUUCCUAGUUUUCUUGCUGAUAUGUAUGCUCAUGCUUAUGUAUAUAUAUAUAUAUAUCUGUUGAACCAGGGAAAAACAUAUAAUUAAAGGUUCCAUUUUUUGGUGGAAGGUUAUAUGCUUGUGAUUUGAAAACUUCAACGAAAAUUUUGUAAUGCUUAAUGUUAUGAAUCAACCACUCAAUAAGGUUUUUGUAUAUAUAAACAAGUUUAAGCUUCAAACAUAUAUUUUUUAGAAUAAUUAUUUCAUGAAGUCUUUGAAGUAAUUUAAUGGCUUCUGCUGCCCUUGUCCACCAUGGAUAUUUGUUGACAGGUGACCUGUAAUGGAACCAUGAACUUUCUAUAAAGCNNNNNNNNNNNNNNNNNNNNNNNNNNNNNNNNNNNNNNNNNNNNNNNNNNNNNNNNNNNNNNNNNNNNNNNNNNNNNNNNNNNNNNNNNNNNNNNNNNNNNNNNNNNNNNNNNNNNNNNNNNNNNNNNNNNNNNNNNNNNNNNNNNNNNNNNNNNNNNNNNNNNNNNNNNNNNNNNNNNNNNNNNNNNNNNNNNNNNNNNNNNNNNNNNNNNNNNNNNNNNNNNNNNNNNNNNNNNNNNNNNNNNNNNNNNNNNNNNNNNNNNNNNNNNNNNNNNNNNNNNNNNNNNNNNNNNNNNNNNNNNNNNNNNNNNNNNNNNNNNNNNNNNNNNNNNNNNNNNNNNNNNNNNNNNNNNNNNNNNNNNNNNNNNNNNNNNNNNNNNNNNNNNNNNNNNNNNNNNNNNNNNNNNNNNNNNNNNNNNNNNNNNNNNNNNNNNNNNNNNNNNNNNNNNNNNNNNNNNNNNNNNNNNNNNNNNNNNNNNNNNNNNNNNNNNNNNNNNNNNNNNNNNNNNNNNNNNNNNNNNNNNNNNNNNNNNNNNNNNNNNNNNNNNNNNNNNNNNNNNNNNNNNNNNNNNNNNNNNNNNNNNNNNNNNNNNNNNNNNNNNNNNNNNNNNNNNNNNNNNNNNNNNNNNNNNNNNNNNNNNNNNNNNNNNNNNNNNNNNNNNNNNNNNNNNNNNNNNNNNNNNNNNNNNNNNNNNNNNNNNNNNNNNNNNNNNNNNNNNNNNNNNNNNNNNNNNNNNNNNNNNNNNNNNNNNNNNNNNNNNNNNNNNNNNNNNNNNNNNNNNNNNNNNNNNNNNNNNNNNNNNNNNNNNNNNNNNNNNNNNNNNNNNNNNNNNNNNNNNNNNNNNNNNNNNNNNNNNNNNNNNNNNNNNNNNNNNNNNNNNNNNNNNNNNNNNNNNNNNNNNNNNNNNNNNNNNNNNNNNNNNNNNNNNNNNNNNNNNNNNNNNNNNNNNNNNNNNNNNNNNNNNNNNNNNNNNNNNNNNNNNNNNNNNNNNNNNNNNNNNNNNNNNNNNNNNNNNNNNNNNNNNNNNNNNNNNNNNNNNNNNNNNNNNNNNNNNNNNNNNNNNNNNNNNNNNNNNNNNNNNNNNNNNNNNNNNNNNNNNNNNNNNNNNNNNNNNNNNNNNNNNNNNNNNNNNNNNNNNNNNNNNNNNNNNNNUUAGAAUUUGUACUAACUGAAUUCCUUGCAAUGAUCUCUUGUACUUUUAGCUAAUACAAGUUGUGCCCAUUUGGUAGAGAGAUGCUUGAUUUUCUUGUUUGUAUGUUUUUGCAGAGGUUCGGUGUCAAGCAAAAGGUUCCAAGAUUUGACAUGCUUAUUCUGUUUCUUUCACCUACAGAAUGAAAUAAUGAAAUUAUAAAUUAAUACAUAAUAAACUUUUAUUUUGAUUUAUGAAAAAAUUAUACAUAAUCAGUGAAGCUCAGUUCCUUUGUUUGAAUUCUUAUGCUUUAGGUAGAUAAGGGUUUCUCUGUACUGCCUGAAAAUAUUUUGUACUUCAAAAAAUAAUAUGCCACAUGAAAAUAAAAUAUUUUACCAAUAAAAUAAAAUAAAAUAAAAUAAAAAAACAAGAAUCAAAUAUAAAAAAAUUUGACCAUAGAAGAAGUUUAAUCAAUUUGCUUGCAAAAACUCUUCAAGGUCUAUCUCUUUUCAUCUUCUAGGUAUGUGCUUUCUUGGUUUUUUUAUAUAUAUUCUUUUCUUUUGACAAAGAACUUGAGGUUUAAUUAAAUUUGACAAAGGACUUGGGGUUGAACUAAUUUGAUUCUUGUUUUUUAUUUUAUUUUAUUUUAUUGGCAAGAAAGAUAAAAUAUUUUAUUUAUCAAAUAAUCUAAAAGAUUUUGAAUUCUUAUGCUUUAGGUAGAUAAGAGUUGUUUUUUAGUUGUUUUCUUAAAUUAUUUAUGAUUAUAUUAGUUGCAAUAAUGAAAAAAUAAUUUCAUUUAUGUACUAGUAGGUUAAAUGGUAAAUUCUUUUAUAUAGCUGCUUUGGCUCGUAAGCUUACCUGGUUACGUGGUAACUUGCACAGAUUCUAGUUUUUCUUUUUCUGGGAAUAGGUAGACCGUUUUACAUUAGUCAAUUAUGUAUGCCCCUGGGUAGUUUUACCUUAAUGAUUUGUUUUAUUUGUAGUCCAUUACUUGAAAUCAGUUUUUGAGCUAGUUUUCUUAUUUUCAGGUCAGCAACACGGAUCUUGAAGAAAAAAAAGCUGAAGAUCAAUGUUCAUAGGCCUGUGUGGACAAGGGUUGUCUUUGAUGAGGAAGGCAACACACAGGCUCCACCUGUGUAAAAUUAAUUAUUAUAGAAUAAGUAACUCCAAAAAAAAGACGGGCUUUAUACUGAUGAGAUAUGAAGACGAACGUAUAAAUUCCGAAAAUAGGCUUUUAGCGGCACUUUUUUAGGCCUUUAGCGUGUUUACCAAAGUGCCGGAAAAAACGCUGCUAAAGACUGCGUCGCUAACUUUAGCGGCGUUUUUACCUUUAGCGGCGCUUUUCUCACAGACGUCGCUAAAGACCAGGACCUUUAGUGGCGUUUUUCCCACAAAAUGCCGCUAAAGACUAGGACCUUUAGCGGCGCUUUUCCCACAAACGCCGCUAAAGACCAAGACCUUUAGCGGCGCUUUCUCCAAAAAUGCCGCUAAAGAAGAAGACCUUUAGCGGCGCUUUCCCCAAAAAUUGCCGCUAAAGAACAAGACCUUUAGCGACACUUUUUCCACAAACGCCGCUAUAACAUUAACUUUUAGCGACGCUUUUUUACAGACGCCACUAAAGGCAUAACUUUUUUUAUAAAAAAUUAAGUAAAUAAUAUUUAUUUCUAUAAUAAAUAUUUUAUUUUAUUUUAUUUUUGAAAUUUAAACUUUAAACUAUAUAAUUUUAAGGAUAAAAAAUUUAAUUAAAUUAAAUUUUCUAUUAAAAUUUUAACUUUAAAAGUAAAUAUAAAAAUUAAUGAAUUUAAAUUUAGAAUUAAAAUAUUAUGCCUUGGGAAUUUAAAUUUUAAACAUUAGCUAGUUACUUGCUAUGUUGGCUGACACCGUGUAAGUGCCUUGGGAAUUUAUACGUUCAUCUUCCUGCUUUUGUUUCAUUUUCUUUUCUCCCUCUCCCUCUUCUUUGGUAACUUCGAAGAAGAGAUAAUUACUAGAACCUCUUCAUGGACGAAUGAUUAUGGAGUUUAAGUCGAAAAAUUAGUAAAUUUAGUAAGUUGGUAAGGUUCUCAGUCCUUCAGUGUUUGUAAAUUUAAGAAAAAAUAAUUUAGACUUUUCAGAACCUUUGAAGGGUUCUGCAUGUUUGUGGAAAAUUAAGUUUUAAAUUGAAAUUACUGAGUUUAACUCGAGAUUUUUGUUAUAAUGUUUAGCUGCUAGGAAAAUGGAAGUUCUGGCGUUUGGAAAAGCUAAGCUUGGGAGACAAGAGACAUCAGGUGAGUUUCUAUAUUCCAUCCCUAGAAAUGUUAAAUGGCUGGAAUGAUUAUGUACUCUACUGAUUGUGAAUGCUAAGUACAAGUGGCUCAUUACGGAGGGAUUACAAUCGAUAGCAGGAAACCCCACUUCAAAUCAAAAUGAACUACAAGACUACUAUACAAAAUCGUCGAAACUAAAACUACCAAGCAAAAUAUGAAUAGAUAUGUGGAAAAUUACAAAUGGCUUUAUUCCAACACUUUACAACUUAAAGUAGAAAGGCCUGGUAAGAAACGAUCGAUGCCCGAUGUGCAAGGAGAGGGAGGAAUCAGUGGAACAUAUAUUUCGGGAUUGUACCGUCACAGCAAAGAUCGUGCAAUAAUUGGGUGUGGCAGACUCAACCACCAAUAGAAACCAGGGUUAGAAAAAAUGGUUAGCAAUUUUCUUUCUAAACAACAAUCAUACACAAUUCAAACUGUUAGCCAUGACAUAUUGGUCCUUUUGGUUUAACAGAAAUAAAAUGUACCACGAACACAUUAAACCCAAUAAAACAGAGUUGAUAUCAUUCAUCAGGGCAUAUAUUAUAGAAAAUGAAAUGUUGAAUGGUUUGCUGAUAAUAAAAUCAGUAGACAAAAAUAUAAAAUGGGAACCACCCAAUGCAGAUACUAUCAAAAUAAACUUCGAUGCUUCAUUUCAACAAAAUUAGAACAACUCAAAGUCAGGUAUUAUCACAAGAAAUAACGAGGGACUGGUAAUGGGUGCAUUUAUUUACCGAUGUAGACACAUCGCGAUCCCAACAACGGCGGAGGCAUGGGCGUGCUUGCAUGCAAUCACUUUCGGGGAAGAGUUAGGAUUCCGAGAAAUAUGUUUCGAGGAGGACUCAUUAAUGGUAAUAAGGGGAAUAGAAAUUUCAAAAGUGGCAGAUCAGAUAUUAGCGCAAUAUUAAAAGAAAUAAAAAAGAAAAUCCCUAAUUUCACAAGGAUCACUUUUCGGUACAUACCCAGAACAGCUAACGGUGUGACACAAGCAUUAGCAAGAGAGGGUCGAUGUCAUGAGCUGCCACGAUACUGGAUAGAGGAGGUCCCAGAUUCAUUAGAAGAAGCUGUCAAAUAUGACCGAGAAGGAAGUGAGAGGACAGUUUGAAAAAAGGCGUUGUGAGACCGGAAAAGGUAAAAGGCUAUUACGAGUACUUAGUUCCAUAAGAUGUGAGAAUGAUCACACGAGCUUACAUUGACUGAUAGUGGACACAAGUGAUUCUAUCUGGCACUGGUGCAGGUGUUUAUUUUGGCGAAGAAGAAGAUAGGUAGUGAAAUGGGGAGAUCUGGGUGAUUGCUUAGGUUUUAGAAAGUUCUGUUUUUGUUAGGGUUUGAUUUCAUUAGUACACCGUUUGGGUGCCCAAUAGAAAAUUAGGUUAGUAAAUGCGUGAGGUGGAGAUAUUAUGAGGCACUAUUUGGGUGGCCAUUAGGAGAAUUACAGCUGCUAAAGCUGUUAUUUAGGUUAUGACCUGCUUCAUUUUAUCCCUCAUCAAUGCACCAGUUCAGUUUAUACUAAUGAGAUCUGAAGAUGAACGUAUAAAUUCCCAAGGCACUCACACGAUCUCACAAACAGCCACUUCAGUUACGCUUAUGUUGAUUUUAACCAUGGUUUCUCAAUGCUUCAUUGUAGUUGUCACACCUGAUUUUCAUUAAAUCUUAAAAUUAGGAACAAUUAGAGGUUAAAUUAGAAAAAUCGUAAGUUGAUGACCUCUACUGAAAAAUUAGGAAAAGUUAGUACCUGGUUUAAACAUGAU
Molecule: long non-coding RNA, 92226 nt
Filed under: Gossypium raimondii (Peruvian cotton)
Lineage: Eukaryota; Viridiplantae; Streptophyta; Magnoliopsida; Malvales; Malvaceae
Description: long non-coding RNA (GRAI_LNC009190)
Rfam family: MIR7486 microRNA precursor family (bases 29160-29246)
Source: RNAcentral